AAUCAUAACUCUCUCUCCCUCUCUCUCUUCUCUCCUCUUCUCCGGGUUCUCCCUCCUUUGGACACUCGCCUCUUUUCUCGAACCUCCCAUCCUCCCUCUCUCUCUCUCUCUCUCUCUCUCUCUCUCUCUCUUGCCAACCUUCUUUCUCUCUCUAGAGGCUCGAUCUUCUCGGACCUCGUCGCUUUCUUCGGCGCGGAAUCUGCCGGCGGAAGGAGGCGGCGGAGGAGGAGGAGGAGGAGGAGGAGCCGCUCCGCGUCGUCCGUUCUCGAUCUCGGGCCAUUGCCAGCCGGAGCAGCGGGAGAUCAUUGCCGCUGCUGCAGCUGCUGCGGCGCUUGCUCGCGCGCGCGGUCCGGGGAGGCUCCCGACGAAUGGGAGCACGGGCGUAGCGGCGGGAAUUGUGCGGAGAUUGAUUGCUGCCGCGGCGGUGCGAUUGGAAGAUGCUCUACUUGAAGCAGCCGAGCGCGGUGCUUUGCAUGGGGAGCGGCGAUAGGUGUUGUUUCGAUUGUUGCGCUUCGUGGUGCGGAUUGGUCAUCGGGUGAAGGAAGGAAGGAAGGCAGGCAGGCAGGAGGAGGAGGAGGAGGAGGAGGUCCCGGCGAUUCCCCCCGCGCGCUGCCUGGUGCAUGCUCGUCUGGUGAUUUCCCCGGAGCCUGUGGCUCGGGGAAGGACCUGAACGGAGGCCGGCGAGGCGUGCGCGCGCGCGUGUGUGCGUGCGUGUUUGCGAAGAAUGGCGCUGCGUGCCGGGAUGGAGAGCUCGUUCCGCUCUUGCGACGCCUGGAUGCAGAAAUUCAGGCUCUACGAGACUCGAUCGGUAAUUUAUCUUCGGCUAAUUUGCUCGUGACUGAGAUCUUCUCGAUUUGACAUUAUGUUCUUAGCUCUCGUGAUGUUUCCUCGGUAGUUGAGGUAGUUGAUGUCGUGGGGACUUGGUUCUAGAUCAUAUCAGCUUAGUUUACUUUGAGUUGCUGACGGUUAUAUUGAUUUGGUCAGCCUUUAGUUGAGCGAUGUGGGUGUCAGUUUCGUUAGAUUAGACAAUAACUUUUGAGGAAAUCGGAUGAACUUCAUUUGAAAGUUGUUUAGUUGUUAUAUCAUUGGCUUGAUCGGAUAAUACCGGCUUCAGUUAUUUAACAGCACACUAACGAGGAAGAUACAAGAUGAUCAGGAAGGACCUGAAUUAAAUCAGUGAUCCCCCCUUUUUCUUGUGUCAUCUUGAGCAUUGCUAUUUGAAUGGCAUUUUGCAUUGACAAUGGCAAUUCAGUCUCCAUUAUUAUAAGCAGCUACUUGAAGUAUUGCGAUGCUGAUGCAAAUGCUUGCAUAUGAAUGCAUCCAAUUCAGAUGUAUUACCUGAUUGUAUGGGGAGUGGAUUGUCUGUUGCUUUAGCCUUGAGUAGGAAUAAUUGUCUGCAAAACUUGGAAGAGCUGCUUGGUAUAUCUAUGGUUCAAAUGUCGAACUGUAAAAGCUUUUUCGCCGUCAGAAUCAUCGUCAUGUUCAAAGUCUUGUUUCCAGCAUUUACUUAGCUUCUGUGAACUGGUAUGCUCAUUUGCUCCCUUAAUUCUGAUCCGGAAGUUUGGCAGCUAACUCUGCAAUUUUCAAUGCUACAGAUGUUCUACAUGAUAGGGAGGGAUAGGAGUAGGACAUAUUGGAGAGUCCUUAAGAUUGAUCGACUUGAUCCAUCCGAGCUAAACAUUCUAGAAGAUUCUACCACUUAUAGUGAGCGUGAAUGUUCUGACCUAUUAAGGAGGAUACACGAGGGUAACAUAUCUACUGGAGGAUUGAAGUUUGUGACUACUUGCUACGGGAUAGUUGGUAUGUGAAAUUUUUCUUGUUAUAGCUGCGUUCCUCUUAACUGUCUGUUAUUAUCACAAGACAACUCAUUGUUAUCUCAUUACAGGGUUCAUUAAAUUCUUAGGACCUUACUACAUGCUGCUAAUAACAAAGCGAAGGGAGAUAGGUGCCAUCUGUGGUCAUACUGUUUAUGCCAUCUCUGAGAGCGAGAUGAUUCCGCUUCCAAAUUCCACAGUUCGUUCCAAUCUACCUAAUUCGAGGGAUGAAGACAGGUCAAUUUCUACCCUGUGUUCAUGUGUAGAUCUCAUGGUUUUUUUUUCUUAAGGAAAUCGAAAAGAGACAUUCCUCUAUGUUAGGUCUAGCAUAUGCAAUGUUUAUGCUAUGUUCACCAUGUGUGUGUGUGCGUAUAAAUGUCUGUAUGAAGAAGAUGUACUUGCAUAAUUAUUUCUUCAGUAGUAACUGGACCUUGGUUGCCUGAGACCCCGCAGGUGCAAGUGCGACGUGCUGAUUUGGGACAAUUAUGGUUCACAGUCUAUUUUUGGUAUUAAGAGAUUACUGUUCCAUUCUAGUGAACAGAUUGCCAAUGAAGUUGCUAGCAUCAUCUCACACAAACUUUAGCUGAGAAAAUUGGUUUGAGAAAUGGUUGUCAAAAUUGAUCUGAACACUUCUGUUCUUUUGGGGUGGGGUGGUGUGGGUGACAUUUACUGUUUUAUUGUGCUUCAGCUACUGUUGCUAGUGUUCAAACUACCAUCUCCUCUGCUGCCAGUGUCUUUUGCAGAAACUUUGACCACUUAAUUUUUUGAUUUUGUGUUUCUUCCUCUCAUGUAUUAGAUACAAGAGGCUCCUAUGCACAAUGGACCUCACCAAGGACUUCUUUUUUAGCUACUCAUACCAUGUUAUGCGUAGUCUACAAAAGAACUUUUGUGAUAAUGAAGCGGGGCACGUUCUCUAUGAGACCAUGUUCGUCUGGAACGAAUUCUUAACUCGGGAAAUUCGGAAUCACCUCAAAAACACGCUGUGGACGGUUGCUCUAGUGUAUGGUUUCUUUAAACAGGUGAGGAGUAAAUAUUGUUAAGAUGAUAUAAUAUUCUAAGAAUUGAUGAGCUUUCCAAUGUUGUCACUCAAAAUUUUUAUCCUGUUAAAAGCCGCCAUUAUUAACUUGGAUUUGUCCCAACACAGUUUUUAAAAGGGAAAAUAUGCUGUUUUACGAUUUCCUUGUAGACUUUGGUUGUGAUGAAUGUCACCCUCUACCUUUUCCAUGCUUUUGAAAGAUUGUUAUUUGAUUUUCUUAUUCAACUCAUACUGAUGACUCGUGGUAUUUUGAUUCUAGGCUACACUUUCUAUUGCAGGAAGAGACUUCACAUUGACUCUUAUUGCAAGACGUUCACGACAUUAUGCUGGCAUGAGGUUGGAACUUUAUACUAAUGCUAUUUCGAUUUUUGUUCCAAAUUCUUUGAGAUACCUUCAGCCAUCUGUAACGUAUUUUAUGAUGAGUUUGGCACUAUUUCCUCCUCAUAUGCAGAUAACCUUUCGCUGUUAUACAUGUGUCUGGCAUCCAUUAUAUCUCAUUCCAUGCUCGUUCUAUUUAACUCUUUAGGUACCUAAAACGAGGGGUGAAUGAAAAGGGCAAAGUAGCUAAUGAUGUGGAGACAGAACAGAUCGUGUAUGAAGGUGUCCCUGAAGGUUUUCCCAUGCAAGUAACUUCUGUUGUCCAGAAUCGUGGGUCAAUCCCUCUUUUCUGGUCACAAGAAACUUCCCGUUUGAAUCUUAAACCGGAUAUAAUAGGUAGGCUCUUUUACUUAAUUUGAUUUAGACACGGUGCUUAUAUAAUGUAGAUUUACGACAACUUUUCCUGCAUUCAGUGUCGAAAAAGGACCAGACUUACGAAGCCACCCGACUUCAUUUUGAAAAUCUUCUCAGCAGAUAUGGGAAUCCUAUAAUUAUUUUGAAUCUGAUUAAGGUAAGUCUGCACUUUUCUGUGUAUGAAGGGUCUAAUUUUGUUGAUGAUAUUUCUUAAUGUUGUUGUUGUUUCAUUCUUUUUCUUGACAUGCCGCCACAUGUGUGCGCUCUCUUCCUUUUAUUCUUUCUAAACAUGCCAUCAACAUUGCAAAGUGGGGGGCUUAGAUACGGUCAAGUACCUAGCCUUUUACUUUUGCUAGAUCUAACAAAUGAGUGGUUUUACCCUAUCAUCAUCCCUUCAUCACCAUCCUAUGAAUUCUUAUUGCUGACAGACGGAAGAGAAGAAGCCCCGAGAAUCCAAACUCCGUGCAGAGUUUGCCACUGCAAUUGAUUUUAUCAAUAAAGACUUGCCUGAGGAAAAUCGUCUGAAAUUUCUUCACUGGGAUCUACACAAGCAUUCUCAGAGGUGAACAUUUUAUGAGCUUGAGUCAUGGCCAUUUUCCUAUAUUAAUGUUCUUUCUUGUGAAAUCUGAUCUAUUCUAAAAGUGUUUUUCUCAUUCUCUUUCCUCACAGCAAAGCUACAAACGCACUGUUUACUUUGGGCAGAGUGGCCACUUAUGCGUUAACGUUAACAGGUUUCUUCUAUUGUCAAGUAUCACCAACCUGGAGACCUGAUGAUUGUCUGAAACGGUCUUCUUCAGAGUAAGUUACUAAUAUGUGAAUGAUCAGUGCUGAAACCAUCAUCAUUAGGAAGACAGUCAAUACUCUAAAGCUUUAGUGUUGAUUCUUUUCAUGCCAAAGCUUUUAGUUUGUAGUAAUUUCUCGAAUGAGUGUGUAUCAUCUAAAACAAGGAGUCCUCUCUUUCACGUCAUUUUUAUUGUAUCACUUAAUGAGUAACUCUUGCUUGUUACCAUUGUUGGAUGCAAACAUGAAUUUUCUGUUUGAGUGUUUGUAAAGUUGUUCUUCACUUUAUGUGCUGAAUUUGAUAAUUCCUCAUUUCUGGUUUCAAGUACAUCUUAUAAAUCCAUGGAUGGGUAGUAUGCAUCGUCAGUGUCAUUCUGUUGUAUUUUGCGCAUGGUUCUGAUUUCCUCUUGGCAUGUAAUUGGUGCGAAUAUGAUGCAGGAAAGUUAAUAAUAGUGGCUUGAGUUCAAUGGAUCUUGGUGAAAACGAAAAUGAUGUGGGAUAUCUUCUAGAGAGAAAACCUAGUGAAGGUGACGACUUAAUAAAUGGAAAUCAUUCUGGAAAGCCUCCGAUGUUCCAAAGAGGAGUACUAAGAACCAAUUGCAUUGAUUGUCUGGAUCGAACAAAUGUUGCACAAUACGCAUACGGGUUGACUGCUCUAGGUUGCCAACUUCAUGCUCUUGGAGGUAUAGACUGCCCCAAAAUAGACCUUGAUGCUCCUUUAGCCGAUGAAUUGAUGGGUUUCUAUGAGAGUAUGGGGGACACACUUGCUCAUCAAUAUGGUGGCUCAGCGGCUCAUAACAAGGUAUUAUAAUGUAAAAGUUGCUUUCCUAGCAUAUGGAUCAAACCUUCAAAAGGUGGUUCAUCCUAGGAUAUGUAUGCAUAGUGUCUGUUUGACUAUAUUCAGGCAUUGCUCAGAUUUUUGGAGGAAUUCCCCUCUCAAAUAUUCUCUUCAUGAUUCUUUUCAUUAUCCAGUGAUGAAAUUAAUGAAACUGAUUAACAUGCAUUAUGCCAUUACUUGCUUGUGUGUCCAAUCUUGAGUGGCGUGUAAGAAAUAACCCAUAGACAUCUUAAAUUAACAAUGAAUCUCAGGCAAGCAAUGAUGAAUUUCUCUUUGCCUUUUUUGCAUCAGAAUCUCUCUUUUUGUUUAGAAUUGCUAACACUGCAGUUCAAACAUUUUGGCUUGCUUAAAACUUUUGAGAUAGCCUUAUCAUGAAAUUCUCAAUUUCAAGGGUAACUGAGACAACUGCAAUAUCUGUAUUGUAGUUUCUCAUGGUUGCUCAGGGUUUUUAUUUAAGUCGUGUUUGUGGUUAAAAGCUCUCUACUCGUUCUUCUUCAACAUUCAUCCUAGUAUUUUUUUUCUUACGAAAUAUUUCAGAAAUUCCUACUAUGCAGAAUGUUUCGGUUAAAAUUUGUGAAGGAUUUGGCUUUUAGCAGUGAGUAAUUGCUGCUUCUUUCAUCUGCAAGAUGUUGUGAAGUUUACUUGUCGAACUUUUGACGUCUGCAGAUAUUCUCUCAGAGACGGGGUCAGUGGAAAGCAGCCACUCAAUCUCAAGAGUUCUUCAGAACUUUGCAACGAUAUUACAACAAUGCUUACAUGGAUGCUAUGAAACAGGAUGCAAUUGAUGUGUAAGCUUCUUCUAAUAUGAGUGCUUGGCUUUCUUUGUGCUCUUUGACAGGCUGGAUGAGUUUUAUUAGACUUUUAGUCCCUAAUGCUGCUGCAUUGCAUGGAUUGUUUCGAGUACGGUAGGCCAACUGAAUUAUGCUUUCUUUGCUAAAACAUGGAGUCCUGUAGCCUUAAGCAGGGAUGGAGUUAGAACAUUUUGGCUGUGGGUGCAUUAACAUAAUGGUGAAAUUAAUUUCAGAUAAAUUAAGCUUAAUUUACUAUAUGCAUUUCAGUGCAUCAUACUUCAGAAAUCCUACUAAACUCUGGGCAAAAUUCUAAAUAAUAGACAGAAACGUGAACCAUGAUAUGAGUUUUUGUGGAUUGAUGUUAAUGGGCUGAGAUUUUGGAGGGAUUAACACAAAAAAUUUACAAAGAGCUGCCCCUACUAUUGAUGCCUAGGCACCAUUCCUGGGCUCAAUGAUAAUUUACUUCAAGAAUGUUCUCAGUAAUAAUCAUAUGUUGUGGGUGUGCUCAAUGUAGCUUUCCUUUUCACCAUUAUUUAUGUACAAACUGAUUUUUGCUCUUCCAGAAGAAAUUCAAUCGACGGGUUGUUUUGUCUUAUGAAGUCUAUGUCUGAACAAUUUUGCCAGAUUUUUGGGGAAUUUUCAGCCAGAUAUUGAUAAGCCUGCAGUGUGGGAGCUGGAUUCUGACCAGCCCUCUGAUUCUGGGAGGAAUGGACAGACGGAUGUCGAUGAAGAUGGAAGGUACUUGUAUUUUGCUGGCUUAGCACACCUGAGUUCAUAGAUGUCAGUUAGGAUUUUGAAUAACAUAUCAUUUAAUCAUGUAUCUUUUCUUUGUAGAUUGGAUAACCACAUAUCUUAAAACAAACGUAUUUUAUGCUAAACGUAGUGAUUUGGCAAUGACCUGCUAUUUCUCAUCAAGAGGAGAAAGAUCAAAAGUAUACUAAAACGUAAUUAUUCAGGAAAGUGGAUUCUUACUCGAAUCUGAUUCAUUGUGUGAAUGGGUAAAAAAGGGGGAUUGAGGAAGCUUGUGAUGUAUUUUCAGUUAAAUUUGGGGGGUAACUGUUCUCACAGUUCUGACUUUUGCUAUCUGGUAAAUUAGUUUGAUAUGAUUGUUAAGACUUAAGGGCUAUAACAUUUGUAGGUCAAUUUUCAAAAGAUGCAUGUCAGAUGGAAAUAUUCUUCGAAAAACAAACCCAUCCAUGUCGACCACAAAGAUCGAUCCAGAGAAGUAUUGUGCUUCAGUUUUACCUGACCGAUCAGAGGGAGCAAGGAGAGUACUCAGCGAGUCGUCACCUGACAUUUCAACCUCAGAGAGCGAAAUAACAUUUUCAAGGUUUGGUUAUUUCAUCUUUUCCUCACAUAUCAACAUUUCCAUCUAAAUUGUUCAGUUGCCUAGGAUACUACUCAUGCACAACAGCCUAGGAGAAGUUGAUUAAAAUUUCAUUCUGCUGGCUGGGGAUGCUAGAAUGAGUUUGUUUUGAUUGACCGAGCUGUUUUGUGAAGUAUGGGGUGUUCUCUGUUGGAUUAAACAAAAUCUAUGGUACUUCAUACUGCAUAGCCAUAUGCCAUCUGUUUGACUUCAUCUAUUGUGUCAAGUUAAGGCAUUUGAAGAUCGUUUCCAUCUUUUUGUCUGUGCCUUAUGGUGGUUAAUUCUUUGAGGAUUUUUCUUCUGGACUUUUUCAAAAACACUAAAUUUGUGACAUUAUAUUGUGGGAUUGAUGCUGGUACAUUAUAAAUGUUGAGGUGGCGAACUGCUCAAGUGAAUCUCUUUUCUUGAGGUUUUCAUUUGGUUUCAAAAACAAAAUUAGAAAUUAACCAAAAAGGCCUUUAAGCCAUAAAUUCAGGUCUUAUCAAUUCUUGCUUUUUAACUUAUUUUUUAUUGAUAGAUAAAAUUUCCUGGGAUUCAAACCUGUUGGGUGAGAGCCGAGUAUUUUAACCAUCCUGACUACUAUGGAAGAUUCUUGCUGUACUUAAUAUCAGAUAUGGAGAAUAUGGGGCUAAGGAAGUAAAGUUUAUGCAUGAAAUAGUCACUUGUAUUGCUAUGUAGAUGUGUGUCUACUGGUCUAGAUGGGAUUUAAAGCUCUAUCCGUCGUGAAGAUUCUCCCUACUGAUGUAUUCACACGUCUAUUGUUCCGCUUCCGCAUGACUAAUUUUUGGGUCACUGUAUCAAGACUUGUCUCAUGUGGCAUCCGUGGCAAUGCUUUGAGGGGUCUGGCUUGCACUUCAUGUGUGAUUCUGUGCUAUUUGCUAAAUGACAAGUGGCAAAACCUUAAUUCCAUUGGCAUACACCACAUGCUUAUAAUGCAUCUUUGUUUAGGUACACCCCUUCAAUGCCUCGGAGACAGCUAUUUGGAGAUGCACAGCGAGAAAACAAUCAUAUUCACUACACUGAGUAUGGAGAUUCAUCAAGUUGCUCCAACUUUGUUGAUCUAGAUUGGCUCUCAUCAUCAGGAAACUCAUGUGAGGAGGAGCCUUACGAAAGGUAAAUUCAUGUUCUUGGAGCUUCAAAGUUGAAAUGGUAGAACAUGACUUAGCUGCAUGAAAAAGACUAAUUGAUCAGUGGGUUCAUGAUAAGUUCCUCACCUAAGAAAGGGUUAUUUUGGAUGAUAUAGAGGCCAUAUCGGCCAUCACAAAUUGCUGUAUGUUAAAAUAUCACAGCAAGGACUUCCUACCUAUGUCCCUCUUUGGCUAACUUCUGGUGUCUUUGAAGAGUUCCACUUUCGCUCUGUGUAUCGUUCUUGGCAUCAGACUGUAUAGCUACGUAAAUACUUUAACACACCGAAUAUAAGGAUGUAUAUGCUCUCUUACAGAUGACCAUCUAUGACUGUUGGCCCGUUUACAUUUCGAGUUGGAUGUGAUCUUAGUAUAUAGAUUCACUAUGGAAGAACUAUUUGUUAACAAAGUCAUCUAUAGGUCAUCAAUACUCAUAAGCUCUCCAGUUGCCGGAUUGUCAUCAGAGAAUGUCAUGUAUGGAAUUGGGGCAACCCCAUCUACAAGUGAUUCCAGCAUGAAGGUCAGUGCCCUUCCUCAAGGUUCUAGCAACCGCUUUUCAGAAAUCAACUCUUGUUGACUCUUAAUGGUGAGACACCAUUUAAAUGUGACUUUCAAUUCUGAAGCAUUCCAGUAGUAAGGGGACAAAUGACUUCUGCUUGCAGGACUCUAACCUGCUUUAUGUACCUUAGCUUAGAAUAAUGCACAGGUGUUUAACUAAUCUGUUGUUCAGAUAUGGUCUUUACUUCAAACAAUGUAGAUUGAUAAAUGUGCUCAGGGAUAUGAUUUUCGUCUGAAAGGGAUAAUUUCCACAGCCUCCAUUGAGUGGCUCUUGUUAAACUGUACCUGUCGAAUGGUUGAAAGUCCACCGAGAUUAUGAUCCUUAUAGUUUUUAUGUAUUAGCCUCUUUUGCCUUAUUUAUUAUGCCGUGAAGACUGAGUAGAAUGGUUAGCUAGUACAGGAAUUAAGGGGUCAAAUUCUGAGUGUUAGAACUAAGGCUUGCAACUUCAUUGUAAAAUAGUUGGGACAAAUGGUCCAUGGACUCUAGCUCGAUGUGUGAUAUGGUCCCUAAACUUUCAAUUUGUUCAAUUUACUCCCUAAACUUUAUCCCAAUAUGCAAUGUCGUCUCUGAACUUUUAAUUUAUUCAAUGUGGUCCAUGAACUAUUGGUACAUGUUUAAUUUAGUCUUUGCACUUUAUGAAAAUAUUCAAUAUUGUUCCUAAACUUGAAUUCAUAUAAAGACCACAUCAAACAUAUUCAUAUAGUUUAGGGACUAAAUUCAACUUGUACCGAAAGCUCAGGGACCACAUUAAAUAAAUUAAAAGUUUAGGGACCACAUUGCGCAUUGGGCCAAAGUUCAAGGACCAUUUGUGCAAUAACCCAAAAUAGUUAUUUGUGUCAAGUUUUUAUGAACCUUCUGGAACAACAAAUCGAUAUUGUGUUGGACAAUUCCAUGGUGUUCGGCUAAUACUUUUUAUUUUAUAACCCUAAUCAGAUUGUAGUGAACUUUUCAUAUAAUAAAUUGGUUUGUUCUUGUCUUGUGCCAUGGCUCAAUUAAUGCCUUGCUGCAAGCUCCAGUUGACCUAAUUAUUUCAAUUCCCUUGAGAGUUGAAACUUACUAAGCAUGGUAGCACUGAGAGCCAUCUAGAGUUAAUCGUGAGAUUUUUCCUUGGAACAACCCUAAACACGUGCGAUGGAGCGUGACAGUAAAUCUAAUAAAUGAAAUGUCAUGGAAUGGUCUAAUCCACGGAUAGUGUGUACGAGCGUGAAUGCACUUGAGGUAUACCCUGCACCUGUUAAAAAUAUGAUCAUUUUGUAAACGGAAGUUCUAUUACUGUUUGCUUGGACUCCUUCACCUUAAAAUCGUCUCAGUGCUGAUACUAUCGAACUGAGCCAACUAGUAGGUGAUUUAGUGUUUAGUCAUGUACUCUAUGAAUUCUCGCGAUGGUACCGUGAUGGUCCUUAGAACCUCUCUAGCAUGCAACAGGGGUGACGAGAGUUGUUAGUAUUGUUUAGUUCAAAAGGGCGACGGGGAUUUGCUUUUCUCUAAGUUUUUUAUGACCGUGAUGGUCCUUAGAACCUCUCUAUCAUGCAACAGGGGUGACGAGAGUUGUUAGUAUUGUUUAGUUCAAAAGGGCGACGGGGAUUUGCUUUUCUCUAAGUUAUUUAUGCUUGUCCUUUCAGACAAGGGAUGUUCUUUUUUCAUCAUAUUGUGUGUGAAGAGAACCCUUUUCAUGCCAGUGACCAUUGCUAUUUUUAGAAUUUAUCACGCCAUUCCGUAACGAUAAACUAUUUGACUUUGUUCUGAAUGGCAUAGCUAUUACUUCUCUCUCCAGGGAAGGGAGCAUGCUGCAACUGAGCUAUCGUAUCAUUACUCCCAUAAUUCUGAUGUGUUGGAGGAAUUUUCAGAUGGCUUUGUACAAUGGGUAACCUAUGGAGAGGCGCUUUGUACAAUGGGUAACCUAUGGAGAGGCGCUCUGCCACUGAAGCCCAGCUGAUUCCCUGAAGGUUCUUCUCGCGUUCCCUUUUUAGAACUUGUUCCGAUCUAUACAGAGUUGAUGCAUCGAAUGGGGGUAAUAGGAGAUGGUAUCACGAACAAAGAGGACUCGGGGAAGAAAAAAGGGGGAUCGCCUUCGGUACUUCCGUCAUUCCUCCUGGUCGAGACCUGAUUGAUUAGUACAAAAGAGUAAAUAGCAACGGUUAGAAUUCUUUCUGGAGCUCUGCAUUUCCGUCUACUCAACAAUUUCAUCCAGGGACUCAGUAGGUUCGAACUUGUAAAUAUCUGUCUGCUUUCACUUUGCGAGCUCCACUUCUUUAAGCUGCAGAUAAUUGAUUCUUUAUUCCUUGAUGAUCCUACUUGCAUCUACGUGCCAAUAUUAGCUGUCGAGGUACCAGAGCCUCUCCAGUUGUCAAAAUGCUGUCAUUUUUAGCCAUAUAUGCAUGCGAAUAGUACUCCCUCUUCAUUAUCGUAGCCAAAGCUCUCAGGUUGUGUUUUACCAUAUGAGUUGACAAGUCGAUUGCUGAAAGAACUUGUGGAUUUUUGCUAGCCGACACAAAGUUCUUUGGUAUAAGAAAAUGUGGCAAGCGAAUCUUCCAUUUUGGUCGAAGUUGGCCAAAACGAGCAUGAGCCUUAAUGUCUAUAUUUGGUAGGCUGAUGGUCAUCUGCAUAGUGAAUCAUCGCUCUUACCCAGGAAGCAAUCUGUUGAAGCCACACAUACAUCUACCUGUUACGGAAAUUCUAACGAGUUUUUCCUGAAAUGUGUAGUCUGACAAACGGCACACAAGAGUUACGGACAUCAAAGGCCGAGGCUUGAGUUCAUAUUGUGGGAACAAUAAGGCGUUACCUUUGUUGUGCAGCUCAUUCCCAUCCCGGAUCGCUGCUGAGCCUGUUGAAUUCAGACUGAAAGCUUGUUCUUCGAACGCCAUUAGCAAAGUGGGACGUGGCUGUUGAUACCUCGCUUUCCCUCAUAGGCAACAGUUUAGACUCUCAUUCAAAUGACGCAACGCCACCCAAGGGGGACAAUUUUGGACCUCGCAGAGAUCGUCUCGUUAGUCUCACGUGUUUCCUGUAAUCUUGACUAGUCCAUUCAACCACUCUCCCCGUGAAAGCAGGGCCGCCUUUUGGUUAUUUGGUCCGAAAGCAGGGCUGCCUUAAUGUUCCCUUUUCCAAGUUGUGAACCCGUGACACUCCCGCUUGGAGGGUCCAGAACAGAGGUGGCAAUCUGACAGUUCCAGCAUUUAAGGCAGACCACUGGGCGAGCGUGGCUUUGGUGGGACCACGCGGCUUGCUCAUCCAUCGACACAGGAAACGCUACUUUUUUCCAGUUGACCCGGACCGGAGAAGCUAAAUUCUUAAUCUGUGCCGGGUUUUAGAUGAGCAAGUCUUGCAUGUACACAGAUCAUAUGGGCCCAUCCCAUCUCAACUAUUAAACUGUUUGUUUCCACAUCGGGCUACUAUAUUUGAUGAAUGAAAUUAAGUGAAUUAACGUACGCCGGGUGCAUGUGCUUAGUUUUUCGUUUUAUAACACACUUUUUCAAGUCUGCCGAUGUUGGUUUCAAGCCCCAUUUGGUCGGGACAGGCCUGCAGGGCGCUACGGGUGCCAAGCCACCAUUAAGUCCGAUCUAGUAUAUGCUAAGGCCUAUGGCAAAUUUGACCAAAAAGAAAAAAAAGGACUAUGGCCAUACUAAUUCGGAUUGGGCCAGAUCCUAACAAGGGCCAUUUUCCCCAAACCAGCCAACUAAAUCCUUUCCAGUUGAAGCAGAGCCAAGCCCGCGGCCCCAAUGGGUUAUUCAUUUUCUUCUUUCUCCUCUUCUAAUCGGUCGGUGGAGACUCGCCGCUUGUCGUUGGUCGCUGUUGUCACCGCUACUGAUCGCCAGUCAUCGCUGCCAGCCAUUGUUAGUUGUCAUGGCCAUUGAUCGUCAGAUAGAGGAGGAGAAAGAAAAGAGGAAAAUAAAUAUUAAAAAGGUAUAAAAUAUAUAAAAAAAAAUUCUCAUACAAAAAAGAUUUGUGAGUCAUACUAAAUGCAUUUCCAUUCUUUUUAUAUUCUGGAAAUAAAAAAAUUAUAUAGUUACCAACUAAGAAGCACCAAUACUCUCUAGAAGCCUUUGUAUCGUGUUCAACAUGUGUUUGACACGUUCCGAUACGUGGUCAACAAGCGUCGGGAAAUUCGACACGAGAUCAACUCUUCCCGACACACUCCAACACACGAGUCCGAAAUUCCGACAUGCGAUUCCGACACAUACAAGAUCAAUUUUAAAAAUUUUCAAUACUUGAGAAGUCAAAAUAUAAAUAUCUAAAAAAAAUAAUGAAAAUAACAAAAAUAAAAGUUCACUCUCAAGUUUCUCACUUAUAAGUUUUGACAUUCCCAUGAGUAACAUAAAACACCUCUCUUCUUGCCGGCGUCGCUAUGCCGCUCUCGCAGACUUAAAGUUGUGAUUUUUUAUUUUUAUUUUUUGCUUCUUUUUGCCUCUCGUAGGCAUUGCUUAUGAGUUAUCUCUUUUGGUCUAUGUCAUUAGCUUGUGAGUAGUCUCCUACAUUUUCCAUGCCGAAUUUAAUUAUUUCCUUUUCUUUUGGUCGUACUUCGAGAGUUCUUAUCCUAGAUUUUCAUUUUUCUCGAACCUUGUUUUGUAGAGGAGCUCCAAGCCAAUUUAUAUCAUGAACUCCAAACUCUACUUGAUUUUGAGAGGAAACAUGAUAUGUUUCUUCAAAUUUACUCGUGUUUGCAAUUUUUGAAUUUCUUAUUCAAUAUCUAUUAAACUAUAUUAACAAAUGUUGCAUUAAUAAUUUUAGUAUAAAUUAAUUCUAUGCUCUUUUUAUUAUUUAUUUUUACAUUUAUAUAUAAAAAUAUAUUAAUAUAUAAUGUGUCGGAAUGUGUCGAAAUUCUUUAUUUUUUUAGAAAUAACAUGUCGCAUGUCCGUGUCAGUGCUAAAUAGAUUACCAAACAUAUUAUUUUACUUAAAAAUUAUUUCAGAGAAUAGAAAUAGACAAAAACUAUUUCUAAAAAGAAAUUGUACUCCAAAAUAAAAAUGUUACCAAGCGCACUAUUGAAAGUACUCAUCAAAUUGCUCCUGUUACUUCUCUGAGAAGUUUACAAACAGAAUAAAUAGAAAUCCUAAGCAUAGCCAGGAAACCUAGCAAAGUCUGAACAUCUCCAAAAAUUUUAAUAUUUCCGAGCAGUAUAGUGUGCAUGAAGUUUGUGUGCGCUGAUUCACGUCAAGCAUUCUGCAAGCACCCAAAAAUUUCGAGAAUUCCCGCUUUUGGUCGGAUGAAUCAACCGAGGAUGGGGAAGAUGCGGGUGAUGUGCUCUAAUGGAAUGCUCUCUGCAGCGUUUUUCUUCAGUUCGGGAUGAUUGAACUCGUUUUGGGGAAUGAGGAUCAGUUGACCUUUCCCCUGUCCCUUCUCCAAGGCCCAGCCAGAGUUGGCGACUUGGUGUUCGAGGAACUUGUCCAGUGAUAGACCUUCUAUAUUGAUAGCCUGUAAUGUAAACACGCCAAAUCAUGAGCUUUAUCAAAUGUAUGCUAUUAAGGGACCAGACCGACUUUCCCACAACAUAAUAAUUUAGAGGGGUAGUGAGGCAAGAGAAAAUACUUGCAAACUACAUAUUUUCUCUAUCAAGCAUGAUACAGUAACAUAAUACUUUUAAUUUCCUUAGCACUAUAGGUCCAAAUUCUGCCUUAAAUAAAAAGAAAAGUGGAUUAUGGAUAAACAAACAAGGUACACAGUGGACAGGCCAACAUCACAAGUACCUCUGCAAGCACGGUCCUGGGAACCCUUUGGUAAGUCAAUGACAAUACGUGAACAGCAUAUGCUUGGAUUGCUUGCUCAAAACCUGCAUGAAAGAUCAGUAAGCUAUUUCUGCACUGUGAAAUUUAUAGGAAAUAAAAAAAGUAAUUGAUGAAACCAGCAAAGAAAAUACAAGUUCUCAUGGCAUAGUAGAUCAGAAAGUCCAUUGGCAACAGCCCACAGAAGCAAAAAUUAAGGGGCUUCUAAUAGCCGAGAAUCAAUAAGAAAGCUAAAAGAAAAGAAAAGAAGACAAAAAAGAAAGAGAGAGACCUCUUCUAACCAAGAAGAGAUCCAAAUCUAGUAUUGCCCAAGUUUCUGACAAUUGAAUGUGGUCUGAAUUUCUAUGCAAAAAUAUUGGGAAAGCUAUAAGUUCAUCAUUAAAUUCCAGACAAGAGGUAGAUUUCAGAUCACCCAAAGUAUUGGCCAUAUGAAAUAAUUCAGAGCAUAAACCAACAUAUAUAUAAAGCCAGUACUGAAGUUAUGGACAGUCAGACCAGAGAUAGAUGGCUAAGCCAACUGUAAAGGAAAAUGAUAAUAUGUGGGCAACAACCUGUCUAAAUUAUGCAUUAGAUGUACUUGUUCUGUUAAUAUCGAAGUCAUCUCUUUGCAAAUUCUAUUCCUGCUUUCUGUUUGAGGACCAAAUAUUUAAGCCAAGACAGUGAUAGCAUCCUCGGACAAAUUGCAGCAAGGGCAUACCAUCAAAGGUACAAUUCAUCUUCCGUUCCAUGACUUUAUCAUGCACAGUGGAAUCAUCAAACAUGUACUAUGUAUAACUCAUGCUCAUUUAGGUUCUUUAAUUCUAUCAACCAUCAAUAACACUACCUCAACCAGAAAUAAAGACAAUGAUUAUACAGUAGUAGUAAUGGUCAGGAUAUUUUCAUAACUAGAAAUCCAGUGUAAACAAAGGAAUUUGACCACUACAUUCAGAAGACAACACUUAAAUGCAGUAGAUCAAAUCAAUUACCUGACACAACUUCAAGCAGAUGACGACUCUUAGCCGCCUCCUCCCAGAACUGGCGAAAUCUUCCUGUCUGCAAAUAAGGAGAUAAGCAUUGAGUAAAAGUCAACCUUUCACGGAACUUAUGAGAAACCAAACUUAUAUAAUAGACAUACCUCCAAAUAAUGUGAGAGGACAAUCAAAGUCUUGAAUGGCUCUUCCAUUUGCUGACACAUCAACAAGAUAUCAGAAAAGGAAUAAUUCACUACACCACCCUAGCUUACAAUAAGGUAACCCAGACUGGGAACAGAAGACAAACAAGCUUCUAAAUAGAUAAAUUUAUGACUGCAAACCAACUGUCCCUACACAUACAAUCUUUGAUUAUAGAAAUGUCAAAUCAAACAACAGUCCCAGCGGCCAAUUACACCAUGAGGAAAAGGAAUAGAAAAAAAAAUACCACUCGCUCUGGAAUCAAGAAGAGACAAAGGCUGAAAUCCGGAGCCGGCAUUGCCAUGAGAGCCUGAUCCAAGUAUGAAAAGAAAGGGAGAGAGCAUUAGACAUGAAUAGCAUUGCAAAGCAUCAUACAAGAAUAUAUCAACGUCUUAGCAAAGUCAGACCUUUAUUAAGAUGCGAGCAACAAUUUGGGAGCUCAUCUUCUCCGGUUCAAACUGCAAAGAUACAGCAAAAUAAGCAGCCCGACAACACCACACAAUCACAUGAAGUGAAUUACAAGAUAACUAAUCAAAUCAUCGACCUAAAAGUCCAAACCUAAAAUCACAACACCACGAACACGAAUUCGCCCCCGGCAAAAAAGAAUCCGUAAUUCACGGUAGCGACCUCGGCAUUACCUGAUAAAGGCGGAGGAGGCAGAGAUUCGCAUCCAAGCUGUAGGUUUGCGAAGACACCUGCCGAACGCAACAUCAAUCAUUAGCAUUCACUAGCGUUUCUCCGCAACUCGAACAACGCCUCCCCGCGGCGGCGCAAUUUCCGGGCACAAACUACAAUCCGGCGGACUUUUCCUAACCCACCCACUUUCCAAUUCCAUCUAACCUCCAUAAAGCUCAAACCUUUACGAACUCUCCCGCUCUCUCUCACAAGAAAUUCAACCCACCCGGCCACCGCCGCCGCCGCGAAACCCACCGGCGGAAACCGCAAGGAGGCGGCGGCGGCGGCGGCCCGCCGUCGUCGACCGACGUACCUGCUCGUUGACGUGAUUCUCGAGAUCCGGAAGCAUGUCCGGGUUGUAGGGGUUGAGAGCGACGAGCUGCUCCACCGUGUACGAGACCUGUUCCCUCCCCAUCUCUUCUUGCCGGCCACGAACCACCGUUCGAUCGGGUGAGCUCUUCAAUCCGACCGGACGGGUUGCUGGGACGGAAGCCCCUUUCGAAUCUGGUUCAGUCGCUCGUCGUCGCUCGCUAGAGAGAUUGAAACGCAGGGAGAGGAAAGAGGAGGAGCGGAAGAGGGUUUAGGGUCGGCUUCGGUUUGCGUGGUGUGAAUUGACGAUUUUGUCCCUGACUUCUCGCCUUUUAGUAUUUUCUUUUUUUUUUACGAAAAUGUUAGAAAUCCUUGAGCAUGAUGAUGAACGAAAUAAAUUUAAUUAUCUCAGUCUAGUAAAAUUAAGAAUUAGAUACGUUUGGUAAUUAUUUUGUUUUCGAAAAUGAUUUUUAUUCAGAAAUAAUUUUUUUCUGGUUUUACUUUCUAAAUAACUUUUUGAGCAUUUGAAGGUGUUUGAUAAUUGUUCAAAAUUUUUAUUCUUGGGAUAAAACAAUAUUUAGUACGAUUUUCAAAUUUUUAUGUGAUAUAAAAUUUCCGUUAAUUUUUAAAAUAAUUUUAUUACAUGUUUAGCUUCUUAUUUUCUUUCCUUUUUUCCCCCAUUUUCUUCCUCUUCUUCUUUUAGCCAGUUGCUAGCCUUGGCUAUAGCCAACAACUAACGACGAUUGGCCAAAUGAGAGCCUGCAACCUCAUCGAGAUCAAGCUCACCCCAACCAUCGAUGGUGUUCAAUCUCACUAAGCCAUUGUGAAGUUGGCAUCGAUGGCCAUGGUGAGGUCAAUCUUGUGAUGGCUCGAGGCUCGACCUCAUCGGUGGCUAGGUGAGCUCCACCUCACCAGAUUUAGGUGAGGUUGACCUUGCCCAACGAGGCUCGAGCUAGUGAGGCUCGGCCUCAUUGAGGGUUGGCGACCAUUUGGUGAGGUUGCUAGGGUAGCCCUCACUUGGUCGAUCAUCAAUUAUGGCCGAGGCUGGUAACCGGCAAAUGAAGGAAGAAAAAGAAGAAAAGAAAAGAAAAGAAUAGAAAAUGAGGUUCAUUUUGAAGUUGUUCCUAAGAACAAAGAAGCAACUUUUAUUAUUUCUUGAUUCUAUCCUAAAUUUGUUUCUUCUAGAAACGAAAACUUUAUCAAAUGAAUUUUUGCUUUAUUUAUUUAUUUGAGAGAACAAAAUAACAAAAAUAGUUACCCUCCUCAAUUACCAAAUAUGGUCUAAAUAACUAUCCUGAUUAUUUGUUGUUCCAAUUUAUUCUCAAGAGAAGGUAAAUUUUUCUCUAAACCAUCAUUUGAAUAUAAUUCAUAUAUCUAUUACACAGUCAAGUUGCUACAAUUACAAGUGAAAAAAAAGUUGCUUGUAAAAUAAAAUAGAUAAAUAAGCUCCGGAAAUACGAGCAUUUUAGCCAGUAAUACUAAAUCAUUUCGCUAUCAUGUAAUUGAAAUUAUUUCACUAUCUUGAAUUUACCCUUUUAAUUUAUUUCUUAACAAAAGAAAUUGAUCAAAUAGAAAGAAUAGCUUCCUACAUUUAUGACAUCAUCAUUAACAGGAGGCAAAUGCCUCGUUUCCACGUCACUAAUCAAAACAUCAGUUUGACAAAUAUCAGGUACAUCUCGUUAUGCCUACCAUCAGUGACUAAGAAAGAUCAUUUAACCAACUAGGAGCAGCAUCACAAAUUACAAAUUCUUGCCGCCAAUCCUUUUUAGUUCCAGCUUGCGCAUCGGCACGCUCUUGGGCUUCUCUAAACACGCGCUCGAUCUUCGCCUCGUGGAACGAACCUCGACAAUCUCCUGCAAUCACCAUCCCUGCAUGAAAGUUUGGCUCAUAGAUGCAACAGGUUUGAUAUCAAGUUCCAGCCCAACCACGACUUCUUGUCAUUCGGGGAGACGAAGUUGAGCUGGAACAUCUCCUUGCUGACGUGCUCGCCGGACUCGCAGAACCCAACAAGCUUCGCGACAAUCUCCGCACUCUCCUGCACGUGCUGCAUGUUGUAAGGGUCCGUCCACAGCCGGUUCACCAGCUGCAGCCUCCUCUGCUUCCCCACCGGCGGGAUUUCCCAUUUCACGUACAGCAAUUCUCUCUCCUCCGCACUCAGCUUCGAGCUGACCCUCUUGGCCAAGUACUCCCUCUCCUGCUUAAGAGCCCUUAUGCUGCGUAACAAAAAUAAAACCGGCGAAACAUGUUCAAUGACUCGAUGUAUCAUGCCAUAAACUGUCAGUAUCUUCAUAUUUCUUUAGAAGUUGAUGUCUUAUUAUAGGCAUUUAGAAGAACUGAUUCAGAUACUUUUCACAUACCUUGAUGAAACAGAUCCAGCUGGUUCAUCACCCAACAAUGCCGGGCUCGCAUUGCCAAGCUCUGCUAAAUGUUGCUCCAGCCAUGUCAACCUUCUGAGCUCAACCUCCAAGUAUAUCUGAUCUGACGGGUCCCCUCUAAAGAGCAAAUAGAAUUGUGUGCGGUGCACAAUUGAAACAUGGCACAAAUGCCAUAACAUGAUGAUCUGCUUUCUUUGAUCCUCGAAUAUCAAGGGCCAUGGCUGGGGAGACUGCUCUACUGUAUCCGAUCCAUCUGUAGUUGUCCCAUUUGUUUCCAUUUCCAACACCUAUCAUAUAAACAGAAAAUGUUUAUAUGCCGUAAAGAUAAACUCCAUGAAUAAUCAGCCUGCUAAAAAUCUGUAUUAAUAAAGAAAGAAAGAGGAAAAAAAAAAGAAAUCACAGUAGAAAAGCUAAACUUGCCGAUGCACCUCCUUAUGCCUUUUUGCCUCAUGGUCAUUCAUUUGCCUACCUCAAUUAGCAUUAACACGAUCACAAUGCAGUUCACACAGAUGCCGGUGCAAACAGAACAUAUACACCAAGAUAAAAGGACAAAAAUGCAAUUCGCCCCACAAAUGUUUAUUGAAAAACAAUCAAACAGAUAGUCAGAUACCAUAACUCUGAGAAACUGUUUGCUUUCUCUGACAUACUUCUCAAAGUUCCUUAAGCUUAAUGUGAACUACAGUACGUAUCUCAUAAUCAGCUUUGAACUAAAAAAGCUCUGCAUCGAAAUGUUUGAACUAACCAAGCUCUGCAUCUAAAUGUAGCUCACCUGACAAACUAGAAGCUGCUUCUGGUACUGUAGCUUGGCCACCCGCUCUUUUAAUUCAGUGACAUAAGCUUUAAUGCUCCGGAUGUUCUCCUCAGCAGCAUUUUUGAACAUUUUCUGCAUUUUCUUCACAUUAACUGAUCCUGAUUUUCCUGGGGUUGGAGUUCCCUCCCUUGACGAGAUAUAUUUCUUACUUCCAUCACUUCUUUCGGUACUGGGAACAUAAACAUUUCCAUCAGGAGCCUUGUUCUCGAUCUCGUAAUCCAUCACCUUCCGAGAGGAGGACAUUGGUGAACAUGGUGACCUGAUAAUGUGUUGGAUGUUUGGACUGUUGCUCAAGGAGAAAGGAUGAGACCUCUUCUUCUUUGUUUGGGUCUUGUCCUCUGGAGACUCAGCGCUAGCCUGAAAAGAUGAAACAAGCUUGUCUAUUGAUUCCUGAACGCAUUCCAGCUUCCUCUCCAGCACUGCGAUGCUGUUCUCUUGAGAGUUUAGUCGAAUGAUUUCUUCCUGCAGAUUGGCCGUCUCUCCAAUGUUGAUACCUUCAGGAAUAGAGUUGACUACUUUCAUGUCUUUGAUUUCAGAAAGUAGCUUUGCAAUGUUUUCUGCAGCCUCUUGACUUCCUACUCUGUGGGAAGCGAUCUCUUUGUGGAGUAUCUCAAUAGCUCGGUUAGCCUCCUCCCCAAGCUGCCUUUGGCGUUCUUCUAUUUUCCGAAUUUCAUGCACGAGCAUGGAAGGGUCAGUUGAUGUAACUGACUGCCUCAGUGUUGAAUGCCCCCCACAUGCAUUUCUUGGUCGAGUUACAGGAGUAGAUCUGCCAGGCCUUGUCUCCAUCUCCACCGGAAAAGCAAGACACCUUACUACCUGACUUGAAGGUCCAUCUUGAUUGAGCCCCUAGAGUUCAGCAAAAGAUGGGACGAAGAUUUUUGCUUAAAUAUGGACUUUAAUCACAGCCGUGUGGUGGUAUAAAAAUGUAAUUUCUCCUCGUAGACAGAGAAGAAUUUAUAUUGAGACUAGAGUUUUGCCAAGAGUUGGCAUUUCCUCAUUUCCCUCUGUCUACUAUGAUGUUCCCCCCACUAAUUCUUACUCUCUGAUUUUGGUUCGUUUUUUAUGAUUCCUGAUUACAGAACAAGAUUCUCCAUGCUUACAGUCAGCGAAGUACCUUGCGUUCCUUAUGCUGUGUUCUUUCUACUUCAAGCUGGGACUGUGCUUGAUCUCUCUGGCGCUUGAGCUCUCUCAUUUCCCUCUCCAUCUGCACAUUGAAAGUUUCUUCUAGUAAACUCAAUUCAUGUUCCAACUUUGGUGAUAUGAGCAUAAAACCAGCUACUAGGAAGAAACUCAUGCAAAUUGUUCAAAAGUGAAGUCCACUCUGUGCUCACCACACAGCUGCAUUUUUAACAUGAGAAGUUUUGCAUCACACUUGUUGAAAGCACCUACCUCCUGAAUCUUCUCGUCCUUCUCCCUUAGUAGGGCCGUUAAACGUGAAGAGGAUGAAACAUCUGGACUCCGCAGCUCUGCUUCAAGUCUGGCCACUUCCUUCUGAAGACGCUUCACCAACUUUUUCUCAGAUAUAAACUGAAUAAAAAAAUUGCCUAUUAGCAGCAGAGAAAGGACCUAACUCAACUCAAUUAUGAGCAGAAACAGAUUAGACAAUCACGCAAGCAAUCUGAUUAUACAUGUCACACAAAAUGUUUUAACCCCCCCAAGCAUGCUUCAUUGAGCUCCUAGAGAAUGAGCAAGCGUCGUAUGAUGAGAGGUCACCAUUGAGCUUUGUUUGUAAAAUUUUCAGAAAGGAAAAUAUCCGAACAGGUUGAUGGACACAUCUCAAAGUGUAGAACUGUUAUCUCUUGGUUUGUCGAGAAAUCCUGAAGUUGCUGGUUAUUUAUAGUCCCAUCAAGUUGUAAAGUACUAAAAACUUGUAUAACUUUUCCUACAUGCAAAAUGGCUACCUUUUGUACUAUUUCUGCCAAAAGAAUGACAUACUUUCAGAGGAGCACUGAUAAUGAAUAUUGCAUUCUUAACUCUACACUGGAAAUGAAAGUCCAGCAAAGGAAAAAAACUAAGAAGAAACCAACAUUGAAUGAUCUUCCGUGUUACUUGUCUUACCAUGUUUACUUGCGCUGUGUUGGUGACUUCUUUAGCACUUGUUGCAAAAGAAAGCGUGUUUUUCGACUGCUCUACAUGACUCAGAGCUGGACUCAUGGUACAAAUUAUUGCUGUUCGAGCAUUUCCUCCGAGGGAGGGCUGCAGUAUUCUUGUAAGUUUAGAAUCUCUGUAUGGUAUAUGCCCACUCCUUUUUCCAACACUGCAUGGAUACAUUAGUGUGAGAUGAAGUCCAUUCAGAGUUACAUUUGCACAGUGGUGGAGUGCAAAAAUGAUUUGAAUAUGAGAACAUCACAUCACCACUUCUAUCUAGAUUAUGAUUUAAUAUAAUUUUAUUCCAGGUUUGAUGUUCUUCCCAAGAAAAUAGACAGCUAAUAUGAUUUCCCACACUCAUCUUCAUGCGCAGAGUGAAACCAACGUUUGCACCUCUUAAGAUGAUAGGAUACUUAGUUGAAACCAAAUGGAUUGUAGCUUUCACUGUCAAUACUGUGCAUCUUUUAUGGGGAGGUAGCAAGUUAAUAAUCAUCCCCAAAUUACAAAUUCAACAGGAUGCUUUCAAUAGCUGGAUUCUGGAACAGCCAUUUAAGUGGCAUUCUAACCAUUAGUUUGCUCAUGUAACAUGGGCCUAGUGCUCACAAGGGCAUAAGUUGGCUUUUCCUCAUUUCUGAGCUUCUAAUUAUUAAUUCAUUUGAGGUAUUGUCAAGUGAACUAGGGUUAUCUCAUUGGUGAAAAAAGGGUGGAUGAACUAGAGUUACUAUCACAGUUAGUGGUACUUCACAGUAACAAGUUCCCUAAGACAGCCAUUGCUUUUAGUUUCCUAAUGGUAAAUCUUAGAAAAAUACCAAACAGUAAUUUUGGAGUGCUUUGAUGAAUGAAGAUGUAAGAUAUCAAGGUUUUCUCAUCUACCUUAACUUUCUAAUGACAUUACUUAACUUUCUAAUGACAUUAGUCAAUGUAAGCAAACUGCGGUUGAUAUGACUGCCUUCCUUCAGUCUUGCGCCACCUUCCAGCAAGGUCCACAAGAUUCUGAAAGUAAAUAAGCUCGUCUGUUUAACUACUUUUCUUUCGUAUCAGAAAAAACUAUAACUGAAGAUGGAUAAGCCGUACCAAACUGGCAAUGAAUGACUUCACACACUCCGAGUUUUCUCUGAGAGCGCUCUCAAUCGUCUGAAUCCAAAUAAAAAUCCACAACAAGAAGACAGUUAAUACUAACUGGAAAUUUCAGUCCAGCCUAAAGUUUCUGCAGCAGCUAAAAAGCAGAAUGAAUUUGCCAGUGUCUGUAACAGUCGAACCAGUGAUAUUUAUUCUAGUGAGAGAAAGAAUAAUAUUCAAGAAGUUGAAAUUGACAGCAAAUAAAAUUAUGAUGGAAUAUAUGAUCUUGAACAAGCAGAUAAAUUAAGAUGAAAUCACAAGUAUAUGAAGUCAUACCAGCCUAAUUAUCUGAUGAGAUCUUGAGCUUUUAUCAUUUAGAGCAGUUUCUCCAAUUUGCCUUUGGGCUGAGGAUAUUAAUACAUUAAUACAUUGUGCCAAUUUAAAAAGAGAAUCAUCAACUUAAUACAAUGCAGAGUAUCAUGCAAUGCAUUACGUAGGCUCAAAAUAAUAGAUAUAUAAAGAUAGAAAAGUAUGAAUAAAUGAAUAAUUUGUUCGAUAAAUAUUUAUCAAAAUAAUGGGGGUAUAAAUGUCAGACGGUUCUCUCUCCUCCAUGAACUUAAAGUGGCCUUGACUUUAAAAAAGCUGCCUGAUGAAGAGAUGAUUUGACACAGACCUAAACCCCAGUAAUCAAGAAGCUUCGAUUACCUUCACAAAGACCAAUUAAGUGCUGCAAGUGUUGACUGUCCUUUACAACUACUUCAACUAAUUUUUCCACAAUGGUCCCUUUCUGUAAUGCAAAACAAAGAGAAGGAAAAAGAAGUAAUUUCUGAGUUAAACAUAGGUACUAAUGCAUCAUAUUGUUUUAGAAAGGUUCCUUGCAGAAAAAAAUAGAAACAUUUGAGUACCUCAGGAUCAUCAAGGAGUCGAAGAGGACCAGAAUCAUGAUUCAGAAGGUCAUUAACACUUUCAUUGUAUAUCUCCAAUGCUGAAACCUUCAGAACAAAGUCUCUCUCUGGGUUCUGAAAGUUUGAUUGUAGAGUAAGUUGGCUUCCUGCUAUGGCAGGACUAUAUUUCUUCUCAAGGAAAAACACUCAAUAAAUUUCUGUUGUUUUAAUGAGAAGUACCUCCUUAAUGUGUUCAUAGAUGUCCUUGAUAGCAUUCUCAGUGAUUCCUCUCAUGGUGUAUGUUUUCCCACUACUAGUUUGCCCAUAAGCAAAAAUAGUUGCUGCAAUAAUUGGGAAAUGUUUAAUUCUAGAAACAAAACAAUCUGCAUGAGAUUUUCAUGUCAAGGUAUUAACUACAAACUAGUUCCAUACAAUUAAUUCCUUUGAGGGCUGAGAGGGCAACAUCUUUGGCUCCUUCUUCAUACACCAUGUAAGUCGAACUUGCAGGACCAAAUACCCUAUCUACAUAGUAAACCAGCAUCAGAAUCAGAAUCAAGGAAUUCCCAGGUUGUCUCACAUCACAUUAGUAUAUUUAGUCACAUUACAACCUGGAAAUAUAACUCUCUUUUGCAAUUAUGGAAAUUCCUUAAUGAGAAAGGUCUUAGUAACUGAAUUUUGGCAAGGAUAUAAUCCACAAAUAUAGAUACACUUCACAGUACCAAAUACGUAGGAUGCUGCACCACGUUCUUGAUUGGGAUUCUUGUAAAUGAUAGUGUUGUCAUCAGUGCAUUCCCAUGCAAUCAGGUCGUACAAUGCUUGUUCUCUCCGACUUAAAGGCCUUAGACGAACGGUGACAAAUAUCUUCUCCUCUCGAUGUGAGGCCCCUGGUGUAGAUGAAGGGGUUCUUCGCACCUUAGAGGAUGGUGUAGCUGGUGCCCUAUCAAUCAUGUUCGCUCACUGCACCACACGCUGAAAAAAUGAAAAUCGUUUAGGCCAAUGGACAACAUAAGUAUCACAAAAGUCUAUAAUGUCAAAGGCACUUGCGUCAUAGGGAACAGGAAUCACUAGUAGUUACGAUAAGUCUCACUUUUGCAGCAAAUUCCACAUUCUGAAGGGCAGUCAUGGAGUGUAAAUGAAGUUAGACUCUGAAAAGGCUGUAUUAUUCAAGGUUCUCUCGCAAUUUGUUUCUUUUACCAGAUAACGAAUGACAGUGAUUUUACAGCAACUGCCAUUCCCAUACUAGGCUCUUCAUCACACAACCAAUGCUGAAUUUGGCGGAAUGCUCCGAUCACCACACGGUCUAAAUCAAUCACCAGAACCGUCUAUUCCUCCCCAUUUCACAUUCGAACACCAAGCAGAAGAACUAGCUAGCCGCACAUGGAGUACCGAAAACCAGAGACCUAGUCACAAGUCUCAGUAGCGAUUUUCACUGGUGAUUCCACGUAAAGACAAAAUCUUUCUUGCAUUCCUCAGAUUUUCAGCAGAUUCACCCGAAAGCGAAUGAUCCGAACGCACAGGAAUCGAAGACGAACAACGACAAAGCAGCUGCGUACUCGGUCCAUAUCAACCAAUCGAAAAGAUGAGAAACGAUCGUCACGUCUCCAUUCCAUAAUCAUCAUCUCAACACGCGACAACAAAAACCACCUGAAACGCAACGGAAAUUGAAAAACGCGACGGCGCGACCACCGACGGAUUCACCGACGCGAAAUGCGGAAGAGGACCGGACGAGGACUCACCGGCGAUUGCUCCGGCAGCCGAAUCGGGACUUCAAAUCGCGGAGAAACGAGAUCGGCGAUCGGCGAAGAGAGAGAGAGGUUCCGCAGGAGUCGAAGUUCAGCGGAUGAACUUGCGAGAGAGAGAUGAGUUACGGAAUAACGGCUAUUUUUGUUUCCUUUUUUAUAUAUUUAUUUCGGUUCUGUUUUUUGAGUUCGAGGCGCGGCGUUCGCGGCUCACGCGCACCUGAAGGAAAUACCCCCUUUUUCAAAAAACCCAUAGAAAUAAAUAAAGAGAGAGAGAAUUUGUUGCGCUUAAUUUGAAUUGGAGCCGUCUGAUUUCGGGUCACGGGUCGGACCCCCACAGUUUGAUUUCGGGGCCCCCAAAUUCGCUUGUGCCCUCACUUAUGAAUUAAGUACUAAGGGUAUGCAAAAGAACCAUAAACCACCUAGAUUGCCUAGAACCGAACCGAAUCAGAUUGGAACCGACAAUUUCCAAGGGAAAUGGUCUUGUUCUUGUUAGUGGGUAUCGGUUUGGUUCCUAAUUCUAGAUGUGGAACCGUCCACCCACUUAUCUACAAAUGUAUUUUAAUUUUUAAGAAAAAUUUUCGACCCAAAAAAAUUUAAGAAAAAUGAAAACUAUAAACUCCCUAAUUUUAAGCUCAAUACCUAUUAAGUGAGUACUCAUCUUGUUUCACUCACACCUCAUAUGAGUCAUCUCUCUAUCUCUUACUCACAGCUUUGACUCUCAAGCUCAAUGCCCAUUAACUCACGGCAUCAACUCUUAACUUUUAAUAUGAGUUCAAUCUUUUUACUAAGCUUACAAUAAGGAACAGGGAAUUUUAUUUUAUUUUUGCUUUACUUUUUACUUAUUGGAAAAUAUUGCUCUAAAUGCAUGAAUCUUGAGUGGACCGGUUUUAUGGACCCACCUAGAAAUUGAACCGGGCCGACGAUUUGGUUCUCGGAUGGAUCCAUGGAAUCAAUGAUGGAACCAAUGGGCAGUUCCUAAGAACGUGCAAAAGAACUGGGACUCGCUCGAACCACUUGGAAUCGGAUCGGAACUGUCCGGAACCGGUGGUUCUUAAGGGAAUCGGUCUAGUUCCCGAUUCUAAUUUAUGGGAACUGAGGGAUACCGGUCCAGUUCUCGAUUACAGGGGCAGCUCCGUCUACCCGUCCACCCAGACAGGAACGAUUAUAUUAUAAUAAUAUAUUAAUUAUUAGUAUUAAAAAAUGAAAUUACUAAUUAACAAACCCAAAUAAUAAUAAUUAACCUAGAUCAAAUAAUUAAGAAAAUUAAUUAAAGUGGGUAAUCUAAUAUCAUGCUAGUCAAACCAGAUGAAGAGGUCUUGAUCUUGAAGUUGAAAAAUAGAAGGAGGAGAAGAAGAGUAGGUCAAGCGAAGAACUAGUAAUUUUGAUCGAAAACCAAAGUUGUUUCGCAUUAAGAUCGGAGCUUUCAAGAAACCCAAGAACCCCUCGGGCUAGGGUUCGUAGGGAAACCCUCGACAACAACACGUCCAUUCGUCUAUCCCUUUCUCUAUUCGGCCCUCCGAAAAAUCACCGUCACCCUCGACAGUAGCAACUUGUGGCUUUUGACUUAUAAUUAGUUUUACCUUCUUUCACUUUCAACGUUAUGUUUUGAUUUCUAGUUGUCGUAGCUUUUGGUUUCUAGUAUAUUACUCGAUAUGAAUAGUACUCACAAUAGGAUUUAGAAAAUUAUAUUAUUAUUGGUGAGUCGAUUCUAUGGAUUCACCUAGGAACUGGACCAGUCCGGUUCCCAAGUGGAUUCAUGCAACUAACGGGUGGAUUCUGGUUCCAAUUUUUUGAAACUGGUCCUUAGCGGGCGUGUUCUCGAUUUUAGGUCGGGAACCGCCCACCAGAACCAUGCACACCUCUAGCGGUUCCCCAUUUCUUUUUGGAAUCAAUCCUUAGUGAGUGGUUCCUAGUUUUAGUUUGCCAAAAAUCAUGAUCCUAAAUCCUAACAUGAACUUCAUAGAUUAACCUUGUACAGGUCGAUCUUUAAAUAUAAUAAGCUCCACACGAGAUUUUAUGAUUUAAGAACCAAUGUUCCUAGUACGUAAGAUGAACGGACCUUUAAGAUUUAUUAUCAUGCCAAGAAGCAUGCCUUACACGGUUCUUCAAUUUGUCUCGGUCAAAAUUUCGAAUUGACCAGAGAGGACAACUCGAUUUAGAUCAAGCAUGAGAUCAUGCCUUACGCUCGAGACACCGUGCUAAGAAAAGUCCUCAAACAAUCUUUUCUAUAAGUACGUGGAAAGCACCUCUAGAUGAAAUUAACUAUUUAUUACUCGGUUAUAUUCCAUGUUUACGCACUAAUUGACGAAAUUUGGUGUGUGGUAAUCUCUCUUUAUCUAUUGAAGAUGGGCCUGCUUUGUCGAGUCACUGUGCAUUAAGCCCGAUAAGGAAGGUGGCCCAACUCCAUCUUGGGCCACUUUUCUUUUGUUCAAGUUAAUUCUUAUGUUGAAUUGAUUAAUGGAAUGCUAACGUGGCGUUGGCAUCACGUAUGCGUAUGAUUAGAUUAAUCAACGUGAUGUGGAAUAUAUUUUCACUCAGUGCCGGUUAUUAAAAAGAGGGGGGAAAAAUCAGAAAACCCUAACCAAGAUGAGUGGCAUAGGAUAAGGGAGGGCUACUCGGCUGGGGCGGGCGGCAAUGGUGCAUCGAUGAGGCGUGGCAAGGGUAGUCGAGUGCCCGAUGACGUAAGGCAACUGCUAUGUGGCCUUCGUCACCUCCAAUCCAAGUACAUGUGCACACAUAGAGCGAGAGGAAGGCACAUAGAGAGAAAAAAAUGGUGGUAUUGUGGUCACUACCUGAUCCGAUGUGGCUAGGGUUGCGCAACCCCGGCCCCCCUCCCCCAAAGUUAACUGAGACAAUUGAGAUAUGGCCAAGGUUGGUUGAUCCCUGAUGCCACCUUGCCGAGGUUGCAUGACCCCAUUGGUUCAUUGCCUUGCUUUCGUGAUUCUCUCUCUUUCUCUCUCCCCAAUUUCCUUAUGUUCUAUUUGUUUAUAUUAGUUUUAGCUUUAUAAUAUUUUCUUAUUGUUGAUUUCUUUUUCAUUUCUGAAAGAUCAUGUUAGCAUUUGAUGGCAAAUUGCCACAUCAUAUUUCCGCCCAUAAUUUAAUAGAAGAAUCGACUUGAACAAAAAAGUGUAAAGUUUAAUGACUUGAUUAUACAUGAAAUGCAAGUGUACUUUCACAAGUAAGAUAUAAAGAAACUCAAUCGGCAAUCCUCGAGCUAGUUAUGAUUAUUCGCCAAAAAUAAGAAAAAGAAAAACCUGAUAGACCUUUUACAUGGCUUCUUAUAUUUGGAAAGGAUGGGUUACAUAUCCCAUUUAGAACUUUGUAGAUUAAAAUUUGGGUUGCGUUCAAGAUUGUCGAUUGUGGAGGUUUUGUGACAUGCAAUCAACUCUCUAUGACCUCUUGAGUUUCUUUUACCGCAAAAAUAAAAAGUUGGUAUCUAAAUAUUGAUUAUUAAAACUCAGCAUGAAGUAACAUACAAUUUAUCAAAAUACUAGCAGUAUAUAUAUGACAUAAGUCGGCAUAUGAUAUAAGUUUUCUAGGCUAAUCUUAGUAUGCCUAACAUUUUUCACCAGAAUAUGCACAUGAUUUGAGUUGGCAUGCAGCAUGCGACACUUUUGUCCAAACAACUUUAUGGAGCAAAAAAAAAAAAAGAGUGAAGAUUCACCGAAUAAGCAACUUAUCAUUUACUUGAGGGCAUUACUAUUUAUGAAGCCGCCACUUGUUUGGUUUGAGUGUCCAUGAAAAAGUUGUAUUACCUAUCUAGCUAGUCACAUCUCAAUAUUCUUACUAAGUAUUUUUAUAUAUAGCAUGGAGUUUAGCUUUAAAUUAAAAGUAAAUGCAUUUCUCCCACUCCCAACCUUUAAAAGAGUUGUCAAUGAGAAAAGGUAAGGAACCUAUUUUUAUUUCUUCAAAAUUCGAAUAGAGACCAAGAGAAAACCUUUCUUUUGAAACAUAAAUAUAGAUAAGCCUUGAGUGCAUGCAUAUUUUUCAAAUUUUCCCAUUUCUAUUAUCUGCAAAAUGGCCUAACCCUUCGAAUAAUUUCAGGCAUACAUAUAAAGAAAAAAUUAAGGAGGAGGGUUGGCUUCACUCUCUUUUUUUCCCAUUGAUUUGCAUACACCAAAUUAGACGGCGUUUUUUUUUCUUUUUGGUCGAAAAUUAGAUGGGUGUCGAGAGUUGACAAUGCUAAUGAAGAAAAGGAGACAUUAGAGAAACCAGUCGGGUCAAAUCCGUCAAAUCCGACCUCGGAUUCGCAUCCCAAACCAACCAAUGUGGACGGUGGAAUCGCUAGAAAACGAGCGGCUCAGUGAGUCGAACGGGAGAGGCGAGGAGAGGCAAAAGUAAAAAAGCGCAAGCAGCCAAAAUUUCCGACAGAAACGCCUGCAUGGACCAGUAAAAAGGGAUAAAAGUCAAGAGACUCGAGAGGGGAAUCUGGGAGGAUGUCUUCUGGUGCAGAAGAGGGAUGAAAUGGCAAGCACUCGAGCCUCGGGGCUGGCCCCCACUCGAACCACUCAGCUUGUUAAUCCUAUCUCAAAAUGCUUUGCCAAUUGAAGAAUCUCAAGCACUUGACGUAGUUGCUAUAUGAGCAAAGACUCAGCCCUGUUAAUGAUCUGAAAAGGGUAGGCAUAUUCCAGUCAUUUUGCCCAAAUUUGCAUAACCGGCUUAGUUUAGCUGACACAUUGUCCACAUCACAUCUAAAGUCCAACCAUAAUUACCUGUGAGAUAGUUUGGUAAGAAUGAACAGAGGGAGGGUUGAUCAGUUGGUUCAUCUUACCUAUCACCGUUCCCUCUAUAUUUCUCUUGAGUACAAAAUGGAAGUAGCGAAUUCUAAUUAGUGAUAAAAUUGGAAUGAUCAUAUCAUAUUAAAAAUGCUUGAUAUAUGUUGUAAGAUGAUCAUCAUAUUUUCAGAAUUACGGUUAUCAGCUCAACAGUAAUCGUAGAGUUACCUGUUUAGUUCUAACAAGAUGUUGUUGAUCAAAUGAGGCCGAGCUCAUCAAAAACAUUUUAUGUUUCAUCAAAGUUAUGGUAUGAAAUACCCAUAAAAGAUAACAACAAAUCGAUCUCAUUAAUGAGAAGCACCCAAGUUUCUACAUGUGCAUUAAAUCUCACAAGGACAGGUACACGUAGGGUUGCCCAUUGAUUUCACAGUCCUCUAAUUGUUAGGAGAAGGCCCGGCAAGAGAUCCUUUACCAAUAAGCUCAUGCACAAUAAACAAUUUCCAGUACAUUAUCAGAAAUUCAUAAUGUCAUGAUCCAAUCCACCAAUACAAAGCGAACCACCCAACCUCUAGAGUAAAAGAAAAGUUCAUAAAUAGCUAACUUUAUAGGUGACCCUUUGAGUAGAAGAAAAGUUAUGUAGUAACUAACCAAUCCGAAAAGCCACCAAUCUGGGAAAAAAUGUGCUUAGAUAGUUUCUAUUUUUAUCUUUUUCGUAAAAAAAUUUUAAAAAAUAAAGUGAGACCCACUAAAUUUUCCUUAUAGUUUAUUUCGAAAUGAGAAGUCAACAGCACUGUAUCAUCCACUCAACCAGAAUUUUAUUUGGAAAUGAUAAAGCUAAUGAUGACUGAAAGAAGUCUUGCGUCAACAGCACGCACAAAGCCGGUCAUGGCCAGCCGAAAUUCUUCUAGAAAAAUAAAAGAAAUUAAGAACAUCCUCAACCACAUUUCAAGCUCGAUAUAUUUAUGUAUACGAAUAAAAUUUUGAAAUUAGGAUUCUCUUGUGAGAUGGAUCGAAUUCAGCUCGUAUCAUUCCAAUUCCUUAAUAGUGAUGGGGAUAGGACACUAAUCUUCAUAGUUAUGUUAACUCACUUCAAUUAUAUGUAAAAUCGUGUCCGCUUCAAAUUAGACUAUGGACCGACAACAAUUGAAGAUCAUACGUGCCUUAUCUUACUACAUAUGUUGUCACGAAUAAUAUGGUACAUUGUCGAUAUCUAUGUAAUUUUGCAUUUGCUUAGAUGGAAAUCCAAUUUCUUUAUGCUUAAUUUUUUACAUCAAGUCAAUAUUAAGUAAUAAUUCAUGAUAAAUCUUACUUUUUUAAAAUUGGAUGAAGUAGCGUGUUAUAGUUUAAAGCAUAUGGUGCUUCUUGUAAGAACUUAAAUUGUGGAAGAACGACAUGACAAAUAGCUCAUAGCUAACAAGGUACGAAGACAAACUUUCCUGAAUCGGUGAAAAAAAUCAAGGUAAUACAUAACUUUUCUUAGACGAGCCAAAUAUUUUUGUUGACUUUAUUUGGGUAACAAAUCAUUUAGUUUCUCUACAAAGUUCAACUCCUCACCUUUCACUAGGGUUUUCCCCCCGGUUUUGCAAGCUAGAAGUUGACAAACCAUCAAUAUCAAUUGCUAAUAAAAUCGUCAGUAGAGGAUUUCUCAUGCCUUAUAAGUACAUUUGCCACAUGCAACGGUGGGCUAGUAGUACAUGCAAAAUUUAGAUGAAUGAAAUAACAAGUGCAAAUAUUGGGAGUUGCGCUAGUAGCCAUCCUUCUCCAAUAGGAAGGGAGAGAUAGAGAGUUUGAUUCUCCACAUUUUCAAGAGGGUUGGGAGUGAGGACGUUUAGUUUCAAGUGUAGAGUUUGACUUCUAUAUCCUAAAAAAAACAUAGCAAAAAUUUGAAAGUGAAUUGAGAAUUAGAGUAUGGCAAAUAAUAAUAAUACUAAAAAAAACAUAGCAAAAAUUUGAAAGUGAAUUGAGAAUUAGAGUAUGGCAAAUAAUAAUAAUAAUAAGGUGCCAUUAUGGUGUUCAUGAAGCAUUUGCAUUGGGGGGCGACCAGUGUCCCACCAAUCCUUGGAUGAAGAUCUUUUUGAAGAUGAACGAUGUUUGAGAGUGAUGAUCUCUAGUCAUAAUUUGCAAUAUCAAAGUAGGGAAUGAUAUCUUUGCUUUUAAGAAAGGAUUAUUCAAGUGACAUUAUGGAACAAAACGGCAGAUAAAAAAAUUAAAUUCAUAAUUAAAGUUUGAAGUAUUUGAAAAUUAUUUAUCAAUAUAAUAACCAUUCACUUAAUUUUUGUUAAUGCGUGUCUUAAGCCACUUGUUAAACAUUUAAAUAUAGAGAGUUUUUGGUUUCCAAAUGACUAUUUUUCUCUCAUCAUACAUAAUCGGUGCAUUAAAAAUGCAAAUCUUUAUUACGUAUGAUUAAUAUGUGCCUUAGGAGUGUACACGUACUCUUCGAGUCUCCGCUUCUUGUUUCCCCAAACAGUUUGGGGGGAAGCUUGUCUUCCUACUACAUACACUAUCAAUCGUAUUAGGUUGGCUAUCAUAAAUAACAUUUCUCCUUAUUAGUGCUUGUAUGGUAGUGGCCUCAAUUACAAUCUUUUUCGAGUCUUUGAUAGUGUUUGUUUUGUGCAUCUUCUUCCACAUGAACGCCAAAGUUAGAAUCUAGUGUUUGUUCAUGGUGCUUCCUUGGAUAUGGUGUUGUGCACAAAGGGUCUAGACGUUAGGAUCCAAUUUCUAGCCAUUUUAGUGUGUCUUAUCAUGUUACAUUUUGGGAACACAAAAUAUUUUCAUCUCUCAAUUCCUUCAUAUUAUCAACUCAGGUACCCUUCUUCACUAACACUUAAGUGGAUUUACUCUCAGAAGAUGCCACAACUUUGUCCACUUGUGAAUCUUCCUCUUUGGAAAUGCCGUCUUCUAAUCUAGCAUACCACCCCGGUAACUUCUAACGUGUGUGCUUUAUUUGUGGAUUCUCCACUAACCGACAAUCCAUCGUCCUUUGCUCGUCAUUUCACAAGAGUAAGUCAAGCUUCUAUUCGACUUUGCAAUUUCCAUUGUUACUCUACCAUUGCUUUUUUUUUUUUAAACCUUGCAUAUAUAGAAAAGCUAGUAUUGAUCCUCUCUAGUAGCAAACAAUGAUAGAUAAGUUGUAGACCUUAGACAAAGCUCGUACAUGAGAUUUUGUUGAUUUGUCUCCUCGUAAGUUCAUUGUAUGUUGUAAAUGGGUAUGUAAGAUUAAAAUAAAGGAAGAUGGUAUUAUGGACCAUGACAAAGCUCGGUUCGUGGCGAAGGUUUGCCUUAAGAAUAUGAAGUUAACUAUGAAGAGACUUUUGCUCCUGUUUUGUGCCUUACCAAAAGACUUUUGUUCAUAGUUUUUUUGUUGUUGUCACAAUUAAGCACCGGUUUAUGUUCUACGUGGAUGUUAAAAAUGCUUUUUGGAAUUGCAAUCUCAUUGAGGAAGUUUAUAUUGUUCCUUCGGUUGGAUGCACUCAUCAAUCUAACAAGGGUUAAUACCCUGAAAAACCUCAAACUGGUACAUCUGUGAUAAAUUUACCCCAAAUUAUUUUUUUGACAAUGAAAAAUCCUAAACUGAUACAUAUGUGGCAAAUUUAUCCCGACUAACCAUCAAAAACCUUAAACUAGUACAUUUAUGACAAAUAUACCCAAAAAUAAUUUAUUCGAUCGCAAAAAAUCCAAAAUUGGUAAAUUUGUAACAAAUAUACCCUCCGCUAAAUUGGAUUAAUACCGCAAAAAAAUCACAAAAAUUGUAAAUAGUGAUAAAUAGAGCGUAAAAUCCCAAAUUGGUAUACCAGUCAAUUGUCAUAUGUCAUUUAACUUAAUAAUUUGACGGUAAAAUUUAAUGAAAAUUAACAUAUGGUAAAUUUGUCACAAUAAAUUUACUAAAGGUAUAUCAAUUUGGGGUUUUUGGUGGUAAAAAAAAUAAUUUUUGGUAAAUUUGUCACAAGUAUACUGGUUUGGGGUUUUUUUAGGGUAUUAACCCAUCUAACAAAGCGUGUUGAUUACAACAUACAUUAUAUGGCAUGUUAUAGGCUCCUUGUGGAUGGAAUUCCUACUUUAGCUCAAUCAUGGUAUCCCAAAUUUAGCUCAACCACGAAAUCUCUUAUCGAUUUCGUGUGUAUAUUAUGAUGCUCUUAUAUGUGAGCAACAUAGUUAUUACUAGUGAUGAUCAUAAUGAAUUUCAAAACUCUAGGAAUAUUUUAGUUAAUAGUUUGAAAUGAAAGAUCUUGAGCGAGUUAGGUAUUUUUCAAACUUAAAGGGUAAUUGAGAUUCCUUUGGUUAUUAUUUUUCAUAAGCAAAAUAUAUCAUUGAUCAUAUUUGUAGAGUCAGGCUCACUAAUAACAAGGUUGCUCCAACUCCUAUUGAGAUCAAUGUCAAAUUUGAUGCCAAAGAUGGAACUCCUCUUUUGAAUCCUAUACUCUAUUGACAACUGGCUCGACUUGACAUCACCCAUGCUGUUCAAAUUAAUAGUCAAUACAUGAUUGCACCUAGUACAACUCAUUUUUCUUCACUAUGUUAAGGGUAUAUUAUUUCAUGGCUUUCACUUUUCUGCUCAUUCUACCUUGAAAUUACAACUUAUUGUGAUGAUGACUAGGUGGUGAUCCUCAAGGUCAUUGGUCCAUUACGGAUUACUAUUUCUUUUCGGGCAACUCACUUAUCUCAUGGCAUAGCAAAAAAUUGACCAUUGUCGCUCGCUCUAAUAAAGAAGCAAAAUAUUAAGCUCUUGUUGAUAUUCACUUAUCUCAUGGCGUAGCAAGACACAAAAUACUAUUGCUCACUCUAGUAGAUAUCAUAACUACUAUGGUUGUGAUAAAACAUGGAGUGCGUCGUUAUAGCUAAACAAUCAUCCAUUGCGAUAACCAAAGUGCUAUUCAAAUAACAUAAAAUGAUGUUUUCCAUGAAGGUGCCAAACACAUUGAAAUAGACUAUCAUUCACGCGAUAUCAUGUUUUUCGUGACACUUUUCGACUUGUCUCUACUUCAUCUACUAAACAAACUAUUGAUGUCUUCACUAAGACACAUCCGCCUGGGCAUUCUCUAUAUAUUUUCUCAAACUCAAAUUGAUAUCUUUCAAAUCAUCUUGAGUUUGAGGGGGAUAUUAGAGACAUAAUUAGGAGAUUUUGUAUUUUUCUCUUAAUUAAUAUGAUUGAUUGUAAUUGAAAAUUUGUUUUACUUUUGAUAUUCAUCCUCUAAUAUAAAGAAUAUUACGUGUACUCUUAAUUUGACAAUGUAAAGAAUAUUAAAUGCUUCUCUCUCUCUCUCUCUCUCUCUCUCUCUCGUCACAAUUCUCUAACUCCUAUAAGUACAUUUCCCACAUGUAAAGGACCCACUACUUAUAUAGGAACACAUGCAAACAUAAAAUGAAUGAAAUAAUAGGUGCCAUUAUGGGGUUCCCAGAGCACUUCAUUUUGGUGGCCACCAAAUGACCCUACAAUUCUUGUCCGGAGAUCUUUUUAAAAAAUUAACAAUAUUUGAGGGUGAUCUCUAGCCAUAGUUUAUAAUGUCAGGCAAGGAAUGAUAUCUUUGUUAUUAAGAAAAGGAUUAUUCAAGUGACAUUAUGAAACAGAAAGGUAGAUCUGAUUAACCUAACUUUGGAGCUAGUAUUAAACUUCACAUGAAAAACACACAUGCAUUGUAUCCUCUCACCACGAUGGAUUGCAUUUAAUGAAAAUAGAAUGGUCACCUUAACUAACUACCAUGACUAUUUAAUAGCUCGAGAAUGACUAGUUUUCCACCAGAAGGAGAGCUCUCACCAAUACCACCUACAUGUAACCUCAAGAGAAACAUACAUGUAAAGCUCUAAUCUUCGUCCCUUCCUCUAAAAAUCACAAACUUAGGUAACUAGGGACACUUCCAUGUCUUGAUGAUCAUCUUGCUUGUGGACAAGAUUUAUACCAUUGUCGAGUACAUAUGCGAUAUCAAAUAAUAAGACAGAAAUUAUCCAUUUUCAGAUGAAUGAGGUUCUACCCUAAACACAUUUCAAUGCACAUGGCAAUAUAAAAAAAGAAAAAGAAAAAGGAAAAGGAAAGCUCAAGACACACGAUCUGCAAUUCCAAUCUUGGGAAAAGAGAAGUCUCUUUCCCUCACCCAUUUUCACGUCUUGACUUUUGGUUAAAAGGAGUUAGGCGGACCAAACCCCUUCGGUUGCAUAAGCCAAUGAAAAUGAAGGGGCCUACCAAUUGCAUCAUUGUCCUAACCUCAGUGGCCCUCGUUUUCUUAUAUGCAUACGUGAAGGAGCUCCUUCCGCGAGUGAAAAACGUGAGCUCACUUGUCUUUCCCCUAGAUAGCUGGAAUUCUGGAUGGGGUUAUGACUUUAUGAGGAUUAACAGAGUCGGUGUAUUGGAUAAGGCCGAAAAAAGUCACCUGUCUAGAAUGCCCUAGAUAGUGACAUUGCGCGGACCUCAUCAUAAAGUCCGAACUAAAAACCGAACUAACCCUUUAGGAAGGACGUGGAAUUUGACUAACGGGGGCAGACAUACGUCUAAUGGGGGUAGACAUACGUGUAAAGGAGGCAUCAUAACUUAGCUCUAAUAUCAAAUUAGAAUGUCCAAUCUGAAAACUUAAACUGAUAAAUGGAUGGGAGCCGCAUAUAUAGAAAAAACAUAUUAAUCUCAUAAUCAAAAGAUGUAUGAUAUCUCAACAGACCUUAAUGUCUAGAUACAUAUAUAUAUAUCUUUACGGAAGGAAACACUAGCUAGCCUAAGUUCAUGGUCGGUUAGCGAAAGUUCAUGGUCGGUUAGCAAAAGGAUAAUGGUCGGUCCAUAUUGAAACCAAGCGUCUUGCCUUCACCUUGUUGUUUUCGUGUGGAACCCUCAAAUCGAACAUUCAAGGAGUUUGCUGCGUUAAAAUGAAUGCACCCACCAAAGUAGAUCUUUCUCGUGGAAAAAGCAAGUUAGGGCGUGCACAUCAGGAAUUGAUUAGUUGGCUCUCUGCCAUCACCAAGAACUUCAUAAAACUUUCCAUUUAUGUUGGAGCUUUGUCAAUUCGCAAUGGAUAUUUUACAAAUAAAAAAAUAUGCAAUCCAUAAAUUUUUAAUUUAUUCAAUGUGAUCACUAAACUUUAACCAAAUGCGUAAUGUUAUCUCUGGACUUUUAAUACAUGUUCAAUCUAUACUAUAUAUAAAUAUUAAAUGUUAUCCUUAAACUUAAAUUAAUGGAAGAUUAACGUCAAACAUUUUAAAAUAGUUCAGAGACUAACUUGAUAACGUAUGGUCUAGAAAUCAUAUUGAAUAAAUUGAAAAUUCGGGGAUAGAAUUAUAUAUUUUACUAAAAUUUAGGAACUAUAUUGAAUAAAUUAAAUAUAAAAUCAUAUUAUAUUAUAUAUUGAGUUAAAGUUUAAGAAUUAUUUGUACUAUUAUUCUUUUAUAGGUAAAAGACAAAAGCAACCGGGGUAACCUAUCCAUUUGUACAAAAUACCUCAUCCUUUUGCGCAUGGAGACUUUAUCCAGAAUAUAUCCUGACUACAGUAGUAAAGACUGUACGGACUUGCGGAAACAUCACGGCAACCUGAAAAUCCGACCAAAUAUCCCCGUGGCAAAACCUGAAUAUGCAGCAUGCGCUCGUAGCUUCUGCAUUCACACUCCUUUUUUAUUUGCAAUCUGCUCGAGGGAUGCUCUUAGAUAUUGUGUCGUCAGUUGCGACAAUGGCUUCGAUGUAAUCGCGCCCGAAACCCCGUCGCUUUCGAGCAUCUCCUGGUUAACUCUCUCUGGUCAUGGUUCCGAAUAGCUUUGUUCAUGCACACCUGGAAUAUGCACAAGGCAUUGCUUUAGAAUAUCCAUCGCUUUUGCUCCUUUUCUUUAUUAGAAUAUCCAUGGUUGAUUUUGCAUCGAACUUUGAUUUUGUACAUUUCAUUUUCAUUUUAUGGUUGUGCGAUUGAUGCAUAACCUAAAAUCUUUGGUUACUAAAAUAGAUCAUAUGCCUCGACCUGGCCAAAGAAAAAUUUAUACAUAUGGCGUGUUUAGGAGACUUUUGGGAGAAUGACUUUGCAUCUGAGCAAAGCUCUCUGACUCGAGGUGCUUUUGAAAAGAGUGAAUAAUAUCUGGAUGCUUGGCUUUUGGUAUAUUUUUGUAAAGCGGCUUUAUGAUGAAGUAAAAUUCGAAAAAAAAGGGAAAAGAAAAAGAGAGAGGGUAAGGGUUGUUAGAUUCGGCGAGUGACGCGGCAAAAGAGUUGGAGCCCAGCAAGUAUUGACAAGCGGCCGCCCACAAGAUUAGGUGAGAAAAGGUACGUCUAGAUGAAAGUUAAAGACCUGAUAUUUUGAGUAAAUAUCAUCUAAAUAAUAAGGACGUGAAUUAGAACCAUUCUAUUUUAGAAAUCAAUUAAUGUUCAAUAAAUAGAUUUUUCUAUUUUUAUUCUCCAAAUUAAUUAAUGAAUAAGAAUGCACAUUUGAUAAUAAUACAAAUUUUUUGUUUCCAAAAUAGAAAUUCAUUUGAAAAUGACCCAAAUUUUUUCUCUUUUGAGUGAAAACUGGCUAGGCAAACAGUGGUCAGUGAUUGGCAAUCGUGGCCAGCAUAUGAUGAUGGCCAGCAAUCGAUAGUGGCGAAUGGCAGGCGACGACAAGUGAGCGAGUGAGCAAUUGGUUAUUAGUAUGGAUGAGUAAUGGGAAUAGUUUUUAUUUCUUAUUUUUAUUUCAAAAAUAUAAAAGUAGAAAAAAAAUUACUUUUCCUUUAUUCUAAACCUAUUAAAAUUGUUCCAGAAAUAAAAAUGAGUAUCAUGCCCGUCCUAAAAAUCUCCGGCAAAUCCAAAGUCAAGACAUAACGGCGUGCCACAUGACGGAGGCAAACAUGUCUUCAACUUUGGUCCAAUUAAAAAAAAAAUUCCGCAUGCAGAUGCAGGUCGCGUCGCUACAUGCUUAACUUUAUGCAUAGGGUUGGUAAAAUAUCCUUCUGUCUCCAACUUGUUUUUCAAGAAAUCGAUCCCCAUUGGUGCUGAUUUAAUCCCGUAUAAAUUCCACAAUCGGGUCGUCGAGACCACGUGCAAUCCCAUCGGAGUUUCAAAAACCGGGUUCCGACCCGCAAAAACCACCGUCCAGCACGGCCAAUGGAUUUCGCAAUCAGCUGCUCUGCGCCGUCGGAUCUCGUGCAUCUCGUGCAACUCCGCACGAUGAUUUUAAUUUAAUUUAAUUCCCAUUUGAUUUAAUUUAAUCCAUAGUGGAUAAGCUUCUAAUCUGGACCCCAUAGUUAAAUUAGGACUUGACCAAGAUAUUAAAAAAAAAUCGUCGGUGGUGCCACGUCAGAGGCGGACGUCGCGGCCAAUCAGAUCCCCGGGAGCUUCCUUCGUUUACACUUUUGGGGCCCGUCACUGGGGCCCACGGCAGGCACGUAAGAGAGACAUCAUUCCCAUUGGUUAGAGCUCAACCCACAGUCAGCGUCUCGGUUUCGAGUUGCUCCAAUCGAAUGAUGCCACGUUAGGUGGCGGAGGAGCUUUGUUUCUUUCGCCCACAGGGCGUGGUGACCCCACGCGAAGGAAAAAACUAUUGAGAAAAUAACGCCGAAAUAAUUAAUUUUGGUUUAAUAUAUAAUGUAAUUUUAAAUAUUUAAUUCGUUCAAUGCGCAAUACCGUCCUAAGCUUUUAAAUUAUUAUUAUUUAUACAUGUUCAAUUUAGUUAUUAAGUUAUAUGAAAAUGCUAAAUAUUAUCAAUGAAAUGAUAUUAAUGGAAUGACGAUUUUGGAUAUCUUCAUAUAUUUGAACAUAUAACAAAAAUUUAUGAACCAUAUUAAACAAAUCAAAAAUUAAUAAACAACAUUAAACAAAUUAAGAGUUUAAGGACCACAUUGUAUAUUAUGUCAAAGUUCAAGAAACAUAUAUGUCAUUAUCCCAAAAAAUAUUCAAAUGAGACUUUUACAUCUCAGCCAUUUUUUUUUCCUUCGGAUGAUGUGGCACGCAUGGGUAUUGCUGUCAGAGUUGAGAUUAUGUGCAGCCAAACUCAAUUUUCCUUUUCAAUAUAGGCAAAGCAAUGUUACAUCAUGAUUUGGUCAUAGUAUUUAUAAGUAUGCCUAUUUCCUUGCGAGCAUGCCUUCCAAUAGAGAUUACUUAAAACUUUGAAUCGAACGUGACAAUUCAACUACGAAAGUAACGAAUCAUCAAUCGCAGUUACCAAAACUAUAUAUAAAUAUUAUUUUAGAUCUCUAUUUUGUCUCGAUUCAUUUCGUCACGACGGAACAACAUAAACCAAAUGUAAUAUUUUAGAAUAAUAAAAAGAAAAGUGAGAUCUCAAAAAGAGGAUUAUUUUUGUUUUUUUUUAAAGAACAUAAUGGACUAGACAAGUGAAGAAUAUUCGAGGAUGGCCAAGCGACGAUAAAGUGCUACUGGCCAUUAAAAUAAAGAGAAGCAAAAGAAGAAACGGUUCCUUCGAGUCAAAAAAAAGAGGAGAGCAUACCAUGGAAACAUCAAGUGAUCCUCAAGAACAAUCAUUAAUGGUAAAAAAAACAAACAAACAAACAACAAAAGAAACCGGACAUUUUUAAGGAUUUCAUUAGAAAGCAUCCUGUCAUAUAUAUUUAAAAGUUAUUCAAAAGAAGUUUCUUGGUUUCUAAUGCCUUUUUUUUUUUCGCGAUAUAAUUAUAAUCGGUAUUUUCAAAUCAAAACAUUCCCUCCUAAUAAGCAUGCCCAGUAAAAGCCCUCUUUAAUUGACCGGAUCAGAUCUUGACAAAGGAAGGGGUGAAAACAAUUAAUGAGAUCAUUUGAAUUAAGGAAAGUGGAAAGGCGGUUUUCUGAUUGGUACACUGAAACAACAGGAAGGUGGAGGCCGCAAUGAUGGAAUUUAUUUACUUUAAUCAUUUUAUGAAAUCGAUACACUAACCUUUGUUUCUCCUAAACCCAAAGGCAUUAAUCCCUGUCCUCCUCACUCGAUCUCGAAGGCCAGAAGGGGGAGACCGAGCCUCUUGCUUUUUUUCGUGUAUAAAAGGGCCUCCCCCAUUCCUCAUUUUUCACCAUCCUCCGUUCGUUCGUUCCCUUCCCUUUCCAUUGUUGCGUUUAAGCCCUCCAAUUUUCUUUUGGCGUCCCGUUUUUGGGGCUCCCUUGAAGAUCUCCUCUUCAUUUCGGGAUUUCCUGCCUUCGCCGCGCCAUUUGAAGGUAAAAUCUUUGCUCCCGAGCUCAUCGGCCAUUGAAUGUUUUCCAUGGGAAUGUCUAGAGUCUUUUUUUUUUUUUUGGUGACCGAAGAUCCGCCGGCUCACGCCGAUUUGGGCUCACGCCGAUUUGGGGUCUCACAGGUCUCCGCGGUGGAGGCCUAAUAGUUAACUAUACCUUGAUAAAAACUGCCCCCCGCUUUAAUUGCUAACGAUGCAGGAUUUCGAACCCUUAACCUCCUUCGCCGAAGGAGAGAUUUUAACUAAUUGCGCUGCUCACAGAUGGGUAUGCGAAUGUCUAGAGUUCAGUCGGAACUUUUUCCCGAUCACUUUUCUUUGGCCGAGCGAGCUUGAAAUACCGCCGCUCCGAGUACCCUUCUUUUUGCUAAGCAUAUAUUGUUCGUGACCCUCCAAGCGCGCAUUGCGGUUCGAUCUCUUCUUCUGCUCGAAUCUCGGGAAAAUGCAAUUCUUACUUCUCAUUAGCGACAGCGUUCCUACUCUUUAAGAUUAUAAUUAGCGUCUAUGUGAAUCUUCUUCACCUAGGACAUACUACCUUAAACGACAUGUCGCUCUCUGCCUUCCUUAAGCACAAUGCCAAACCUGCCGAAACUUCUUGAAAAUAUAAUUAAAUCUCCUCUUGCGGCCAAAAGGGGUGGUUGCAUUGAUGAGCAUAUUCUCGAAAGAUCCUUAUGGCUUUUUCCUUUAUUUUUAUUUGAUCGAAGGACGAUACUAGGAGAUCGGAAAAAUGGGUAGUGAAAAAAAAUUUCCUUCUAAUGAAGAUUAAUUUACUUUAACGCAAAUUACAAUGCAACUCUGAUGGACGACACCUAAGGGUCUUGCCUGGGGUGAUCACGACCGUUGAACCCCACCACCCAGCGAAGAGGGUGGGCCCGCCAUUACUGCGUGCCGCAGCGCACACCGUCCCUACAGGAAACGCCAAUCAAGGGCUUAGAUUAAGCAAGUCAUUUAUUUUAUUGUUAUUUUUAUUUUCCUGAUUGUUAGGUUGCUCGAUGGUCAAGAACGAGGAAAUUUCCCCUUUUAUGUGCGAAAGUACGGAAUGUAUAAAGCAUACAAAAUCUCAUUAAUCUUUAGGAUCAUUACCCGGAAAUUUACCAAGAUUGUUGCCGGCGAUUUUAUAAUAUCGCAAUGUGAAAACGACGUAAAGGGUAAAGAUGCUUCGAGCUUAGUUUCGACCCUCUAAACUUCCGGUCCACUUACAACAUGAAAAAUAAUUUGAUUAAUUGAGGAGGGCGGAUCCGAUCAUAAAGAUUUAAUCUUUUCCUAGAAUUCACCGGCGAGAUCAUAUAGUAUUGAAGCGGCCUUCUCUCUUGCAAUGUCAAAUCUCCCUCCUCUCUCCUAAGGCAAUCUCUCUCUUUCUCUCUCUAUCCAAAAUCUAUAUUAGGACAUGAACUGUUGUUUGAGGAUGUCAUUGGAAAUGGACUGUUUUCUUGGGCAGAGGAUCGGGGGUUAAGACAAAGGAGAAAGAUUUCCUGUUGCCUGUUUUAAUUUCCGUAUUUCCUACUUUUUUUUAUUCCUCCCUCCAAUUUCUUCGUUAGUUUCUAUUUUUAAUUUCUUUCUUUUUCGCGCUGUUUUUCUAUAAAUUCUGCUCGGCAUCGACUCGACCAAAGCAUCCCUUCGUAGCGUCCGUUCCGUUCGCUCCACUUUUCUGUUUCCUGGGUAUUUUCCGUUUCUUUCUUUCGUCGUUUCUUUCGUUUUCUUGCUCGGUUUUCUUUCCGUGUGAUGCAGUGUUUGUUUCGUGGUGGGUGAUCUCUUCUUCUUCUUCGUGUCCUUCUUCUCCUUCUCCUCCUUCUUGGUUAGCAAGUCCUUCAAGGGUCGUCGCGUUCUUGGGUGUUCAUGCUUCUCUGACUUGUCUGUUGAGUGUCUCUGUUUCGCGGAACACAAGCGAAAUUCGUCUUGAACUGCACUUCCCUUCGGCUUUUUUUCUCGAGUUCGAGGAUGGACAUGUCGCGCAUGAGAAUUGGGUUUUGUCUUGUGUCGGUAGGAGAAAAUUCUUGCUCAGUCAAAACGUGAAACUCUGUGCAACCUCUCAGACUUUCCAGGCAGUUGUCUGCUCUCUCUCUCUCUCUCUCUCUCUCUCUGCCUCCCCGAAGAACACUCUCUUCCGUAAAAGAGAUGAUCUUUGUGCACUUUUGAACAUAAAAAAUGGGGGGAAGACACUAGAUCUGCUGAUUUCAUGAAGUUGCAAAGCAGUGGGAAGCACUACAAGCUUCAGGCUUUGUGAUCGUCAAUGGAGAUCUCUAGAUCUUUCUGGCUUUUAAUCUUCUUUUCAAGCGUCCUAAACAAUUAAUAAUGAAAGAAACAUUUUUUUUGCCCCAGUAGUUUUCCAACCGAGAUCAUCACCUAUUCGUGCGUCAGCAGACCCAUUUGUUCAACAACAUUCGCAAUUUUAAUACCUUCGUACAUGCGUAGUUGGUAAGGUUUGAAAAAUCCGGCCGCUCUAGAAAAGAUCGAUUUUUCCAACGAUUUGACUUUUUUGUUGCUCUCUUUCGUGAGAUUAUUCAAAACCCCUCCUUUAUUAGUGGAAGUUGGGUUUUGCUUCUAAUGCACGGUGUGUUUCACUUUGGUGGUUGUUGCAGUUCUUUUUCUGAGAGAAGAAUUUAGACAUGGCUGAUCGCAUGUUGACUCGAAGCCACAGCCUUCGCGAGCGUUUGGACGAGACCCUCUCUGCUCACCGCAACGAUAUUGUGGCCUUCCUUUCAAGGUAAAAAGCAAGGACGGAAGGGGAUAUAUUCAAGAAAUCUUCAAAGAGAGCAUCUUGAUGAGUGGUUUUAACAUAAAGUUGGUGAAAGGGAGCUUAAAAAGUGUUUUGAUCCCUUUUGUUGUCAUGUUGAAGGGUUGAAGCCAAGGGCAAAGGCAUCUUGCAGCGCCACCAGAUUUUUGCUGAGUUUGAGGCCAUCUCUGAGGAGAGCAGAGCAAAGCUUCUUGAUGGGGCCUUUGGUGAAGUCCUCAAAUCCACUCAGGUAUUAUGAACUCCCUUCAUGUCAAUGUUUUUCGGUUCUUUACGCUCUUGAAAUCUACUCUUCUAUAGUGAUAAUGGGUUGAUUUUUGCUUUUCUUUGACCUUUUUUGAUUUAAAUUCUCAAGGAAUUUCUUUUGCUCUAAAUUUUGGGGUUUAGGAAGCGAUUGUGUCGCCUCCAUGGGUUGCUCUUGCUGUUCGUCCAAGGCCGGGCGUGUGGGAGCACAUCCGUGUGAACGUCCAUGCGCUUGUUCUUGAGCAAUUGGAGGUUGCUGAGUAUCUGCACUUCAAAGAAGAGCUUGCUGAUGGAAGGUCAGAAUCUUUAUUUUUCCUUGGUGAUCUCAGAUCUCUGGGUCAUGUUCUUUUUUGCUGUUCUUGUUUUUGGUCGUUUUGGGGGUGUUAAUGAGAGUUAUUCGUCGUGUGUUUCAGCUUGAAUGGUAACUUUGUGCUUGAGCUUGACUUUGAGCCAUUCACUGCCUCUUUUCCGCGCCCGACUCUUUCCAAGUCUAUUGGCAAUGGGGUCGAGUUUCUCAAUCGCCAUCUCUCCGCUAAGCUCUUCCAUGACAAGGAAAGCUUGCACCCUCUGCUUGAAUUCCUCCAAGUCCACUGCUACAAGGGGAAGGUACAUAAAACUAUCGAUGAUUCUCGUUCAUUUGACAUCUUAAAAAUGAGUUUUGAGUUACAAAGUGAGAUUUCUUUCGCCUUAUGUUACGAAAUGGUGAACACUGAGGACUAAAUGCCAAUUUAGAGCACUGAAUGUGUUGCACAUUGGUUAAACAUUUGCGAUCUGUUUUUGGCUUAUGAAAAUAUUGGGUGAUUCUGCAGAACAUGAUGGUGAAUGCCAGAAUCCAGAAUGUGUUCUCCCUCCAACAUGUCCUGAGGAAGGCGGAGGAGUAUCUGAUCACGCUCAAACCCGAGACCCCGUACUCCCAGUUCGAGCACAAGUUCCAGGAGAUCGGGCUCGAGCGGGGGUGGGGUGACACGGCUGAGCGCGUCCUCGAGAUGAUCCAGCUCCUGUUGGAUCUCCUUGAGGCUCCCGAUCCGUGCACUCUCGAGAAGUUCUUGGAUAGGGUUCCCAUGGUCUUCAACGUCGUGAUCAUGUCUCCCCAUGGAUACUUUGCUCAGGACGAUGUCCUUGGUUAUCCGGAUACCGGUGGCCAGGUACUUGUUUUAUUUUGAGUUAGCAUCUCUUGUUAGGAGGAUAUACGUUUUCCCAUUCAACUUGUUCAUUUGCAAUAAUUCUGUCUAUUUAUAGGUUGUUUACAUCCUGGAUCAAGUUCGUGCCCUAGAGGAAGAAAUGCUUCACCGCAUUAAGCAACAAGGACUGGAUAUUACUCCUCGGAUUCUCAUUGUAGGUUUCACAAGCUUUAUGUUGGGACUUUUUGUGGUGCUUAUACAAAUUAGAUGCUUACCGUGUCGUUUGGUUUCCUAGAUCACUCGGCUUCUUCCAGAUGCGGUUGGAACCACCUGUGGCCAGCGCCUUGAGAAAGUUUUUGGGACCGAGUACUCCCACAUUCUUCGCGUCCCCUUCAGAAAUGAGAAGGGAGUCGUCCGCAAGUGGAUUUCCCGGUUCGAGGUGUGGCCCUAUUUGGAAAGAUACACUGAGGUAUUGACCGGCUCAGUCAUAUACUUAAGUCAUUUUGCCUGUUUGAGUUUAUUUAGUUUCUGGUUGAGACUUAACGGUUUCUGUUUGAUAACUCUCAUCAGGAUGUCGCGAGCGAACUUGCUGGAGAGUUGCAGGGCAAGCCUGAUCUGAUCAUCGGAAACUACAGUGAUGGAAACAUUGUUGCUUCCUUGUUAGCACAUAAAUUAGGUGUUACACAGGUUUGUUCUUUUGUACAUGAUCUUGUUACUUGUAGUAACUGAUGCCAAAUUUCUUAAAGGCUUUAAUCUUUUGCUUCAUUCGACAGUGUACAAUAGCCCAUGCCCUCGAGAAGACGAAGUACCCAGAGUCAGACAUAUACUGGAAGAAAUUUGAGGAAAAGUACCACUUCUCUUGCCAGUUCACUGCUGAUCUCAUCGCCAUGAACCACACCGACUUCAUUAUCACCAGCACCUUCCAAGAAAUUGCUGGAAGGUGAUUCAACUCGAUUGUUCAUCUCUGAGUCGAUUGUCUUAAUACAUUCUAUCUUGUGAAAUUUCAAGAUUCCUAAUAUUUCCUUAUUUUUCAAUUCUUUCUUUCAGCAAGGAUACAGUGGGGCAGUAUGAGAGUCACAUGAACUUCACUCUUCCUGGACUCUACCGAGUUGUCCACGGGAUCGACGUCUUCGACCCGAAGUUCAACAUUGUUUCACCAGGUGCUGACAUGAGCAUCUACUUUGCUUACACCGAACAGGAGCGGCGGUUGAAAUCCUUCCACCCUGAGAUCGAGGAACUCCUCUUCAGCGAUGUUGAGAACAAGGAACACUUGUGAGUGUUUUGGCCCUUCCUUCGUGUCCAACUUAAAUCCUGUCCUGGCAUUUGUUGUGGCAUUCUUGGGAGUCGAAGUUUGUCUUUUGCUAAUUAACAUCACCUCUAACGUUGUUGAUCAGGUGUGUGUUGAAAGAUAAGAAGAAGCCUAUUAUUUUCACCAUGGCAAGGCUGGACCGUGUCAAGAACUUGACAGGGCUUGUUGAGUGGUAUGGCAAGAACUCCAAGUUGAGGGAACUCGCCAACUUGGUCGUGGUUGGAGGUGACAGGAGGAAGGAUUCGAAGGACUUGGAAGAGCAGUCUGAGAUGAAGAAAAUGUACGACCUCAUCGAAAAGUACAAGCUGAAUGGCCAGUUCAGGUGGAUUUCCUCCCAGAUGAACCGGGUGAGGAAUGGAGAGCUCUACCGCUACAUCUGUGACACGAAGGGAGUCUUCGUUCAACCGGCUAUCUAUGAAGCUUUCGGGUUGACCGUGGUUGAGGCCAUGACUUGUGGAUUGCCAACCUUUGCCACUUGCAAUGGUGGACCAGCUGAGAUCAUUGUGCAUGGCAAAUCGGGCUACCACAUUGAUCCUUACCAUGGUGACCAGGCAGCCGAGCUUCUUGUAGACUUCUUCAACAAGUGCAAGAUUGACCAGUCCCACUGGGACGAGAUCUCAAAGGGUGCCAUGCAGAGAAUUGAAGAGAAGUAAGCGUUUUCAGAUUAAAAUGAUGUUCACUUUUUUUGAAAUACAAUUUUUCUAAUGUAAUUUACUUUUUUUUUUUUCUUUUGAUAAGGUAUACAUGGAAAAUAUAUUCUGAGAGGCUGUUGAACCUGACUGCCGUGUAUGGCUUCUGGAAGCAUGUGACUAACCUUGAUCGGCGCGAGAGUCGCCGGUACCUUGAAAUGUUCUAUGCCCUCAAGUAUCGCCCACUGGUAAGUUCCUGCUUGAACCUUAUCCGAUCCCACAUUCUUCAUUCAAAUUGGUGCCUGGUUCCUUGGCAUACGUAGUAUGUUUCUCGCAAUCCACUCAUGCUUUGUUCUUGCUCUUCCUUGCAGGCACAGUCUGUUCCUCCGGCUGUCGAGUAAACAAAGAGACAGAUUGUUACCAGAAGACGGAAGCAUUGGACUUUUGAAGUUUUCAAGGAAUAAACAUUGGAAAUUGUUUGAAUUUGGGAUUGCCAAGAGCGAUCUUUUUUAUUUCCUUUUUUUGGUCCUUUUUCUCUUCUUUGUUUCCAUUCCGCGAAUGUUUGCAUUUUGGGGUUUGUACCCAUCAAUUCAGUAAAUGGUUCAUUUUCUUUUCAACUUGUCAAUCCCACUCCGUAUUUCGUACUUCAUUGUUGUUCACCUGUGGCGGUCUAUGUCUAGCUUGUCUGGUGAUCUGUCAAUUGAAGAUAAUCACAUAUACCUAACAAACCAACUUGAUAUGAACACUAGCGACAUGCAAGCUGAUACCGAUCAGUUUACUAACUUCAAACCAUCAAGCAACAAAAUAUGAGACAGCUUGAUUGUUUGAUAAAAAUGGCGCACGUUCUUGUCCUACCUCCAUGUGAUUUGAUCUCUAUUUCUUUACGAAAUGAGGUAGAAGACAGGCACAAAUAUCGGCAACUGAGCAAUCAAAAUGUGAGAUUAAGACAGCCUUGUGCUUUACCUGCUUUCUCAUGGCCCAGGACAGCAUAUGUUGAUGCUGAUACCUGCAUUAAAAGGCACAUCAGAACGAUCAUGGUUACUCUCCAAAGCUCCUCACCAUCUUUUUGCGAAACUCAGCAAUCUUCAUGUCCAAAAAAUGCUCAGAGACACAAUUCAAGCGAAUGGAUCAGGUCUUUAAGUCUUUUGACACACAACAGUCGCUAGUUCAAAACUCGCACAGUUGAGACAGAUCAGGUAUGCAGGUUUGGUUUAUGCAGUUUGAAUUCUGCCUGGAAACCAGCUGAGGAGUUUAAAAUCAAGAUCAUAGUUGGUACAGGCAUUUUUAACGUUUCAGACCAUUGACCUUACUCUGCCUGUCCUAGUCCAAACCUAAACACUUGAUGGACAGGGACAAGCAGGGUUUCUUUUUAACCCAUUGUUUCCCCUGAUUCCAAUAGCGUUCUCAUGUAUAGAUGUAGACAGAGAGGGGGCCAAAUUGGCACCUAUAGAAGUGGGAAUGAACGGUGGUUGGAGCUUUGGGCAGAGCUCAUGGGAAGUAGGAAGAAGAAAAUUGUUGGUUGUGGAAAGAAAGAUGUCACAGUAAUUCUGAUGUACUGUGUACCUUUCUCUGCUGCUGCUUCAUGUCCUCUAUUCCCCUUCUCAUCAUUCAUUUAAUUUGUGAGCCCACUUCAUGACAUUAUUUAAUUUUUCCAAGGUGUCUCCAGCCAUGUAAUCCUUCAUUUUUCCGACAUCUUCAGAAAAGUUGGACCUACCUUGUGCUGUUACAUAGCAGUGAGUUAUUAGAUUGAUUUGGACAUAUGAAAUUUCCAAAUCUUUCAUGUGUUUCAUAUGCCACAGCCAUGCAUAUGCAACUGCAAUAUCAGAUGAUUGCCCUAGAUGCCAUUCAGUCUGAUUAAAUAAAAAAAUAAAAUAAAAGCAGAGCUUUCUUGAUAGUUUUUGCGAUGUAGCUAAUGUGAAUUUAGAGGGUCGUUAACUCCAUUGACAUAGCAUAUUCUCUUGUCACGCCAUUGCUUUCUUAUGCCAAACACGGCAUAAGGGAAGCCGAAGAUAAUUGUCAAAACGUAGUCUCUGUAACAAGGUUGUUUCAUACAGCAUGGACAGAGAUGGUAUGGCUUAGACAAGGCGUUUGCCUAUUCUCCAAAUAUCUGACAAUACAAAUGGUUUUGAAGUGUUUACAAUAACUGUUCGGAAAAUAUUCCACCCUGGUUCAGAGUGCCGUAAGUUCAGAACAGAUAUUAAUAAAACUUGCAAAUGCAACAAUUCCUUAUAGAACUCCAACGAGGCGCAAUUGCAGCACAACAAUAGCGAUACCGGCCGGCUGAAAAAAGGUGACCUUUCAAAUUCCGCCAUAACUACAUGGCCCUUACGUAAGGAUCCAUGGACCACUCUUCAUAAAUGAAUUGUUCUGGGUGGCGGCCUAAAAUUAAAAAAGAAAAGAAAAGAAAAGAAAAAAAGACAGCUUGAUCUUGAGAGGAAACCAAUUUGCGGUUUAAAUCUGCUUAUGACAUUCAGUGCGGUAAACUGUCAUCUAUCAUUAAUGUCUCCGGUGGAUUAGACAGCGCCCAUCUUUUCUUUAUGAAAGACCGGAAAGUUCAGCCAUUGAUGUUAUUGGAUGAAGAAACGACGGGAUUUUGGAAUUUUGAGUGCAGAGUGGAGUCACUUCUUAUUCUGAAAUGACAUUUCAAAUGACCCAUGAGAUUACCGUCUCCUAGCCAAAGGAGUAGCGGCCACUGCCGGCUAGAACUGAAACAAACUUUAAAGACAAGGUUUGGGUAGUAAAAAGUGAAGUCUUAAGGUAAUGUUUAUCUCCAUCACCGUGAGGUUCCCAAAUUCUUUAUCUAUCUUUAUCUUUUUAACAGAGAGAAUACAGAAGUGACAUUAUGGGAUCUCCUACCCCAGAGCGAUUCUUCUGCUUAUUUCUUUCCUUUAAGUCUUUUAAGAACUUGCCUAGAUUUAAAGGGUCUUUCCUUGGUAAAAUUGAAAAGGCGAGGACUCUUUGUGAAAAUCGUUUGGAAGUCUCAAACUUUUUCAGGAGAUCAGCCCCAUUUUGGUUAUGGAGGAGGUUUGCCCACUUAAAAAAUUGUUUCCUUUUCCAACUGUUUCAAUCCUUUGGAAACUUUCGUUUUGAAAAUGUUUCACAACUGAUGAAACAUUGAAAAUCGCUAGAUUAUCAUAUUGGUUUCAUUUGUAUAUUGGUUUCAUUUGUCUCGCUAAAAAUAAAUGCCUCAAAAAAUAUUUAAAAAAAAAUUGACGGCUUAUGUCGCUUAUAAAAAUGAAUGAAUAAAAAGUAUUUUAAUUUUUUUUGAAAAUAUUUUGACAUAAAUUGUUGUCGAUAAUAAAAAUAUUUUCUAUUGACUAACUUUUUCAAGUAAUAUAAAUGAUCAUUUUUAGGAAAAUAUUUUUCAAAUCAUUUUUUUUUUUUUGCGAAAUAAAGGGAGCCAUGAUGUAGUUUUCAACUCUGUCAAUAUGAUUAAAAAAAAAAGUUUUGGCAUAUUUGUAUAUCUACUCACGGGAUACUCCGUGUGUAUAUAAUCCAUCUGUAUAAAAUAUCAUCAUUUGCAUUUAGAAAGCUAUAUUCUUUGGAAGAAAUUUGUAUAGUUUGAGAAGGAGUUUUGAUUGAUAAAAAAAAAGAAGCUACUUUAACUGAUAUAUCCUUAGCAAGGCCAUACAUAACAGUGAAAUCACACUUGAAAUUAUUUGCCCUAUAGAUAUGAAUAUUGUAAUUCAUAAUAAUAAUUGAAUUUUUUUCUGCAUUUUCAUGAAAAUCUUACUUAAUAUUCAAUAUCAACAAAAUGGAUUUGUGUGUUAUCUCAUUUUAUAUAUAAAAAGCAACUUGAUCAUAUUCAUAUCAAUUGACUUGGGGAGUAAAUGGGAUUUGAUACCCUAUUAGUCCUAACUGUAAACGAUGGAUACUAGCACUAUGUGUAAUGAUUCGUGUAGUGCUGUAGCUAAAGCGUUAAGUAUUCCGCUUGAAGAGUACGUUUCGGAAUACCAAUAGGCAUAAAAUGAAAGAAUAAAAAAUUAAGUAUUAUAUAUUGACGUGGAAGCGUAAAAAUGCAUUUAUUUUCUUAAUAAUAGUAGUUUAUCAUAUUUUAUCCAUAUAUUGGGAAAAAAAUUCUUACGAAUAGGUCCUUUGAUUGAUUAGAAUAUAUGUAUGCAUUCGUUCAUUGAAAAUGGGAUCAACCCCCGUUGCCAUAUUGGUACUUAUUGGAUAUAGAUAUGCAGAUAACUUUGACUGUUGGUUGGGCUGAUUCAAUGGCUUUAUGUGAAUUACCAAUUUUUUUUAUCCCUCUUAUCCCGUUCUUGAUCCAAGAGACAAGGUAAUUUUAUUACAUCCUUCAUAACUUGUUUAGGAAUAGCUAAUUCAUGGGACGACUAGAGUAUUACAAAAAGGUCUAUAAUGAAUCCGGGUAUUUGGAGUUACGAAGGUGUGGCCAAUGCACAUAUUAUGUCUUUUGGCUUGUGCUUCUUAGUAGCUAUCUAGCAUUGGGUGUAUUAGGAUUUAGAUAAACGAUUAGCAUUCAUAAUUUUUAAAAUUAUUGAUUUUUUCACAAAACGAAGGGAGAAGUCUACAAAAAUGGUAUGAUUGGUAGGCCAAUACCGAGGUUCAUCUACUCAAUCACAUAAGGCCGUCCCAUCAAUCUUGGAUAAGUAUAAUUUACGUGGGUGCCCUGACUUAUGGACAGUGUACAUGCAUUUGUAGCCACAAAUUAAUUUGAUGAAUAUUAAAAUAUAAAGUCGAUCUACUGAAUACUAAGCCGCGGCGCGACACUUGUCCAGUACCUAAUGAGUCGGCAGGGCCCAAAAACAAAGUUAAUGUAUGUCCCUUAAUCACAUGGGUUUGUUCCCUCGAAUCGGCGUAAUUUCGCUGACAGACAAAACAUCAAUUAAUCAAUUAAUUAAUUAAUAUCAUAUAUUAAAAUAAAUUUUGCUCUGACAUAUAUUGGGCACUAGCCAUAUGAUGUCUAGAUAAAACCUAUGACGUUUGUUUUCCUUUUGGGAACAGUAAACAUCGUACUCCUUUCUUGAUUUCUUUUCUUUAAAUGAAUUUGUUAAGUAGAUAGAGUCAAUGCUCUGCAUUAAAGAGGGGGAUGUAGGUAGCGCAACAUGGGAUGCUGUGGUCUCGCACAUGUGCAUCGCUUUUGUGUCUUUAUUUUAUUUUAUUUUAUUUUUUUGAGCAAAGCUUUUGUGUCUUUAUUGAGCCGCUGCUUAUUGUUAUCUUUUGAGAUUGGCUUGGUCCACAUGAUUCACGCUUAUUAAUUUGAGCGAUGUAUCGACUGUUUUGAGCCCACAAAAGCACGGUUGAACCUAUUAAUUUUGUUUGGACGGUUUUACAAGAAAUAAGUGUUUCAAAGCACCGUUUUUUACGCAAUGAAUAAUUGGAAUACACGCGUGCAUUAUGCACAUGCUGGCGAUAAUUACGCUUAUUUUUGUUAUGACUAUCGAACUCAUGGUUUCUUGAAAAUACUUAAAGAUCGAAAUACUCAAAUUUUACCGUGCAACAUGAACAAAAGAAAAAUUGAAGGGAUAAUGACAUAAAUGGUAUUUAAAUUUUGACCAAAUGUGCAAUGUUAUUCCUACAUUUGUAAUUUGUUUAAUGUUGUUUUUGGACUUUUGAUAUAUGUUGAAGGUUGUCCUUGAACUAUAUGAAAAUAUUUAAUGUUAACAUUCUAUUAAUUAAAAAUCAACGACAAUAUCGAAAAUUUACAUAAAGUUGGGGGAUUAAAUUGAAUAUGUACUAAAAGUUCAUGAUUCACACUAAAUAUAUUAAAAAAUUCAUAAAUUAUAUUACAAUUUGAGCUAAAAUUAAGGACCAAAUUGAAUAAAGUAAAAAUUCAAGCACCACAUUGCGUAUUGUGUUAAAGUCCAUAAAUCAUUUAUAUCAUUUUUUCCAAAAUUGAAUGAUAAGUCAGAUAAGUCCAAGGAUGCAUAUAUGUAUGGUCAAGUUCAAACAAUUUCAUGGAUUAUAUUCUCUUUUGUAUAUAAUUCUAAUGUAUGCAUCAUUCAUGUUCUGUGGCCCCACUGCCUCUCCCACUAAAUUGUAUCACCUCCAGCAAUCAUCGUCUUCAACAUCAUUAUCAGCUCCCUCCUAUAAAAGAGGAACCUUCUCUCCACUUUCUCAGCCCCCAAUCUCUCUCUCUCUCUCUCUCUCUCUCUCUCUAAAACAGCCAUGGGAAGAGGUGGCAACAAGCUUACCAAACUCAAGUCUGUCCUCAAGAAGCUCAACUCCUUUGGCCACCAUAACAAGCACCAGGCCAUCAACUCAACUCCCUCGUUCGCCUCGUCCACUUCAAACAAUUCCGACACCGACGACUCUUCCUCCUCCUCCUCCGCCGACCUCCGCCCCGUCUACGUCGGCCAGUCGCGGCGGCGGUACCUCGUGAACUCUGCUGUCGUCCGCCAUCCUCUGUUCCGUGAGCUCGCCGCACGUUCUGGUAACAGUGCGCCCUUGUCCGAGGACGGCGACUCCUCGUCCCUCAACAUCGCGUGCGAGGUGGUCUUGUUCGAGCACUUGCUGUGGAUGCUCGAGAACGCGGAGUCGAGGCCCGAGCCACUGGAUGAGUUGGUCGAGUUCUAUGCUUACUGAGGGAGAUGAAGAUGCAUGGUGAUGAAAAGGAUCAUAUUGUAAUUAUGUUCUCUUUUCUAAUGUUCAUUACGAUGAUAAACGCCUCCCAUUUAUGUGUUUUCCCCUUCUUUCUAUCUCUAUCUUUUGUUAAUAGAAAAUGUGCUUCAAUGCCGUCUUUUUAUUAUAAUUUAUAUAAAUACUAGUGUCGAGACAUACGCUAUGUAUAUACGUGAUUACGGAUGAGUUACAUAUGAAGAGAAGAUUCGAUUUUCAAAGAAAUCAAGUGAUUAUUUGAUGGAGUGAAUGUGUAAUGGACGAUUGUUAAAAGUACUCUAGUGUUUAAUUUAACACUCUUUUCGGCAUGUGAGAUUGUGUGAUCGUAGACCAAAACAAGGUCUCCAGAAAUUGACAUGAUACUUAAGUUUGAGCUUGACCGAAAUUCCACUAAUGCUAUUUCUUAUCUAGUCCACGACAUUAUAAGGAUAUUUCAUUAACCGAAGAUUUACGUACUUAAGGGGGGCUUCCUCCGUAAGAGAAAAACAUGCUAAGCAGAGGAAAGAGACAUACCUGUAAUUUUAUCCAUUAAGUUUUGUUUUUCAAUAGUUGAUUAACCCAUGAUCUUGAAAUUGAACUUAUGCCGUGAAACCGAUCUGCACUAUUUUUUCAUCGAUCAUCGAUCGGACUUACCUUUGACAAAUACAAAUUAGAUUUAGAUGUGUGUUGUGAAUUGAACAAAGAUCCAAUUAGUAAAGUUUACAAGAUCAAGCCGAUCGCAUUUCGAGAAUUUAUAAAAGUCUGUAUUGAAUUGAAGUCAAAACUUCCACAUGAUUUAUGACCCAUGAUUCCUUUUGUUGGUCGCGUUACUCAUAAAUCAUGUCCAUGCAACAUUUCAGCCCUGCAACUUAACCCUAACCCGGUGGGGAACACAAAGGGCUUGUUCGAACGUUGGCCGUCGACGGAGCCGACCCGACCGAGAACGAGAGGACAGCCACCUUUCGCGGCAAUUCUUCAUUUGAGGACCGCCGGCCGCUGAUCGUCCGCCACGUCAGCAUUGUCUUUUUCUGGGACCAGCAGCUGCUCCAAAAGAAAAAGCAGCCCACGUCAGCUCGGGGAGAGGGAGAGGGAGACCGAGACCGGCCAGCGUGGCAGCAGAUCACGAGAUCGGAUCCUUUCGGCCUAUGGUGGGCCACCCCUCUUUCGCCAGGCCCAUGUUAGUCUGCGGAAUUUAGUCAUUGUAUAAUCCGAUUUUUUGGACUUUCUUGCCAAUAAAUCAGACAUGCUCCCUCGUGGGAGAGCAGUGUCAUGUACCAUGUUCCCUCAGGUGAUGGUCACUUAACGUUCAUGAAUCCUAAAAUUCAUAAUUUGCAAAUCAAUCAAUCAUGUGAUGGUUGUUGAAUAAGGCUACAAAGAAUUUUCGGCUCGUUGCUAUGUGUAUUUUUGCAAAGUUGCGAUCGCUAGAAUCUCAAUGAUUUUAAGAAGUGAUUGAAAUAAUAGUCGAUGACCAAUUCAACUACCAAAUUUGCCUCGAAAUGUCAAGCACUUUGUAGGAUCUGAAUGAUGGGGGUAGACAAAUGGUUGGAAACAUCAAGAAAUUUGCAUCAAAGUUUAUUGAAUCACGACGCGCGGCUUAUGUUCUUGAUGCCGUUCUUCCUUGAUACCGAAAUUAAAACAUAAACUCCUUAAAGGAGAUGUUUGAAGUGCGUAUAAAAAGUAAAAACUUGGAAAGUAUGGUUGGAAAGCGUUUUCAAAACAAAGACGAGCAUUAUUGCUGGGAAACUUAUCUAAUCUAAUUCGAUUCAAGUUCAAACUUUAGAUAAAAUCUAAUCUAAAUUGAUAUAUUAUAAAUGAUCUUCCUAUCUAUAGAAUCUAAUGUCUUAUUUGCUUGUAAAUGAUGUUUGUGUGUCAUUUGUCUUGUGUAUUGUCUGUGCCUUUAGUCCUUGUUUUCUAUCGAACCAUUUAUUUUUUGUGAUUUGCAACUGUUUUGACUCCCUAAUUUCGGUUAUCCCUUGAUCAAUGGUUUUUCCAUAGUCAAUCUUUAACUUCUGUACAUACUUCAAAUCAAUCGCUUAAGUAGGUCAAAUAUUAAGGACAUCGUGAAGACAAUGUAGAGUCAGAUCUCUAUUUAAUGGCAGUCCAAGCUUAGGCGAAGAAUUUUCAUGCCGUAGCUUCACCUCCGCUCAGUGUUUAGAACAUGUCAAUGCUGUCUUCCCCGUCGACUCUCAUGCCGGCGACAUGCUUCAUCUCGCAAGGAAGAGAAGCCCCAAGGGCCUUAAUUACACAAGUCCUCGCUUCACCCAAGCCAUAUAUUUCUCUAAUCUUUUCAUAAUUUCGAUGAGGCGAAAUUGAAGGAGUUGGUCUUUUUGAAUCAUUGGAGGAAGCUCAUCGAGUAAGAAAUGAAGGUUUUAGCUUAGGCUGAUUUAACCGAUCAUGCUCCAGCAAUCUUCUGGAAAUCUGAGUUAGGAUUCUCUUUUCUCUUAUGCUGUUGAUUUAUUGUUUUUUUUUUCCAAUUUAAGAUAGUAUGAUGUGUCUCCGCUCUUUUUUUUUCCCCUUCUAAGUUAAUUGAGAAAGAGGUUUAAUUUAGAUUGCAGGCUAUUGAAGAAAUGUAUGACAUUCAUUUCUACUGCGUACUUACACGUAUAAUUAUUGUAGGAGGGUUGGUUUCCUAUGUUGAAGUUCUUCUUUAGGACAAGAUCAUUGAAAACUAAUUAUUGUUGUUGAUCGUCUGAAAAGAUCUUUUGGACGGUUCCCAACGAACCUUGUAAUGAUAAUUGAAGAACAAUAUAUCUGUCAUACAUCGUGUUAGGAUGUUCAUAUUAUGCUAAAGAAAGAGUAAGAAGAAUUGGAUGAAUCUCUAGACUAUGGACAAGAUUGAAAAUAAAAUGAAUGUGAGUGUGAAUGAAAUCAUAUUGAAAGCCAUAAAAGGCUAGAAGCAUAAAUAUAGAAAAGUAAAGUGGAACUCCUAGGGGAGUUCGCCGCAAGUCGUACAUGUGGUGCUUCUAAGGAGCAACGCAUGUUCCCCAUUUAAUUUCAUAAUUUUUAUUAAAUGGAGUUUCUCCUAUACACUAAUUAUGAAAAUAUAAUAUUAAAUUAAAAUCCGACAUUUUUGAAAGAAUGUUCUUCUUAUGACCUAUAUAAAGUGAUGCUUUUUAAUUUGGUCAUGACAAUAUAUAUAGACUGUUUCGCUUUUAAAUUUGGGCCUUCCAUUUUAUCUUCCUUCAUUUAUUCUUUUGAAUUGUAAAUGAUAUUAAGUUCACAGUCAUAUUAAGUUUUUGAGUUUUUCGAGUAAAAUAUGCUAAACCAAUAAAAUUACCUACUGCUAAAUUUUCUUGCAAGCUUUGACAUAUGUUUCAACACUCCUAGAUUUGCAUCCAAACUUUUUUGAAUUGUAUUAUAAAUUUAUAUGAACUUAUUGUCGUUGAUAUAUUUGGUAAAUUGUAUAUAUAGCAAGAAUAAGUAAAAGGCAAAAAAAAAAUAGCAAAAUGAAAAGAAAGGGCAAAGAAAAGAGAGAGAGAGAGAGAGAGAGCGAAAAGGGGUAGUUGAAAAGAAAAAGAAAAAGGAGGGGAGGGGACAGUUCUGGAGGACUAUUAUACAGUAAAGAUAAUCCUAAAGGAAGAGAAAAACCUGACUGACUGAGAAUCCCUAAUCUGUGCACAAGAAUGAUGAAAAGAGCGUGAAUGAGAAUGCAAACUCGAAUGAAAUCGAAUGGACAACCUCAAAGAAUAAAGCAAAUCACUAGAAAAUGUGAACGAUGAUGAGGGAAAAUCCGGGUAACAGGCCCAAAGGAGAACCCAACCCAUUUCUAGGAAAGCAGGCCCUUUCGAGUCCGAGAAUACACCCCCCCCCCCUCUCUUCUCGUCCCCUGCCUUUGUAACAAGCCUUGUUGUUGGUCCAAUCUCUACAGGCCUUAGCAGGAGCGGGCUCGCCAGAUGCGCAUGCGAACUCGAGCCAGAGUAAAAUCAAAUCGAAAGUUGCGAAAGACAAAUUGCUAGAAAGCUGAGGGAUGAUCGCUCGUUGAUUUGAUGUGCCGUGGGAACAUUUUCACCUUCGGUUAAUAAGAGGAUAGCAAAUCUGCAGUGUUGUGACCCGGAUGAAGAGAGCUGCCCUUCCCCUGAACCAUCAAAAUGCAGAGUAAAAGUAACGUUACCAAAGAAAUCGAAGCAUGUUCCCGCUUAUCAGGAAACGAGACAAAACCAAAUCCUCUGGAAAGCCUGGUCUUUUGAUCCCACAUGGCCCUUGCAUCGCUCUGCAAAAAGUCAAGUAACUUCAAUAUGCAUACAAUACGACAUUUUUUCGCUCAUAUAUGGCGUUAAGGGAUAUCUUCUAAUUCAAAUUCACCAAAAAAUUGUAUGAUGCAUCUAUAACCUUAGGGAUAAUGUGUAUGCAAUAUAGUUUAUAGGCUUUUGGUGCAUAUUCAACUUAAUCUUUGAACUAUUUGAAAAUGUUCAGUAUUGUCCUUCUAUUAAUUCAAGUUCAAUGAGCAUAUUUACAAAAUUUAAGGAUAAGUUAAAAAUGUAUCAAAAUUUCAAAAAUCAUAUUAAAUAAAUUAAAAAUUUAUGAACUACAUGUGGUACAUUGAGCAAAAGUUAAUGGGCUGUUUGUGUUAUUUUUUCAAUCAUCAUACGAAUAUAUUAAAGUGCCCCCAUUGAAACGGGAUAUUUCCUAUGUGCGUAAGUCCUUGUGAACGCAGGAAAUGACCUGACAAGAAUGACAUCAUCAAUGAUGAUGUCAUUCUGAGAAUGACCCUGCCUCUACAAGGACCCUCGUGUGCGCACGACAAGGGUCCUGUCAUUCUCUGCGUCUACAGGGACACAUGCUAUGGACAUACCUAGUGGACUUACAAAAGCCUUAGAUUGAGAGCCCCAGUGGCAAGGGCGGCAGAUCUUCUAUCAAAUUAGGGUACAAAACCAUAUUAUCACCUCAAAAGUACAGCAAUUAAACCAAAAAUAAUUAGGAGCCACUAACAACAUAUCGCACCGUGAAAAGCUCCGUGAAUGAAUAAAAACACAAGCUAAGCAUGGGCAAUGAGCUAUGCUACAUAUCCCAGACAAUUUUCCACCAAAUCAUCUAGUACAACCAGUAUAGGUGGAAAGCGCAUGUGUGGUGUGAGGACCUUAAAAUGGCUAUGACAAGAGCCGAAGAAAAAGCACACACCCUAGCAGCAAACGUAAGCAAAACUUUUAAUUUUUUAUUCUUAAAAAAAUCAAAUUUUUAAUUAAAAGUUUAAGGACGAUAUUGCAUAUUGAACAAAGAUUUAUGGAUCAUCUAUGUAAACAUCCAUUUUAAUUUCUGAAUUUCUCUUUUUUAUUUCCUCUCGCUUCUUUUUAAUUACUUUCUAUUUUUCUUUCUUUAUUUUCGAGCAUUGGUAGGACUACUUGUUCACCGAUAUAUAAAAUUAAUACUUAGUGCAUGCGUAGUUAGCAAGGUUUGAAAAAUGUGGCCACUCUAGAGAAGAUGGAUAAUUCCAAGGAUUUGACUUUUAUAUGCCCUCUCUCUUUAGAUUUUCCAAAAUUCCUUUAGUAGUGGAACUUGGGUUUUGCUUUUAAAACACGAAGCGUUUCAUGAGAUUGUGCAAGUGAUGCAUAACCUAAAAUCUUUGUUUCCGUGAAUAGAUCUUAUUAGGGGUGAGCAUCAGUCCAGGAUCAACCCUAGACCGACCCUGGAAUGACCCAAUUGACCCUGGACCGACCCAAUCCUGCCAAUCCUAAUCCGGUUCCCAGAGAGAUUGGGUUGGUUAUUGGUUCUAAAAUUCCUAGACCAGCAUUGUGCGGGUCAGUUCUCGAUCUUGAGAGUUCCGGGUUGGUCCGAGCCAGACCAACCCUGACUAUAUAUAUAAUAUAUUAUUUAUAAUUUUUUAUAUAGAAAAAACUUUAAAAUAAAUAGCGUCAACAACAUUAAAUAGCUCAUUAUUGAGGAGUUCAAGUAAUUUUACAUUAUUAUUAUUUAAUAACUUAGAUUUUUAAUGUCUUUUAUAGUGUCAAUAGUCAUAAUUUACAAAUGAGAAAAAUAUUUUUGUGAGGAGUCCUCAUAGCGUCCAAAAGGCAUAAAUAGCUCCUUAUAGCAUCCUCCUAUAGUAUUCGUUUUCUUCUGUCUUAUUUUUGUCAUCUUAGUCUUCAAUUUACCAAAAUCGAAAGAAACAACUUCUCCACUCACCACUCAACACUCGCCUUGCUUGUUUUGGGUCAUUCGUGCCUCUCGCCGCUCGAUGCUCGAUUGGCUUGUUGCUCCCCGCUUGACAUUCGAUGCUCAUUCUGUUCGACACUCACCCCACUUGACCCUCACCGCUUGCAUUUCUUAGCUGACCUCGCUCAUCAUCGAACCCUUGGGUCGGUAUGGUCCUUGGUUGCCCUUUCAAGGAGUACAAAAAAUGAAAUAAAAAAUAAUUGGUUGAUCCUGGGUUGACCUGAAAAUCGGACCAAACCCAUUGGGUCAAAUCGGUCCUCAAUCGCUUUUUUAAGGAGUACAAAAAAUGAAAUAAUAAUUAUCGUUUGAUCCCGGGUUGAUCCUGGAACCGGACCGAACCCAUUGGGUCAAUCCGGUCCUUGGUCCCAAGCUUAAUAGGGUCGGUCCUCGAUCCUAAAAAUUGAGGACCGGCACUGUGUGGGUUGGUCCUACGGUUAGGGGUGGACCGACCCAACCUGGAUUAUGCUCACCCCUAGAUCUACCAAAGAAAAAAAUCUAUACAUAUGAUGCGUUUGGUAGAGUAUUGAAUGAAUGAUUUUGCAUCUAGACCAAGUUCUUUGACUUGAUGUGCUUUCGAAAAAAGUAUACAAAAUUUGGAUAAUUGUCUUUUGGUAUAUUUUCGAAAAGCAGCUUUAUAAUGAAGUAAAAUUCAAAAAUAAAAAGGAGAACAAGAGAGAGUAAGGGUUACUAGAUCCAAUCGGCAUCGACCGGAGGCCGGCGAAUGACGUGACAUAAGGAUUGGCAUUUUGCGUGUGUCAACGGUGGCUGCCACAAAAUUAGGUGAGAAAAGGUAGGGAGAAUUACCAAAAAAGUCAUAAACCCAAUUAAGUCCUAAACCUUUUAUUUUGACCAAUUUAGUCCUAAAACUUUUAUAAUUGUGCCAAUUCAGUCCAUUCGAAAAAAAUUGGCCAGCCGGCGCUGACGUGGACGUCGGCAGGGGACAGUCGAUCGGUGAGGCAAUUUUUAAAUGUUUUUUUCAAAAUUUUUAAUAUUCUUUUAAUUUUUUAAUUCUUUUUUUCUUUUUUCACCUUCUUCUUCCUCUGGCCAGCCGACGCCGGCCAGAGGCGAGGGCCGGCGAGGUCAGCCUCGCCGGCCACUAGCGAGGCUCGCCCUCAUUGGUUGGAGGCGAGGGCCGGUGAGGGCGAGGCCUUGCCAGAUCUGGCGAGCUUGGCCCUCGCCAAGGCUGGGCGAGACUGCCGUCACCAAGGGUUGUGGCGGAGGCGGGGAGGGAGAGGAUGAGGAGGAGGAGGAGGAGGCGGCGGAGCGGCUGUGGAGAUGCAAAGAGGGGCGCUGUGGCUGUGGCGGCGGUGGCGGGGAGAACGAGGUGGGGGCUUUGCUCCAACGCUAGAGAAACCCGACAUCCCUGUCGUUGUCGUCGUCGUCGCCGUCGUUGCCGUCGUCCCUGCACUCGCACACAGAAGGUGGUGGACGCUGGCUUCUUCGCCAAAGCCAUCGGAGAAGUGGAUUUGAACAAAUCCCAGCCCUGGGAACUGCCUUGUAAGCAAUCACGAAAUCAACCCAUUUCGCCCAUCUCUGUUCGCCUCCGAUUUGUUCUGUAAUUAGAUUAACAUGCGUGAUUGCUUUCGUUUGAGCAUAGGGAAGGCCACAAUCGGGGAGAAGGAGUGGUAUUUCUGUUCUCUGUGUUGCAGAACGAGUGGGUCAUUCGCAGGGUCUUCCAGAAGAGCUCUGGUGGGAAGAAAACCCACAUCUCGGGCCUCGUGACGGCGGGGUCUCUCGAGAACGAAAUGAGCUCCGGCUUGCUGCCGUUGACGAAUCCUUCUCAGAAGGUGAAAAAAGAAAAAAGAAAAAAGAAAAAAGAAAAAAAGAAUUUAAAAAAUAUUAAAAAUUCGAAAAAAACAUUAAAAAAUAUUAAAAAAUUGCCUCACCGGCCGGCUGUCCCCCACUGGCGUCCACGUCAGCGCUGGCUAAUCUUGGUCGGAUGAACUGAAUCGGCACAAUUAUAAAAGGUUUAUGACUAAAUUGGCAAAAAAAAAGUUUAGAAUUGAAUUGACACAAUUAUAAUAGGUUUAUGAUUUUUUUGGUAAUUCUCUCGAAAAGGUAUAUCUAGAUGAAAGUUAAAGACCCACUUUUUUUUUUGGGGUGAAAAAAACCCACGGUUUAUGAGUAAAAAUGUCUUAUCGUUUCUCUAGAUAGCUUAUACGCGUCCAUGCCGCGUUGCUAUAUUUUCAACGUUAUGCGUGAGUUGGUAAACUGUGCUCUUAUCUCCUGCUUGUUAUUCAAUGAAUCGAUUCCGAUUGGUGCUAAUUAAUCACGUAUAAAGUCGGACCACGUGAAAUUGCCUCGGAGAUUCAAGAACCGGAGUCUCACCCGCUAACUAAAACCCCAGUUCACCGCGGCCCAUGUUUUUGCCAUCAGCUGCUCUUAGCACCUGAAUUAUUUUAAGUUUGAUUUAAUUUAAUCCAUAGUGGAUGAGCUUUUGGACACCCCGCCAGAAUUAGUAGAUUAGGACCUGUCGUGGCCGACAUCAUCAAAAGUGGGGUGCCGGCUUCGUGCAUGGAAAAUUAAUUCGCGUACAAAGAUUCCUAGGAGCAUGACAUCGUACAACCCCUCACUUCUGGGACAAAUAGCUAAACGCUACGCCCACACCAAUUAUAUCAUUCUUUCUGCAUCAAUCACAUUUUGGCACCGUACAAAAAAGCCUUGCUUUUAAGCCCACAUGAUCAAGGUAGAAACAGAUCGUGACCCAUCACCAUCGUCACUGUAUCCUGUUUCCCGAUUAUACAUUAUGGCAAGAUCAAACGAUCAAAUAAUAAAAUAAAUAGAAUAAGGAAAUAGAUUGGACACAUGAUUUACGUGCUUUAAUUGUAGUGAUUUACGUUAAUGGGGGAAAAUAACAACAAAUUUCACUAUAAAUUAAGUUACAUAACAUAUAUUAUAAUUACAUUCGGAUCACUUAAACACACUUGGUAUUUUUCUAGCUCUCCAUUAUCUCCAAUAACUAAAUGGUGCUUAACCACAUAAUUUCUCAAAAUAAUCUCUCAAUCUCCUAAAUGAAUACAUAAAAUCUCAAUACACAAUUUUAAUCGCUAGAACACUCUCCAAUUGGAUCGCGAUGUAAGAGAGGCGUCGCCACUAGUCAUGUCAACAACAGCCCACUCCCACGAAUCAAGAAUAUAUUAUAUGGUUACCCAAAAUCGAGUAACCGACUUCAAUGAGGGAAACGUGUACGUAUCAUGCGCAGAAGCAAAUUUGGUCAACCUCAGAAAAGUCCAAGUCUCCCUUUUGAAUUUUCCUUGGCAACUUUAAUGAGGACAUCGUUAUCUUUAAUUUCCUUUUAUAUUUUCUUCCACCACCAAAUCUAAUUUACCAAACGAAGUUAGCUUUGCUUGAUUUUGACGUCUGCCAAACAUCCAAAUUUCCAACUUUAAUAGACCGAACUUUCUUGCAAUUUACUUGGGGUGGGAUUUUGUUCAUUGGCUCAAACUCGAGAUAUAUAAGUACCGUCUAAUCUUUAAAUAAUCAUAAGCCAAAGUUGUUCACGACAAUAAUCUAAUCUUUCCUCAAAAAGCACCACUGCAGGAGAAACAUAUGGUAACUAACUAUCACAAGUUUGAGUUGAGCAAUUGACAAUUGAAUUUGCUGCUCCUGUUCAUUUUGAUAUAAUGUCAUUUCUUUAUAUUGAAUGUCACCUUAAAAAUAAGUUCUCAUAGCAUUUUCUUAGUGUUCCCUUCUUCCAUAUCUCAAACUACUCACAAGAACCAUAGAAUUACAUUAGGUGGUAUGGUCAAUUUGCACAAUGCACACACCAAACCGAAUUCACCUUUUUGAUUUGGUUGAAGCAUUGUCAAAUCGAGGUUUGGUUAGGACAUGCACAAGUAAUAACUAUUUCCUCUUAGGUAUGUCUCUGAUAGAUAUUUGCUGCAAACUUCGAAUCGGAUGGGAGGAAAAAGUUGAUAUUCUAAAUAUGACAUUUCGGGCUGAUAUAGAAGAUGUGAGAUUUCAAGUCAAAUAACUAGCGUCCACCCCCCUCCCCCUUCGCCCAACCCUUUCUCUUAUUGGAUAACAAUAGAGACUAGACAAGUGAAGAACAUCCCACGAAGGUCAUCGAGAGCCGGCAGAGUAAAGCCAAGAAAAAGGAGAAACCAUCCCUUCGAGUCAAAUAAAUGAGGAGAGCAACCACGAAAACAUCAGAUGCUCCUAAAGAAAUGACCACACUCCAAACACAAGACAAACCACAACUUAACGAAAAAUUGGGUUUUUUUAGGGAUUUCUUAAAAAAGUGUCUCGUGAUAUUUGUUAAAAAUAUCUGUGAAGAAGUUAUUUAAAGGUUUCUUGUUUUCUAAUACAUUAUUUUUUCUGCAAUAUGUGUAAAAACGAAAUAAUUCCUUCUAAAUAUGCUUAACAUAAGCCUUUUUAAUUGUACGCAUCAGAGGUGAUAUCAUAGACAAAGAAACGAGUGAUAAUUAACAAAUGAAAUUAUUUGAUUAGGAAAGUGAAAAGCGGUUUUCUGAUGGAAACACUGAAACUACAGGAAGGUGAAGGCGGUAACGGUGAGUUCAUAUUUUAUCUUUUAUGAAAUUNNNNNNNNNNNNNNNNNNNNNNNNNNNNNNNNNNNNNNNNNNNNNNNNNNNNNNNNNNNNNNNNNNNNNNNNNNNNNNNNNNNNNNNNNNNNNNNNNNNNACUUCAAAUCCAAUACCAGUGGUGGACCAUAUCAACUCAACAUGAGACUUCUGAUAUAAAAAAGGGAAAAAGUUAGAUAAUAAUCCCCCCCCCCAAAAAAGAAGAAGAGGAAGAGACAUAAAAUUGCUCCUCGAUCGCGAAUAGCGCCAGAAGCAAACCCACUACUCUAGGAUCUUUUCAGUGGCCUGAUACAGUUAUAGUCAUGCUAUGUGUUGCUUUUUCUUUUAUGGAGUUACUUUAUUGUCCUAUUACGAGUCAAAAGCAGCAAGAAAAAUAAAUCUGAAAAAGUUCGAUCGGUGACUAUUUUAGGUGCUUCUCAAUUUGAGUUAGGUAUGCAUUUCUAAAGAAAGAGUGGGAGAAUAUAAAAUUAUGAAACUUUGUUAACUCAUAUUCAUUUAGGUUAGAUGAUUUGUUUAUUUAAUUUUCUAUUGAAUUAAAAUUAACGUAGAAGGAAAAUUAAAAUUAUUAUAAAAAUUUGUUUAUGCAAUCCAUAAGCAUGAUCUUAAUGCCUAAAAAUGGAAUUAUCGACUAUACGCAUGGUUCAGAAUAGGAAAUUUCCUAACGCGGAGAUGCUUAAAAAUCUCAAACAAAUCAAAAUUAGUAUCGAAUAUAUUAAAUUAAAUAAUCAAUAAUUGCAAACUAGGCAACGAAUAAUCAAAUCGAAUUGGUUCGAGAGAUUACCUGGUUUGAAGUAUUCAAUUCCAGAAUCGGGGCCGGCGAUGGGGCGCUUUAUGGCGACCAGUGAGGAGGAACGUCAGGACCAAAGCAGCAACGACGGCGAUUCAGCAAGGACGCAGCAAAUUGCGGACGGGUUCGCUGGAACAAAAGACGCAACGGUGAAGGUUUGUUGGUCGGACUCUGCUUGGCGGCGACGGUGUGGGCUCGAUCAACGCUAGUCUGCUCUGGGCAAACUGCGAAAGGAAAUCAAAACAGCAAGCGGAGGUGGCGUCAAGUGGAGCCGGGAUGCCGCCUGGAAUCACCGGAAACCGCCAGGGACUGCUGCUGUGGCGUUCGAAUAAGUCGGCAAAUCUGCUGUCGUGGCCGCAGCAGGACGUGCUGAGCGCGACUAAGUGAGCCAGCAAGCGAGGUAGAGGCGCGACGAUGGGCAAGCCGGCGGCAAGCGCAGUGACUGAUGAGGGGCGGCGGCGGCGGCGUUCGUAGGAGGACAGAGCCGAAGAUCAACACCGGCGAACAAGGUCUCGAGAAUUUCGGCGAGAAAGCAAACCCUAGACCGCCGGACGAAAGCGGCAACGACACCGAGAAAAUAGACCCCACCGGUAAACAAGGACAAGCAAUCUCUUCUCAGUGUGUCCUUUUAUAGUGCUUUUUUUUUUUUUUUUGGUACUUUGUCUUUUUUUGGUGAACUAUUAAUCUCACCUUAUAAUGAUGUGGUUGGCUUGACUCGGGCAUGUCUGUUGGGGUUUGGAUCGAGUCCAGAGGAGAUGAAUCGAGUCUUGGGGGCUAGUUCUCGGAAAUUUACUGCAGAGAAAGGACGGAUGCGGGAAUGAGUGGAUAGGGAUGAUUAUAAUAACAUCUUGAUCUGAGGGGCAUUGGGAUUGAUUGGCCUACAGUUGCAGUGACCGAAUUGAGCGAUCGGGUCCACUCGGCCAAUUCCGAAGAAGUAUAGAAAAGAACAUUACAACAAGGAAGCGCCAGUGGACAGGAAAAAAAAAAUUAAGGAAGCACAAACUUAGAUCUGGAAAUUUGGGAAUUUUGAUUGCCGAUUGUGUAGUUAUGUGUUGGAAAAAAAUGGAGAAUCUUUUUAGACUUGAAUAAUUUCACAUUUUUGUCUGUCCUACUCAAACUCUCAAUUCAUUUUUAGACUUUUGCAUUAUUUCUUUGUGAGAGUCGAAUCACACUCGUAAAAUUAAAUGUCCUCACCUCCAAACCCUUAAGUAAAUGGGGAAUUGAACCACUAGGGGUGGCCCUAGUGGCUGCCCUAGUAGCCACCAUUCCAACUUAAAAAUGGGAGAUAGGGGGUUCAAAUCCCCACCUUCUCAGGGGGUUGGGGUGAGGGUUGGGGUGAGAGCGAUUUCAUUUUAGGAGUGGAUUUCGACUCCCACGCUCUGCAAGGAGGCAGAGUAAAAGUCUGAGAGUGAAUGUUAGAGUAAGAUUAGAGUAGGACCAACAAAAAACAAUGGGGAAUUGAACUUUCCAACUCCUUUUUAAGUGGGAAGGCUAGUCAAUGGGCAACCCUCGAUGUUUAACCACUCUUAAAAAGUGCUUUAUAUAUAUUUAAAGAGGAUUAUUUUAAAUAAAAUAUAAUUUCAUAAAUGGCCGAUUAUAUAUUCGAUUAGCAAAAAAUUGAUGUUUUGGAAAUUAACUUUUCAUUUGAUUUCUUCGUAGGUAUCAUGAAAUAUUCCUUAAUAAAUUCAUGUAAUGAAACCUAUAAAUUACGGAGGACGUAUACCUAUAAAGCGAAAAAUUGGAAAGAGCCAAUCCAUUGAUGGAGAAUAUUUGCUUUUGGCAUGAUUCUAUUUUGGGGGAUUGGAAAGUGCUUGCUUUUUGCCAAGUCAUGAAUCACGACUGCCCCUUGACAGAUGAAAAAGAAAUGGCAACAAUCUUGUGCCGUUCCCACGAAUAUAGGCUUUUCGAUUGGGAUGAGAAGGAUGUUAGUCAUUGAAAUAGAACCAAUCUUACCAUGAUAUGGUUGUGAAGACAUUCCAGCAAUGUCCUUUGAAUUUUUACUUUUCAUAAAGUUAUUGUAUUUAUCCCCCAAACAUACUCUAAUGAAUCAAUUUUUUCCACCCUGGCACCUCUUAAUUCUUCCAUCUAUAAAUUUUGGGCACUUAGUUUAUGCGAAAACAAGUUCACCACCAACUAUAGCUGUACCAUUCGCUAAAAUUUAUCCUAUUUUUAUGCAUACAAAUAUUUUUAUUAGAACAUAAGUAUUGGGAAUAGAAAAAGGAUCACUUGUAAGGUGGUCAUAUAAACUCUAAGUCCAAGGAAAGAUUAUAAACAGCUCCUUUUUUGUUUCAUCUUUUCUGCACCUACUAAAAUUCUGAAAACAAAUCACACUACCUUUUAUGGUGAUUUUACAAGACUGGGAUGACGGGAAACGUGGUAUGAUGCAUUUCGAAGAAGUUGCAAGAACUAAGUGUGGAACGGGGUCAACAACCAAUGAUCAGGUAGGAAAGUGAGUGAGUGGUGACAAAGACAUAAUUGAAGGAAAGAAUAAAAAAUGGCCCUAAGCCCAUAAGUUGACUGGGCGUGUGGGACGAGAAUCAAAUGAAACGUCCAACAAACGUAGACAUGUGAACUUACACUUCUAACCUUCCUCAAAAGCAAAAAUGAAAAGGGUAAUGCCUUUAAACUUUAAUUAUUAUUUUUCUAUCGUCUACAGGCUUCUAGUCGCAGUUACCAAAAAUACCUUAAUAUUACUUACUUUAUUAGAAUGACUGGACUACUUUUCUCUAUUUCAAUUAUGAAUUAGUGUUGAGUUACCAACUCUAAUUUGGAUUACUUUAUCAAAUUUCAUUCACAUAUCUUUAUCAUGCCUUAAAUUUACUAACUCUUAUAUGUCAACCUCUUCUUCGACUAAGCUUUUAACUGGUUACCAAUUCUCAUUCGAAUUAAUUAUCAAUGUUUUGCUGCGUCAUGAGCUCUAAAAAGAGAUGGCCCCACGACGACCCUACUGUCACGCUGUUUCGAGUUAAUGAGCCUCAUCUGCCCAUUGGCUUGUGGGGCGGGCAUCUCGUUUCUUAUCUAGAAACUGAGUCAACUUGGUUUCUUCAUUUAAGCCUUCUUGAAAUGGUAUUGCUGCGAGUCUCUCGAUGACUGGUCGAAAUUCGACGAGAGAAAGGCAUUUUGCUUUUGCAACGGGAUUUCAUUUUCUAAAUGCCCAUUUAUGGAUCAAUCAAAUGUCCAGCAUAAACUCUCUCUCUCUCUCUCUCUCUCUCUCUCUCUCUCUCUCUGCGCUUCCCAAGAGAAAAAAAAAAUCAUAUUCCCGCAUGCCACCUGCCUGGAUGGGAUGAAAAAAAAAAAAUUGCCCUUAAUUUUGGGUAGGAUAGGAUAGGCCUGGGUACUUUUGAUACCCCUCCUAAGAAGGAUGCUCGAAAGGUAAUCUCCACGGUCGGUGUACCAAGUGAAAGGGAAAAGUCUUUUAGCGAUCUUUCUCAACCAUUAACAAAAGGGAAAAUUUAAAGAUCGGUCAUGAAAGGAUUCACAGACGCGCUUUACUUUUUCUCUUUCAGUAUCGUGCUUCUACGACCUUUCUUGGUAGGUCGCGAUCAAUUUCUAUUGUCUUGCUUCAAGGCAGCCUCAAUCUCUUCAUGAUCUAAACCGAGAUUGAAUUCCCUAAACUCAGAAUAACUUGUCUUAACAAUGAUUUUAGCCUUCAACAAUUUUACGAUGGAUAGAAAUUUUUCUUAUGUUUUCCUUUCCACUAAAUGUUCAGAUUUGUAAGUUGCAAGAUGAUGUUUAUUAAUCAAAACAAUAAGGGUGAGUAUAGUUGUGAGCUGGUGUACUUUUUUGCAUACACUGAUUAUCUACUUCCUUUGUUUUUUUUUUUUUUGGUGACCCAGGAACCCUCCGCACGGCCGGCAGCCGGAGGAGUAAACCUGGGGGGCUGCGUAAGCGGGAGGACCCACCACCCCCGGCAACCCACUUAAGACGCCACGCAGCAAUCCACCAGCCUCCCUUCAACUUGCGUUGAAGGGGGCUUCGAACUCCAGACCUCCAACGUGGAAACCUGAAGCCUACCCAGCAGAGCCACCACGGCCGGUGAUACUUCCUUUGUUUUUUAUAAAAGGCAAAACAAGAAAAGAAGACACCCCAUUUAGCCAGCACCGGCACUAAAAACAUCUUUGAAGAUUGCCCUAGAGGAUAAUGGGAGAUUUUAUAGGAGAAUUAAUUAGAUCUCCUAAAUCAACCUCUCUUUCGCUUGGAUAGCACUUCAAUCAUCAUGCAUCUAUUUCAAUUUAUGAGAUUUUUUUGAACUAUAGAAACAUGAAAACUCUAAUGUAAUUGCUUGAUAGGUAGAACCAUCAACUCUUGCUUUAACUUAAGCUUCUACGCGUUGCAAGCAUCAUCUUAUUCUAUUCACGUAGCCCAAAAAAAAAAAAAUGAUUCAAAUAUCUUGUAUAUUUUGAAAUUUUAUCCAAAUAGUCAGCCCUGAUCAUUGGUCACUUACGUAGAUUUGAUGACCGUUGGAGUGCCCAAAUUGAAGACCUAGCUCAUAGCAUUACAGCAUGAUAUUCCAAGAUUAUCUUCGCCAAAAAUCAUGGACUAAUUCUCUCAACAGAUUGAUGAGAUGACGUGAUCAAAACCUGCUAAUAAUAGAAGAUUAAGAGAAGGGCUAAACACGUGUUUUUCAAAAAAAUAAAAUAGUUUUGGAUAAAUAUGCCAUGAGUGUAAAAGUUUAGUAUUUUUUGUAAGACAGGAUUUAAUUUUGGAUAAAUAUGUCAUGCAAGUAUGAUUUGAAAUUUCUAAUUAUUUUAAUUGAACUAUAGACAAAUAGAAGUUUGGAACUAAUUUCCUAGAGUCCACGAGGAAAUUUCCAAGAAGGAAGACAAAUAGAAGUUUGGAACAAAUUUCUUAGGGCCCGCAAGGAAAUUUCCAAGAACGACGCUCAAAAGGUUAUCCCCAAGGUUGGCAUACCAUGUGAAGUGAAAAAGACUUUGACACUAUUUGCCCAGCCAUCAACAAAAAGAAAAAGUUCAAAAUCAGUCCUGAAAAGGAAUCCCAAACGAUCUUGCUUUUUCUCAUCAAUUGUCGUAUAUCUUUGACAUUUCUUGGAAAUCCAGAAUUAACUGUUCUUUAAAAACCUUCGAGUACCUACACACAUACAGAAUAUAGCUAAACAGAGGAAUUAUAAACAAGAGGGCCAGGAAAAUCGAAGGAGAAAGAAAAUAGUAUUAGUUAGUUCGAUUAUCAAGAGGAAAAAUUGCAAGAUGGCUUGUCAUGUAAUAUGAAACUUCAUUAAGGUUAUUUUUGUAUAGUUGUGAGCUGAUGUACUUUUUGUCUUUUGCUUAUUAUCUGUUUCAUGUGUUUUUCAUAAAAGGGGAAAAGAAGAAAAGAAGAUAACGCAUUUAACCAACGCCAAUCUAUUAAAUUGCGAUGCAUCUUUGAAGAGUUCUCUAAAGGAUGAUGAGAGAUUGUAGAGGACAAUUAAUCCGAUCUCCUAAAUCAAUCUCUCUUUGACAUGGACAGCACUUCAAUCAGUACUCGUCUAUUCAAGUUCACAUGAUUUUUCUGAAUUGUAGAAACAUGAAAACGUUCUUGUAAUUGCUUUAUAUUAAGAGUUAUUAGCUCUAGCUCCUAAUGUUACGCCUAACUGUUGGAGCGAUGGAUCACAAUCAUCAGCUAAUCCUAGUCGCCUCAGCUAGUCCGCACAUGCCUUGGACUAUAGUUGGAUCAUCAAAGAUGGUCUGUAUUAUUGACUAAGCAACACCCAUUUUUCUCCGAAGACAGACCGGCAUGGCAAAGGUUGGGGGCUAUACAUAUUUGAUGAGAGAUUACUUCAAUUGGUUAUUUUCUCACUUUUUCGUUAUUAUUCCUCCAUGGUUGAGAACUGCAGUAAAUUGGUAUAUAACUUAUGAAGGUGUAAGUGCAAAGGUAAAGCAAAAUCUAAUUGAAACUUUACUCAUCAUUCGAUUUUUUCUCAAGCACAAAAAUGAAAUGUUACUAUUUGAAUCAAUAAAUUUGCAUCUACCUUUUAUUUUCUAUUAGGUUUUCCCACUGAUGAAAAUUUCUGAAUCUAUCCCUAGUUUUCUCCAUCGCAGCCAAGAUAAAUCCAAGGAAAUCUCAAUUCUAGAAGGUGAAAUUCACAAAACUAACCUCGAAUUCUGAGGGCAUAAUACAUUCAGAAUUGGGCAAAAUCGGAAAAGAAAUGGUCCAGAUAGGAUUCAACCAGGUCGGCAGUUCCUUGAACGCCUCAAGCUGGUUCCGUCCAAUGAUCAGAACGGCUCGCUGACGCCAUUAACCUUUGGACCGGUCGCUGGCAUGGCGCAACAGUGGAGCUAACGUAAGACGAAUGCGAAGCGACUUUAACUAUAGUAAAAUUAGAGACUGACGAGUGUCGACACGAAGGGACACAAAUUCAGGUGAGGCAGGUUGCUGUCAAGUGAAAUUAAAUCGAGACGGCCAGGUCGUCUAUCACAAACUCAUUUGUGAAAACACGAGAGAAGUCAUUUUACUAAGCAAAAACAUUUAUAUAGGUGAGAGAAACUGUGAGAGGGACACUUUGUAAAUAUUUAAAGGUGUGAUUUAUAGUUUGGGGGAGGAUCUAAUGUGUCGUAUGGACAACGACUAUUGAAGAGUCUCAUGGUUACAUGGUUUACAGUGAGAUACCGUAGAAGAAGUCGAGUCUUGUACGACGGCAAGUUCUACACUUGAAACAAGACGAUCAUUGUGCUCAAGUGAAAUUUGACCUAUCUGGGCUGUUAGAGCUUGAAAAGAGGAGCAGACACACCCACACUGGGCCUCUAUAAAUUUUUUAGCAGUUUCUCUUUCUCUUAACUCUUUACUUUCCACUAUUUAUAUUGCUAAUUCACUUUGCUUGUAGUAAUAGAAUUUUAUUGGGGUAAGUUUUACAUAAUUAGUUUGUGUUUUCUCUAAAAAUAAAUUGAUCCUAACUUUUGGUUGGUUUUUUGGGUCUAACAAUUUGUGUCAUAGUAGGCUCCUUGUUGUAAAGGUUUAAACUUUUGAGAUAAAAGAUGGAUGCCAAUAAUUGUUGGAACUAGCUCGAACAGAUUACUUGACCUGCUUCGUCUGAUGGUGCUAAUUAUUCUCAUUUGAAACAUAGGAUGGCCAUGCUCAUUCAGUCAAUGGACCACGAACUUCGCAGGUCAUGCAAUAUGAAACCCUUGUACUAAUGAAGAUAGGGGAAAUUCCUAGUGCUUCCAAAGAUAAAAUGAGUUCACGGCCAAUGACGAGAGAAAGAGUAUCAUUGGACCCAAAGGUAAAUCAUGUUCUCUAUCAUGCAGUUGCCCCUGCUGAAUUCAACCAAAUUAUGUCGUGUUAAAUGGCCAAAGAAAUUUGGAAUCGAUUAGUGGUCAUGUAUGAAGGAACUAAUCGCAUGAAAAAGACGAAGAUUGGCGUGCUGCAACAAAAUUAUGUAUUGUUCAUGAUGGUGGCCCAUGAGAGCUGCAAGGAUAUGUUCGCUUACUUCAUGGACAUCAUCAACGGCCUAGCCUCUCUUGAUAAGCCUAUUUCUAGUGAUAUAUAGAGGAAAGUGUUAUUUCAGCCCUUAAUCAAAUUAUACACCAAUUUGGUUUUAAAUUUUUUGAAUGAUAUAAUAUAAGUCCUCACCUUAGAAUGAAUCUCACCUUAGUCUCACACCAAUGUCCAUCUAAAAUUGCUGACGUGACCACUUAGCCCAUACUGAUCGUCUACAUGUAUAAUUGGCAAUUGGCAUUAAAUUUUAAGGAUUUUUGCUUUAUGUCUUUAUUGUACAUUCCUUGUUGCUGUCAUCUUCCCAAAUGAACUUAUAGCUUCUCUAAUUGUCUUGGGCGUGCAAAAUAGUUGCAUUUUUUGCUCGAUAGAGCAUCACUUUCAUUACUAAGGGGGAAAAGUGCCAUGAGAAUGCCCAAAAUCAUAACAUAACAAAGACCAAAAAGUGGGAAGGUGGACUGACGUGAUAGAGUAUCCUAAUCCGUUAAAUCCAAAAGUUCAAUCAUUAAAAUCCCUAAUAAGAAUCAUCACAUCAUAAUAUAAACUGUUCUUUGAGCAAGGCUUCGAUCGGACUGUGUGAGGUUGUUGCUCCCCUCAUCUUUGAACCUUGGGGAGAGGGGAUUAAGUUGGAGUUAUCGAGCAACAACCUCGCACUGCAUUGCCUCUUCAACGGAGCUCAGAAGUCGGUGGAAUAGGCCGUCCUCGCCGCCAUGGGACCCUCCGUGAUCCUGAUCCUCUUCCACCUUACACCUUGCGUGCCCUUCAUAGCCUAAACCCUAAUCCCUUCCCAUUGCACACCAAGCUCUCCGCAACUCUGCAUCACUUCAAGUUAAACAUCAUUUCACCGCAUAAAGCCAUUUUUCUUGAUCUCCAAAUCGGAAAACACUCCCUAUGAAAAAGUCGAUCACAAUUUCUAGGUGAUUGUGGAGUUGUGUGGGCUCGACGACCUCGUAUAUGAGGUUGUCGCAGCAGUCCUUCGCCCUGGCAACCGUCGUGAACAAGAAACAAAGAGAGACGGAGGUGGUGAAGACAACAAACAGUAGCUAGAAGGAAAGAAGAGAAAACAGAAAACAAUUAGGAAAAGCCAAAAAAACUAAGCAAAAGGGCAUCAUUUCGACUAUAGUUAACCACUGUCAGAUCAUCAUUUCAAUGUUGCAACAUUGAAUAUAUUCAUAUGGCCCAGAAACUAAAUUGAGUACGUUUCAGAAGUCCAAGGACCAUAUUGAACAAAUCAAAUAUUUAUAGAUGACCUUUAAUAUUGGACUAAAGUUCAUGAACCACAUUAAACAAAUUUAAAAUUUAGGAGCCACAUUACACAUGUGGUCAAAAUUCAAGAACUAUUUGUGUUAUUUAUCCAUAAUAAUUCUAUAUCAAUUUGAUAUACGCAACUCGUGCUGUGCGGAUUGCUGCACAAAUCAAUAAUGAAAAAUGAUAUACAAACAUUUGUGUGCAAAGAAACCUUCAUGUUAUCAUAUUUGCAGUUAGACUCUAGUGUUAACAUAACAUUAAUAAUUUUUUAGCAACUUAUUAAUGAAAUAGCUAACUUGAUUUUUUGAUCUCUUUCUUCACUAUGAUUCAACUGCACAUAAUUUAUAUAUCUUUAUUUUAGUAAACAUAUUUGCACACUAAUGUAAAUUGUUAUGGUAGUAAGGUGGGAAAUUUCUUUAAUUUAAAGGAGUACAAGUAGAAUAAAUAUGGAGAGAGGGGAGUGUUAUAGAUAAAGCCAAAUAUUUGUUUUUAGGGGCUUUUUUGUCUUUUCUAUUAGAUUUCCUUUUAGGUUAAAAGUGGUACCUAUAUAUUAGCGAUGGCAAAACCCUAGCCGUCAAGACGCUGAAAAAGGAAAUAGAGAGGCAAGAAAAAGAGAGAAGAAAAAAGUGAGUUUUUUCUUGAUGAGUGUUCUCAAUCUCUUUGUGCCCUGAUCUUGAGAAAAGAUCGUCGUUGUAUUCUAACUUUUUCCGAAGUUUAGUGGAUUUGCAGAGUGCCUCUGCGCGGAGACGUAGCCCAGGUUUGGGUGAACUUCGAUAACAAUUUUUUUGGCGUGUUCAUCUGAUUCUGCUCUUUUAUUAUUAUAUUCUGUCCGGUGAAUUGUUUGCGAACAUUAUUUUUCUGGAAUCGACGUGCGAUUUCGUAACAACUGGUAUCAGAGCCUGGGUUGGCUAAUCGAGAACAUCGAGGGUUUUCGGUGACGUUCGAUUGAAAGCAAACAGGAUGGCAGAAGAUAAAAUCAGAAUCGAUAAGUUCAAUUGAGAGGAUUUCGGAUGGUGGAAACUACAAAUAGAGGAUUAUCUUUAUCAAAAAGAUCUCUAUGCACCACUUGAGGGUUGGAAACCCGAGAUGGCAGAAGUGGAUCCAACAGCAGAAACCGGAUGAAAAAUUCUUGAUUGAAAGGCGUUAGGUGCGAUUCGUCUAGGGUUGACGAAAAAGACAGGGUACCACAUCGCGAAAGCAAAAACUGCAAAAGAAGCCAUGGAUAUUCUAAUGAAUAUUUUUGAGAAGCCAUCCACAUCAAAUCAGGUAUUUUUGCUGAAGAAACUGGUUAAUAUGAAGUUAUCUGAUAGAGGUUCUGUGACAGAGCAUAUUAAUAGUUUCACGCAGGUCACGGGUCAAUUGGAAUCCGCAGGCAUAAAUUUAGAUAUGAAGCUUCAAGCUUUAUUAUUUUUAUGUUCUCUUCCAGAAAGCUACAAUACCGCAGUGCAGGGAAUUUCGAGCACCAUGAAGGAUGAUUUAACUCUUGAUGAUGCUGUGAGUAGUAUCAUGGAUGAAGAGAUGCGAAGGAAAGUCUCAGGUGGAGAUAAUUUUUUCUGCAUCUACAUCUUUAACGGCACUUGCGGUGGAGAACCGUGGAAGAAGUAAAAGUAGAGGAAAUUUCAGUGGUCGUGGCAGAUCACAAUCAAGGGGUAAGAGACAAGUUGCAAAAGAUGAGUGUUGGAUUUGUCACAAAACCGGACACCGGAGGUUUCAGUGUGAAGCCUACAAAAAGAAGCAGCAAGAUGAGAAUCAAGGAGCUAAUGUAGUUAGCGAUAAAUCUUUGCUAGAUAACUUGUGUUUGUCUGCAGGGUUUGACUUGACAACAGAUAAAUGGUUUAUUGAUUCUGGCGCUUCUUUUCAUUGCACCUCGCAAAGAGACAUAUUUGAUGAUUAUGCCAGUGGAGAUUUUGGACAAGUGGUUGUGGGAAACGGCCACAUGUGUCCAAUUGUUGGGAAGGGAACCGUAACUGUGAACAUCUCAAGUGGAGGACGUCUAGUUUUGCGUGAAACUAGGCAUAUUCCAGAAUUAAAGAAAAAUCUUAUUUCAACCAGUAAACUUGACCAAGAAGGUUUGGUAAUAACCUUUGGUUGUGGAGAGUGGAAAAUAACCUCAGGGGUAAGAGUAGUAGCAAAGGGAAAGCGUACAGGUACACUUUACCUUAUCCAAAGAGACAAUAUCAGUGAUAUGGUUGCAACUACAAUGGCUACAAGUAAUUUAUCUACUCUUUGGCAUUAUCGUUUAGGACAUCUUGGUGAAAAAGGUGUAAAGCAGUUACACUCGAGAAAAUUACUUCUGGGUUUACAAAAAGUUGAGUUAGAUUUUUGUGAGAGUUGCAUUUAUGGAAAACAGAAGGCUCUUAGUUUUCAAUUAAAUGGGCGACAAAAUAAAGGCCAGGAGCUAGAGUUGGUUCAUACUGAUGUAUGGGGACCUGCUCAAGAACUCUCUUAUGGUGGUAAGAGAUAUUUUGUCACAUUCAUUGAUGAUGCAACAAGAAAGACUUGGGUCUAUGCUCUUAAAGAAAAAUCAGAAGUAUUCGGGAUGUUCAGAAUGUGGAAGACCAUGGUAGAAAAAGAAACAGGUUAUCAGAUUAAAGCUUUGAAAUAUGAUAAUGGUGGUAAAUACACAAGUAAAGAAUUUGCAAAUUAUUUGAGUCGAGAAGGCAUACAUGGGUUAAAGACUGUUCCUAAAACUCCUCAAGAGAACGGUGUAGCUGAAAGGAUGAAUAGGACUAUUCUAGAACGUGCGAGAUGCAUGAGACUACAAGCGGGUCUCCCGCUACACUUAUGGGCUGCCACAGUUGAUACAGCUGUUUAUCUUAUCAACAGAAGUCCAUCUAGUGCGUUGGAUGGAGAAAUACCACAAGAGCGGUGGUCAGGUAAGAAGAUUAAUUAUUCACAUCUAAAGGUGUUUGCUUGUAUUGCAUAUGCUUUGAUUGACAGGGAGGAUAGGAAAAAGCUUGAUGCUAAGUCCUAGAAGUGCAUCUUUAUCGGAUACGGUGGUGACGAGUAUGGCUAUAGACUUUGGUAUUAUGAGAAUAACAAAGUCAUCCGCAGUCGCAAUGUGGUAUUCCAUGAAGAAAAGAUGUACAAGAAUCGUCAGACAGAGACAGAGCAUGAGAAGGUAGUACAACCAAAGUAUGUUGAAUUAGACAUAAUGCCUGUGAAGAUGUUUCCAGUAGAUCAAAGUUCACCUGAAAGAGAGGUUCAAGAUGAGCCUAUUAUCAGUGAAGAGGUAGUUCAAGAAGAACGCAGUGAUUCGGAGCAAACGAAUGACCCUGAAGUACCUAUCUUGAGAAGGUCUACACGUGUGAGAAAGCCAAAGGUAAUUUUUGAUCCAUCAGCUAAUACUGUUCUGAGCCAUGUCUUAUAUACAGAUUCGGGGGAACCGGAGACUUAUGAUGAGGCAAAGGCAGACACGUCUCACUUGCAGUGGGAGUGUGCUAUGAAAGACGAGAUGAGCUCGUUACUUCAGAACAAAACUUGGGAGUUGACCAAGUUGCCCACAGGUAAAAAAGCUUUAUUAAACAAAUGGGUGUACAGGAUUAAGAAUGAAGCAGAUGGUAGUAUUAGAUACAAGGCGAGACUUGUAGUCAAGGGCUUUUCUCAAAAAGAAGGGAUAGACUACUCCGAGAUAUUUUCACCUGUAGUGAAAAUGACAUCAAUUAGAGUUUUGCUAAGUAUAGUUGCAGUGGAGGAUCUUCAUCUUGAGCAGUUAGACGUAAAAACAACGUUUUUACAUGGUGACUUAGAUGAAGAUUAUACAUGGCACAACCUAAGGGUUUUGAAGUCAAAGGUAAGGAGCACAUGGUAUGUCGCUUGAAGAAAAGCUUGUAUGGCUUGAAACAAGCUCCGCGACAAUGGUACUUAAAAUUUGAUGGUUUCAUGCAAGAAAAAGGAUUUGCACACUGUGAGUCUGAUCACUGUGUUUAUUUUCGCAAAUAUGAUGAUGGUGACAUUGUGUAUCUAUCUUUAUAUGUGGAUGACAUGCUGGUGGCUAGUUCCAAUAUGAAGAGAAUCGUAGUAGUGAAAAAGAUGUUAUCAUCACAGUUUGCUAUGAAAGACUUGGGAGAGGCCAAGAAUAUUUUAGGCAUGAAAAUUAUCAGGGACAGGAAAAAUAAGAAAUUAUGGUUGUCGCAAGAAGACUAUGUGAACAAGGUGUUAAAGAGAUUUAACAUGGACAAGGCAAAACCGGUUGCAACUCCUCUAGCGAAUCACUUCAAACUUUCCAAGGAUAUGUCCAAGCACUCAGGCUUUGAAAGAUGAGAUGGCGGUAGUUCCAUAUGCAUCAGCAGUGGGGAGUUUGAUGUAUGCCAUGGUGAGCACGAGACCAGACAUUGCACAAGCAGUGGGAGUUAUGAGUCGAUAUAUGCAGAACCCAGGUAGAGAGCAUUGGAAUGCAGUUAAAUGGAUAUUGAGAUAUCUAGCAAGUAAUUCCAAUUACUCACUUUGUUAUGGUGGUACAUCUCUAGAGUUGCAGGGUUAUGUAGAUGCAGAUCAUUCGGGUGAUCGAGAUAGUGGUAAGAGUACCACUGGAUAUGUCUUUAUAGUUGCAGGUACAACAGUGAGUUGGGUAUCUCAACUACAAAAAAUAGUGGCUUUAUCGACAACAGAGGCAGAAUAUGUAGCGAUUACAGAAGCCUCCAAGAAAAUCAUGUGGUUACAAGAUUAUAUGGAGGAGUUACAUCGAAAACAGCCAGUCAGUACACUGUGGAGUGAUAGUCAAAGUGCAGUGCACUUAGCAAAGAAUGCAGUUUAUCACUCAAGAACUAGACAUAUCAAGAAGCGUUAUCACUUUAUCAAGUCAGCAUUGAAAGAUAAUGAAUUAAAGCUACAAAAGAUUGAUGACUCGAAGAAUCCAGCUGACAUGAUGACUAAGGUAGUAGAUAGAGAGAAGCAUAUUUUCUGUACUACUACCAUUGGUAUUACUCCAUGUUGAUUGAUGAGGAGUAUCGUAGAGGCACAAGUUUUUCAACUACUAUUUUUUGAAGAAGAUGGAUGCAAAGUUGCUUGGUGCUUGGGUAUAUUUGUCUUCAAGUGGGACAUUGUUAUAGAUAAAGCCAAAUAUUUGUUUUUAGGGGCUUUUUUGUCUUUUCUAUUAGAUUUCCUUUUAGGUUAAAAGUGGUACCUAUAUAUUAGCGAUGGCAAAACCCUAGCUGUCAAGACGCUGAAAAAGGAAAUAGAGAGGCAAGAAAAAGAGAGAAGAAAAAAGUGAGUUUUUUCUUGAUGAGAGUUUUCAAUCUCUUUUUGCCAUGAUCUUGAGAGAAGAUCGUCGUUGUAUUCCAACUUUUUCGAAGUCUAGUGGAUUCGCAAGUGCCUCUGCGUGGAGACGUAGCCCAAGUUUGGGUGAACUUCGAUAACAAAUUUUCUAGCGUGUUCAUCUGAUUCUGCUAUUUUAUUACUAUAUUCUGUCUGGUGAAUUGUUUGCGAGCAUUAUUCUGGAAUCGACGUGCGAUUUCGUAACACAAGGGUCGAUAACACAAUUUAUUUUAAAUCAGAAAAAAAAAAUGACAUAAGUGGUUGCUAACUUUUAAUUUGUUAUGAACUUUUGCUUAUUGUGCAACGUCGUCUCUAAACUUUCAAUUUGUUCAAUAUAAUUUUCGAACUUUAACUCGAUAUGCAAUAUCAUCCACGAAUUCUUAAUUUUUUUUAUUGUGGCUUUCGAACUUUUGAUACAUGUUCAAUUUAGUCCAUGAAAAUAUUCAUUAUUGUCAUUUUUUAAAAUUCAAAUAAAUGGACUUUAUUGAUUUGGCUUUCAAUUUGGGAUGUUUGGAUGGUGAAAAAAAAUGUCAUACGUGGAUUAUCUAUGUAAAAUAUUCAAGUAAAACAACACGCGUUUAUGGCCCCAUAAAAUCACUAGAUGGCAUGAAUUAUUAUACUCUUACUUAAGUUGAAUUUUUUUUUAUGUGAAUAAUUUAGGUGUAAUGUUAUUUUUUUACUCAAUGUUCAGACUUUUUUUUUUUUUUGGGUCAGUCCUACUCUAAUCCUACUCUACACUCACUCGCAGACUUGUGCCCUGCCUCUUGCAGGGCGUGGGAGUCGCAACCCACUCUCGAAACUUACGCGUCCCUACCCCCAUCCCCCCUGAGGAGGUGGGGAUUUGAACCCCUCACCUCCCCCUUCCAUGUUGGAAGGGUGGCCACUGGAGCGAACCCCCAGUGGUUUAAUGUUCAGACUUAUCAAGUUGACAACCUAGUCACCGAACUCCGUUAACUUGAAUUAAUGAAAGGAUGGCAUUUGACAUUUUCAUAUAGUCUACGAAUGACUUCUUUCGUUCAAAGGUUCACUCCCACCUUCAAUCGCAUAUUAAAUUGAACAUACACUAAAAGGUCAUGAAUCAAAAUAAACAAAUUAAAUGUUCACGGAUGACAUCGCAUAUUGAAUCAAUGUUCAUGGAUCAUUCAUUUAAAUAUCUCUUCAUUUCCUAGAGUUCCUUUUAUUGUUUCCUCCCUUUUCUUUUUUUAAUUACUUUCUAUUUUUCCUUCUUUAUUUUCGUCCAUCAGCAGACCUCCUUAUUCAACAACGUUGACAAUUUAAUAUUUUGUUGCAUGUGUCUUUUUCACCGACAAUAAGAUUUAACCUUCGGUUACGUUGGACUUCAAAGGGAAAAAGCCACCAAAAAUCUUAAACUUUGCUCAAUGUGACAAAUUUAUCCCAAUUUUUUUUUUUGUAACAUAAAAAACCCCAAACUUUAUCAAUUGUGACGGAUUUAUUCUAAAAUUUUUUUCGUGACACAAAAAACUUUAAACGUGUAUCUGCAUGACACAUUUACCCAAAAUUAUAUGGCAUCUUCGUCUUUUACUUUUUUUAAAAAAAUUUUCCAUCUUUUUUUUUAUUUUUCUUCUCUCUUCCCUCCGCCAGUGGCGGAAGGAAGUCGCACUCAAGUGAGGGCUGCCCUCAUUAGAUCUAGCGAGGGCUGUCCUCGCUUGACCCAGGCGAGGGUUGCCCUCCCCUGGGCUGGCGAGGGCGGCCCUCACCCGACUCCAGUGAGGGCGGCCCUCGCUUGAGUUCGGCUUAUCUCCGCCAUGGUGGAGAGAAGAGAGAAGAAGAAAAAAGGAAAAAAAAGAGAGAAAAAAAAGAGGAAAAUGUCAUUGGUCAUAAAGUUUAAGGUAAAUGUAUCAUGAUUAAUAAAAUUUGAGAUUUUUUGUAUCACAAAAAAAAGUUUGAGUAAAUUUAUUACUUUUGAUAAAAUUUGGGGUUUCUGGUAACUUUUUCCCGACUUCCCCCUUUUAUUUUGGUUUCUAUUUUUAUAACUAUAAUCCCACCACGUCCCUCUCCUGCCAAAUCCGGAUGAAACGAAACAAGGGCAAUUCAGUCUAUCGGCUAUAAAAUACCGUGACAAAGCGCAACCAUAAUUUCGAAGUAUGGACACGCACUCACUCCAUUUUUUUCUAUUUUUCUAUUUUUUUAUUUUCACUCCAUUUAUUUCCCACGCCUCCACCGACAAAUCAGCAAACCUCCUCGGCCGCGGGUGAGAGAGACACUGAAACAGAGGUUCUUUACGGUUUCGCUUUCCAGAGAGAGAUAUUGAAACAGAGGAUCUUUACGGGUUGCGCUUUCCAAGAGUCUAAUCAUUCCCCAAUUAGCUCCCCUUUUGGAAGCGAGCGCAAGCUUUGAUCUGUCGUGGGCCGUGGCAGCGCAGAAACGACAAGACAAGCCACGCAAGAGAGACAGCGAUCCCUUCGAGUUAAAAAAAAGAAGAAAAAAAGACGAGAAGCAACCACGAAUCGCCGAUGAAAAAAUGAAAGAAAAAUCCUUAAAAAAAUGACCAAAAAAGGGCGACCCAGAAAAACCCAAGAAAACGCGCGACUUGUUAAUUUAUAUUAAAAAAAAAAAAGCACCAAUGGGGAAUUUUAGUGAUUAAAAAAAAGAGUCUGGUUUGUUAAGAACUUAUUUAAAGAAAGUUUCUUCGUUGUCACAUAACCUUUUUUUUUUUAAACCGCGACAUGUCUAAUCAAAAUUUAUAAAAUCUUAGUAUUUUGUCUUAAACGUACUAGAUAAGAGCCAUUUUUUUCUUCUUCGUUUUUUUUUCAGUUGUUACACGUGGAUAUUUUCUUUUUUGGGUUAGUGACGUGCGAUGCAACCGGACGAAAGGCGUCGACAGACAAAACUGAUGAUGGCCAAAGUCAAGCCACUGGAUACUUUCCAAGGGAUUCGAGGAUCGUAGCAUUGGCAUAAACUUCAAAAGUCUGCGACCGUUCCCAUGAACAUAGUCAUUCCGGUCCCUCCCUCGAUCUCGAGGAUGGAGGAUGACGAGAGAAGUAUAAAAACGACCUUUCCCCCUCCCCAUUUCCACCAUCCUCCCUUCGUUCCCUUCCCUUACCUUCGCUUUCCGCGCUUAAGGCCCUUCACGUUUUUGCGCUCCGUUUGUCUCGGCGUCUCUUGAAGAAGAAGAUCCUCCUCUUCAUUUCGGGGUUCCCCCGCUUCCAUUGCGUCGUUCGAAGGUGAAAAUCUCUACUAUUUGUCGCUAGUGUUAAAAUUUUACUGGUGGCUUAGCGAGUUCGAGAUGUCGUGCUCCGAGUGUUCUUUCUUGAGGUUAUCCAGAACCUAUCCUUUAUUAGCAGAAGUCGGGGUCUGCUUCUAAAGCACGGUGGGUUUCACUUUGGUGGUUCGUGCAGUUUUGUUACGAGAGAAGGAUUAAGCCAUGGCGGAUCGUGUGCUGAACCGAAGUCACAGCCCUCGCGAGCGUUUGGACGAGGCCCUCUUUGCUGACCGCAACGAUUGUCUGGUCUUCCUGUCAAGGUAAAAAGCAAGUACGAAAAGAAGAUUUAUUCAAAUGAUCUUGAAAUGGUUCUAGUCUAGCACAUAAACUUGACGGAAUUCAGCUUCAGAAAGUGUUUUGGUCCUUUUUGUUUUCUUGGUGAAGGCUUAAAGCCAAGGGCAAAGGCAUCUUGCAGCGCCACCAAAUACUUGCUGUGUUUGAGGCGAUCCCCGAGGAGAGCAGAGCAAGGCUUCUUGAUGGGGCUUUUGGUAAAGUCCUCAAAUCCACUCAGGUAUUAUGAGCUUCCUUCAUGGGUCACUGUUUCUGGGUUCUAGACGCUCUUGAAAUCUACUUUUCAAUAGUAACAGUGGGUUAAUUUUUUCUUUUCUUUGACCUUUUUGGGUUUGAACUCUUAAAAGAAUUUCUUUUGCUUUGAACUUUGGGGUUUAGGAAGCGAUUGUCUCGUCUCCAUGGGUUGCUCUUGCUGUUCGUGCAAGGCCGGGUGUGUGGGAACACAUCCGUGUGAACGUCCAUGCGCUUCUUCUUGAGCACUUCCAGGUUGAUGAGUAUCUGCACUUCAAAGAAGCGCUUGUUGAUGGAAGGUCAGAGCCUUUAUUGCCUAUUCUUUCUCUUCCUUUUUUUUUCCUCGUUUCUUGGUGAAUAUAAAGAACUCCGGGUCACGUUUCUUCACGCUAUUCUUGUUUUUAUUGUUUCGAGAAAACAUUAGUUGAAUUGAAUACAUUAAAUAGGAGGAUUCGUAUUGAACACUCCACAGGAGCUGAACCACUUUGUGAAAUUCCCAUUCCGUUCACCGGGCGGCACGUGUCGCCCGAGGGCCACCCUCCCUUACCUCACGUCACCCCUACCUCUCCCGACGACACCCUUCGGCCGCCGACGACACACCGCCGUCUCAGUCCACCUCUCGCCACCGUUUCACUCCUCCUUCUCCCCCCUGAAGAUCUGUUCGCUCUCAGUCAUUUCGUUUCACCUGAAUCCUCCUCUUCGCGAUUAAGUGAACCGGAGCUUGUUGUUUAUGGUGGGUCGAAGUGGAUCUCCGAUGCGGAAGUGAUUUCGGCGUCGAUUCCGGCGAAGAAAUCCAAGAAGGUAUGGAGAAAGGAAGAGAGGAAAGUUCGGGGUGAAUGUUGCGCUGUGGGUCGUCAACUUGGAGAGAGAGAGAGAGAUAGAUAGUUCUCCAUAGUGGGGAACAGAAAUUUUGAUUGUUCAACUGGUAGGUGGGCCCACAUUUGCCACGUUUCGAUAUGUGCCUUUGUUAUGUAUUAAAUGCACCUAAUAAUUUCUUAAUGCGAGUUUAUUUGUCUUGUGUUGCAGCUUGAAUCCUGAUUCUGAGCCACUUACUGCCACUUUUGGGCGGCCGACCGUUUCCACGUCUAUCGGGAAUGGCGUCGAGUGUAUCCGUCGCAGUCUCUCUGAUAAGCUCUUCCCUGACAAGGAAAGCUUGCACCCUCUGCUUGAAUUCCUCCAAGUCCACAGCUACAAGGGGAAGGUACAUCUAACAUCCGAUUGAACACAUUCAUUCGAAGUCUUGAAAAUGAGUCAUGAGUUACAAAUUCAGAUUUCUUUCACCCCAUGUCACAAUAUGGUGAACCCUGAGAACUCAAUGCCAAUUAAGAUUACAGAAUGUACUGCACAUUGACAAAUACAUUUGUGAUCUGUUUUAUGGCUUAUGUGAAUAUUGGGCAAUUCUGCAGAACAUGAUGGUGAAUGCCAGAGUCCAGAAUGUGUCCUCCCUCCAACCUGUCCUGAGGCAGGCGGAAGAGUAUCUGAACACGCUCAAACCUGAGACUCCGUUUCCCAAGUUCGAGCACAAGUUGCAGGAGAUCGGGCUGGAGCAGGGGUGGGGCGACACGGCUGAGUGGGUCCUUGACAUGAUUCAGGACCUGUUGGAUCUCCUUAUGGUCCCCAACCCAGGCGCUCUUGAGAAGUUCUUGGGAAGGAUUCCAAUGGUCUUCGAUGUUGUCAUUGUGUCUCCCCAUGGAUACUUUGCUCAGGACAAUGUCCUAGGUUAUCCAGAUACCGGUGGCCAGGUACUCAUUUUAUUUUAAGUUAGCAUCUCUUGAGCAGGAUAAUAUACGUGUCGUGUGGUCUUGCAUUUAGCGUAAUCAUUUUACGAUAAUUCUGUCUAUUUCUAGGUUAUUUACAUCCUGGAUCAAGUUCGUGCCCUAGAGACUGAAAUGCUUCACCGCAUUAAGCAGCAAGGCCUAGAUAUUACUCCUCGGAUCCUCAUUGUAAGUUUCACAAGUUUAUCAAUGAGACUUUAUGCAGUGAUCAGAUGAAUUAUCCUACUUUAAAUGCUUAUUGUGUGGUUUUCUUUCCUAGAUCACUAGGCUUCUCCCAGAUGCGGUUGGAACCACCUGUGGCCAGCGCCUUGAGAAAGUUUUCAGGACGAAGCACUCCCGCAUUCUUCGCAUCCCCUUCAGGGACAAGAAGGGAAUCGUCUCUGAGUGGAUUUCCCGGUUCAGGGUGUGGCCAUAUUUGGAAAGAUUCGCUGAGGUAUUCACAGACUCGAUUGCAUACUUCGGGUCAUUUUGCCCGAUGAAUUCAUUUAGUUUCUAGUUGAGACUAAUGGUUUUUGUUUGGCAACUCUGAUCAGGAUGUCGCAAAAGAACUCAGGGGAGAGUUGCAGCGCAAUCCCGAUCUGAUCAUUGGUAACUACAGUGAUGGAAACAUUGUUGCUUACUCGUUAGCCAAAAAAUUAGGUGUUACACAGGUUUGUUCUCUUUUACAUAAUCUCGUCACUCAUAGCACUGAUGCCGAAAUACUUGAAGCCUGAUAUAAUCUGAUCUUUUGCUUAUAUGUACAGUGCACAAUAGCACAUGCCCUUGAGAAGGGAAAGUACCCAGGGUCUGACAUAUACUGGAAGAAAUUUGACAACGAAUACCACUUAUCUUGCCAGUUCACCGCGGAUCUCUUGACCAUGAAUUACACCGACUUCAUCAUUGCCAGCACCUCCGAAGAAAUUGCUGGAAGGUGAUUCAACUCAAUUGUUCAUCUUGGAAUUCGAUUGUCUUGAUGCAUUCUAUCACGUGAAAAUUCCUCAAGAGUCCUAAUAUUUCCUUAUUUCUCAAUUCUUUCUUUCAGCAAGGAUACCGUGGGGCAGUAUGAGAGUUACACGAACUUCACUCUUCCUGGACUCUACCGAGUUGUCCACGGUAUCAACGUCUUUGACCCGAAAUUCAACAUUGUUUCACCAGGAGCUGACAUGAGCAUCUACUUCCCCUACACCGAACAGAAGCGGCGGUUGAAAUCUUUCCACCCUGAGAUCAAAGAGCUCCUCUUCAGCGAUGUCGAGAACAAGGAACACUUGUGAGUGUUUUGGUCCUUCCUUCGUGCCCAACUUGAAUCCUGUCCUGGCAUUUGUUGUGGCAUUCUUGGGAGUCGAAGUUUGUCUUUUGCUAAUUAACAUUGUUGAACAGGUGUGUGUUGAAAGAUAAGAACAAGCCGAUUAUUUUCACCAUGGCGAGGCUUGACCGUGUCAAGAACUUGACAGGGCUUGUCGAGUGGUAUGGCAAGAACCCCAAGUUGAGGGAAGUGGCCAACUUGGUCGUGGUCGGAGGUGACGGGAGGAAGGAUUCGAAGGACUUGGAAGAGCAGUCUGAGAUGAAGACAAUGUACGACCUCAUCGAGAAGUACAAGCUGAAUGGCCAGUUCAGGUGGAUUUCCUCCCAGACGAACCAGGUGAGGAACGGAGAGCUCUACCGCUACAUCUGUGACACGAAGGGAGUCUUCGUUCAACCGGCUAUCUAUGAAGCUUUCGGGUUGACUGUGGUCGAGGCCAUGACUUGUGGAUUGCCAACCUUUGCCACUUGCAAUGGUGGACCGGCUGAGAUCAUUGUGCAUGGUAAAUCAGGCUACCAUAUUGAUCCUUACCAUGGUGACCAGGCGGCCGAGCUUCUUGUAGAGUUCUUCGAGAAGUGCAAGGUUGACAAGAGCCACUGGGACAAGAUCUCAAAGGGUGCCAUGCAGAGAAUUGAAGAGAAGUAAGCAUAUAAAACCUGGUUUUCAGAUUAAAAUGAUGUUCGCAGUUUUUGGGGAUACAAUUUUUCUAAUGUAAUUUACUUUUUUUGGGGAUACAAUUUUUCUAAUGUAAUUUACUUUUUUUUCUUUUGACAAGGUAUACAUGGAAAAUAUACUCUGAGAGGCUGUUGAACCUGACUGCCGUGUAUGGCUUCUGGAAGCAUGUGACUAGCCUUGAUCGGUGCGAGAGCCGCCGCUACCUCGAAAUGUUCCAUGCCCUCGUGUAUCGCCCACUGGUAAGUUCCUGCUUGAACCUGAUCCGAUCCUGCAUUCUUCAUUCAAAUUAGUGCCUUGUUCCUUAGCAUACGUAGUAUGUUUCUCGCAAUCCACUCAUGCUAUGUUCUUGCUCUUUCUUGCAGGCUCAGUCUGUUCCCCCCGCUGUCGAGUAAAGAAAGAGACAGAUUGUUACCAGAAGAUGGAAGCAAUGGAUUUUUGAAGUUUUCAAGGAAUAAACAUUGGAAAUUGUUUGAAGGUGAUGCCAGAGCGAUCUCUUCAUUCCUUUUUGGUCUUUUCUCUCUUUGUUUCAUCCGAGAAUGUUUGCAUUUUGGGUUUUGUACCCAUCAAUUCAGUAAAUGGUUCAUUUUCUUUUCAACUUGUCAAUCCCACUCCGUAUUUCGUACUUCAUUGUUGUUCACCUGUGGCGGUCUAUGUCUAGCUUGUCUGGUGAUCUGUCAAUUGAAGAUAAUCACAUAUACCUAACAAACCAACUUGAUAUGAACACUAGCGACAUGCAAGCUGAUACCGAUCAGUUUAAUAACUUCAAACCAUCAAGCAACAAAAUAUGAGACAGCUUGAUUGUUUGAUAAAAAUGGCCCACAUUCUUGUCCUACCUCCAUGUGAUUUGAUCUCUAUUUCUUUACGAAAUGAGGUAGAAGACAGGCACAAAUAUCGGCAACUGAGCAAUCAAAAUGUGAGAUUAAGACAGCCUUGUGCUUUACCUGCUUUCUCAUGGCCCAGGACAGCAUAUGCUGAUGCUGAUACCUGCAUUAAAAGGCACAUCAGAACGAUCAUGGUUACUCUCCAAAGCUCCUCACCAUCUUUUUGCGAAACUCAGCAAUCCUCAUGUGCAAAAAAUGCUCAGAGACACAAUUCAAGCGAAUGGAUCAGGUCUUAAGUCUUUUGGCACACAACGGUCGCUAGUUCAAAACUCGCACAGUUGAGACAGAUCAAGUAUGCAGGUUUGGUUUAUGCAGUUUGAAUUCUGCCUGGAAACCAGCUGAGGAGUUUAAAAUCAAGAUCAUAGUUGGUACAGGCAUUUUUAACGUUUCAGACCAUUGACCUUACUCUGCCUGUCCUAAUCCAAACCUAGUCACUUGAUGGACAGGGACAAGCGGGGUUUCUUUUUAACCGAUUGUUUCCCCUGAUUCCAAUAGCGUUCUCAUGUAUAGAUGAAGACAGAAAAGGGGCCAAAUUGGCACCUAUAGAAGUGGGAAUGAACGGUGGUUGGAGCUUUGGGUAGAGCUCAUGGGAUGUAGGAAGAAGAAAAUUGUUGGUUGUGGAAAGAAAGAUGUCAAUAGACCUGAGCAUGCCCUUAAACUGUUUCUGUUAUCGGAGUCAACCCCAACAGUAAAAUGGGGUAAUGAUAACCGCGGGGGUCCGGACCACCCUUAAUUCAAGUCCCCCGGCCUUGAUUCCCGUGAAGCCAUUCUCCUAGCAUACUAGGCUGGGUUCAGGAAAAUGAUAGGCAGUUGGUCCGGUCCGAUCAACAGUAAUUCUGAUGUACUGUGUACCUUUCUCUACUGCUGCUUCAUGUCCUCUAUCCCCUUCUCAUCAUUCAUUUAAUUUGUGAGCCCACUUCAUGACAUUAUUUAAUUUUUCCAAGGUGUCUCCAGCCAUGUAAUCCUUCAUUUUUCCGACAUCUUCAGAAAAGUUGGACCUACCUUAUUGUCACGGGCCAAAAGUUUCCUUGACCUCGGAAUGACUCGCGAGCACCUGGCGAGCGGAAUUCACCGGGCUAGCCCUUUCUUUAACUGUUCCACGAACAAUACGGUGAAUGAUUCUUCGUACGAGAUCCUACCACACCCAGUUUCGCUCGAGCGUCUAGUCCAUCGAGUAAGACAGCAAUUCUCUUUAGGCACAACAAUUGGUUUCGGCCUGCCAUGACCUCGUCAAGAGAGCGGCAUCAGCUCCUGACCAGUUUGUGCACGGGAGGCCUACCCCGUCUUCAGAGCUUCUAAGUGAUAUAAUCCUUCUAUUCUAGAACUCCUAGCACCAAUCGUUCUGACGCCACUCCCACGGACCAGUUGUGUUUUAUCCUUCUGCCUCACACUCUUCACCAGGUAACCCCAAGCCUCACUCACAAUUGUUACGAGUACGGGAGGAUUCACGGACCGUGACAUUCUCCCCCACUUAAUUUGCAACGCCCUCGUUGCAAUCUGUCAUGUUGCUUCCUUACAUCCAUUAACCAUUGAUGUGCCACUUUUCACAUCGAACGGCCACGCUUGCCCAACAAAACAGGUUUUGCUCCAUCAGUAGCCUCUUUUGAUCUCAGCCGCUUGGCCAUUUGGUCACUUGCGCUUUCUGGCAAGUGUGGCAUUUUUCGUCAACCGCAUCUUUUGGCAGCACCAUUUUAGCCUAACCAGCAUCUUUACCCCAUCAAACUAAUUGAGGUUUUUUUCCUUGUUGAAAACAUAAUAGUAGACCUCUUCUUCGAAUUCAUCGAUCGAUCCAGGAACGUUAUCCCCAUUCAGUAAGGGUUCGGUUCUUCUCGAACUCCCUAUUGGCUUGGCGGUAAACUGACUCGUCCCAGUACCCAUUGUCAUCCUAGGAGCUGAGAGCCCUUACGUUUAGGCAUCUUUUGGCCCCGGUAGAUUCCUCUUCGCCCACUAGGACCCGUCCCACUAGGACUUAUCUGUUCAACCCGCACUAGAGCGAGAAGCUCGAUUCUCCGACUCGCUCACUCGCUUACCGAAGGGAUUCCUAUUUUGAUACCACUUGUCACGGGCCGAGAGUUUCCUUGGCCUCGGAACGACCCGCGAGCGCCUGAUGAGCGGAAUUCGCCAGGCCAACUCUUUCUUUAGCUGUUCCACGAACAAUACGGUGAAUGAUUCUCCAUACGAGAUCCUACCACGCCCAGCUUCGCUCGGGCGUCUAGUCCAUCAAGUAAGACAGUAGUUCUCUUUAGGCACAACAACUGGUUUCGGCCUGCCAUGGUCUCGUCAGAAGAGUGGCAUCAGCUCCCGACCAAUUUGUGCACGGGAGGCCUACCCCGUCUUCAGAGCUUCUAAGUGAUAUAAUCCUUCUAUCCUAGAACUCCUAGCACCAACUGUCCUGACGCCACUCCCAUGGACCAGUUGUGUUCUACCCUUCUACCUCACACUCUUCACCAGAUAACCCCAAGCCCCACUCACAAGUGUCACGAGUACGGGAGGAUUCACGGACUGUAACAUUAUGCUGUUACUAUAGCAGUGAGUUAUUAGAUUGAUUUGGACAUAUGAAAUUUCCAAUCUUUCAUGUGUUUCAUAUGCCACAGCCAUGCAUAUGCAACUGCAAUAUCUGAUGAUUGCCCUAGAUGCCAUUCAGUUUGAUUAAAUAUAAAAAAAAAAAAAAAGCAUAGCUUUCUUGAUAGUUUUUGCGAUGUAGCCAAUGCGAAUUUAUAGGGUCGUUAACUCCAUUGACAUAGCAUAUUCUCUUGUCAUGCCAUUGCUUUCUUAUGCCAAACACGGCAUAAGGGAAGCUAAAGAUAAUUGUCAAAGUGUAGUCUCUGUAACAAGGUUGUUUCAUAUAGCAUGGAAAGAGAUGGUAUGGCUUAGACAAGGCGUUUGCCUAUUCUGCAAAUAUCUGACAAUACAAAUGGUUUUGAAAUGUUUAUAAUGACUGUUCGGAAAAUAUUCCACCCCGGUUCAAAGUGCCAUAAGUUCAGAGCAAAUAUUAAUAAAACUCGCAAAUGCAACAAUUCCUUAUAGAACUGCAACGAGGCGCAAUUGCAGCACAACAAUAGCUAUACCGGCCGGCUGAAAAAAAGUGACCUUUCAAGUUCAGCCAUAACUACAUGGCCCUUAGGUAAGGAUCCAUGGACCACUCUUCAUAAAUGAAUUAUUUUGGGUGGGGGCCUAAAAUUAAAAAGAAAAGAAAAGAAAAGAAAAAAAGACAGCUUGAUCUCGAGAGGAAACCAAUUUGCGGUUUAAAUCUGCUUAUUACAUUCAGUGCGGUAAACUGUCAUCUAUCAUUAAUGUCUCAUCCGGUGGAUUAGACAAUGCCCAUCUUUUCUUUAUGAAAGACGGGAAGAAAGUUCAGCCAUUGAUGUUAUUGGAUGAAGAAACGACAGGGUUUUGGAAUUUUGAGUGCAGAGUGGAGUCACUUCUUAUUCUAAAAUGACAUUCCAAAUGACCCGUGAGAUUACCAUCUCCUAGCCAAAAGAGUAGCAGCCACCGCCGGCUAGAACUAAAACAAACUCAAAAGACAAGGUUCGGGUAGUAAAAACCGAAGUUCUAACGUGAUGUCUACCUCCAUCACCGUAAGGUCCCCCAAUUCCUUAUCUAUCUUUAUCUUUCUGAUAGAGAAAAAAUAUGGAGGUAACAUUACGGGAUCUCCACUCCAAAGCGAUUCUUUAGCCUAUUUCUUCCCUUUAAGCCUUUUAAGGACUUGCCCAGAUUUAAAGGCCUUUCCUUGGUAAAAUUGAAAAGGUGAGGACUCUUUGUGAAAAUCGUUUGAAAGUCUCAAAUCUUUUCAGGAGAUCAACCCCAUUUUGGUUAUGGAGGACGUUUGCCCAUUUAAAAAAUUGUUUCCUUUUCCAACAGUUUCAAUCUUUUGAAAACUUUCGCUUUGAAAAUGCUUAAGAACUGAUGAAACAUUGAAAAUCGCUAGAUUAUCAUAUUGGUUUCAUUUGUCUCGCUAAAAAUAGAUACCUCAAAAAAUAUAUUUUUUAAAAAAUUGAUGGCUUAUGUCGCUUAUAAAAAUGAACGAAUAAAAAGUAUUUUAAUUUUUCUGAAAAUAUUUUGACAUAAAUUGUUAUCGAUAAUAAAAAUAUUUUCUAUUGACUAACUUUUUCAAGUAAUAAAAAUGAUCAUUUUUAGGAAAAUAUUUUCUAAAUCAUUUUUUUUUUUUGCGAAAUAAAGGGAGCCAUGAUAUAGUUUUCAACUCCGUCAAUAUGAUAAAAAAAAAAAGUUAUGGCAUAUUUGUAUAUCUACUCACGUGAUACUUCGUGUGUAUAUAAUCCAUCCGUAUAAAAUAUCAUCAUUUACAUUUAGAAAGCUAUAUUCUUUGGAAGAAACUUGUAUAGUUUGGGAAGGAGUUUUGAUUGAUCAAAAAGAAGAAGCUACUUUAACCGAUAUAUCCUUAGCAAGGCCAUACAUAACAUUGAAAUCACAUUUGAAAUUAUUUGCCCUAUGGAUAUAAAUUACUGUAAUUCAUAAUAAUAAUUGAAAUAUUUUUCUGCAUUUUCAUGAAAAUCUUACUUAAUAUUCAAUAUCAACAAAAUGGAUUAGUGUGUUAUAUCAUUUUAUAUAUAAAAAGCAACUUGAUCAUAUUCGUAUCAAUUGACUUGCGGUGUAAAUGGGAUUUGAUACCCUAUUAGUUCUAGCCCGAUGGAUACUAGCACUAUGUGUAAUGAUUUGUGUAGUGCUGUAGCUAAAGCGUUAAGUAUUCCGCUUGAAGAGUACGUUUCGGAAUACCAAUAGGCAUAAAAUGAAAGAAUAAAAAAUUAAGUAUUAUAUUUCAUAUUGACGUGGAAGUGUAACAAUGCAUUUAUUUUCUUAAUAAUAGUAGUUUAUCAUAUUUUAUCCAUAGAUUGGGAAAAAAAUUCUUACGAAUAGGUCCUUUGAUUGAUUAGAAUAUAUGUAUGCAUUCGUUCAUUAAAAAUGGGAUCAAUCCCCAUUGCCGUAUUGGUACUUAUUGGAUAUAGAUAUGCACAAAACUUUGAUUGUUGGUUGGGCUGGUUCAAUGGCUAUAUUCAAUGGCUUUAUGUGAAUUACCAAUUUUUUUUUCCCUCUUAUCCCGUUCUUGAUCCAAGAGACAAGGUAAAUUGGUUACAUCCUUCAUAACUUGUUUAGGAAUAGCUAAUUCAUGGGACGACUAGAGUAUUACAAAAAGGUUUGUAAUGAAUCUGGUAUUUGGAGUUACGAAGGUGUGGCCAAUGCACAUAUUAUGUCUUUUGGCUUGUGCUUCUUAGUAGCUAUCUAGCAUUGGGUGUAUUAGGAUUUAGAUAUACAUUGUGAUGAGCGUAUAGGAAAACCUUAUUUGGAUUCGCCAAUUUUUUUUGAAAUUUAUGUAUUUCUUUUAAGGGUGGUGUGAAUUACUUUGGCAUAAAAUAAGUGAACAAUUAAUAAAUAAUAUUUAAAAAUUAUAGUGUUUCAUGAUACAUUGGUAAAUCUACUUUGAUACUCGAUUAAUUAAUGAUGUGGGACACCUAUGAAAAGCGCAAAAGGAGGAAAACGAAUGAUUGAGCUUGAUUUGAGGCCUAAUCACAAUACAUUCUCGAUAGCAACUAGGGCCCACAUAUUUCUGGCCCAGAGCUCUCUCUCUCUAUUGAAAACCUUUGGAAAAUCAUCUACUCGGAACACAUUUUCAUAAUUUAACGUUCUUAUAACUUAGGAAAUUCGGCGAACGAAAAAUUUUUCGUCAUUAAUAACAUUUUAAUUCUAAACAUUUUAUUUGUAGAAUUUCCCUUACCUUGUUUUCCCUAAAUGAUAUAAACGACUAGCAUUCAUAAUUUCUCAAAUUAUUGAUUUUUUCACAAAAACGAAGGGAGAAGUUUACAAAAUUGUAUGAUUGGUAGGCCAAUCCCGAGAUUCAUCUACUCAAUCACAUAAGUCCGUCCCAUCAAUCUUGGAUAAGUAUAAUUUACAUGGGUGCCCUGACUAAUGGACAGUGUACAUGCAUUUGCAGCCACAAAUUAAUUUGAUGAAUAUAAAACUAUAAAGUUGAUCUACUGAAUGUUAAGCUGCGGCGCGACACUUGGCGAGUACCUAAUGAGUCGGCAGGGCCCAAAAACAAAGUUAAUGUAUGUCCCUUAAUCACAUGGGUUUGUUCCCUCGAAUCGGCGUGAUUUCGCUGACAGACAAAACAUCAAUUAAUCAAUUAAUUAAUUAAUAUCAUAUUUUAAAAUAAACUUUGCUCUGACAUAUAUUGGGCACUAGCCAUAUGAUGUCUAGACAAAAGCUAUGAUGUUUGUUUUCCUUUUGGGAACAGUUAACAUCGUACCCCUUUCUUGAUUUCUUUUCUUUAAAUGAAUUUGCUAAGCAGAUAGAGUCAAUGCUCUGCAUUAAAGAGGGGGAUGUAGGUAGCGCAACAUGGGAUGCUGUGGUCUCGCACAUGUGCAUCGCUUUUGUGUCUUUAUUGAGCCGCUGCUUAUUGUCAUCUUUUGAGAUUGGCUUGGUCCACAUGAUUCACGCUUAUUAAUUUGAGCGAUGUAUCGACUGUUUUGAGCCCACAAAAGCACGGUUGAACCUAUUAAUUUUGUUUGGACGGUUUUACAAGAAAUAAGUGUUUCAAAGCACCGUUUUUUACGCAAUAAAUAAUUGGAAUACGUGCGUGCAUUAUGCACAUGCUGGCGAUGAUUACGCUUAUUUUUGUUAUGACGAUCGAACUCAUGGUUUCUUGAAAAUACUAAAAGAUCGAAAUCCUCAAAGUUUACCGUGCAACACGAACAAAAGAAAAAUUGAAGGGAUAGUGACAUAAAUGGUAUCUAAAUUUUGACCAAACGUGCAAUGUUAUUCCUAUAUUUUUAAUUUGUUUAAUGUUGUUUUUGGACUUUUGAUAUAUGUUGAAUGUUGUCCUUGAACUAUAUGAAAAUAUUUAAUGUUAACAUUCUAUUAAUUAAAAAUCAAUGAUGAUAUUGAAAAUUUACACAAAGUUGGGGGAUUAAAUUCAAUAAGUACUAAAAGUUCAGGAUUCACACUAAAUAUAUUAAAAAUUCAUAAAUUAUAUUACACAUUGAGCUAAAAUUAAAGAACCAAAUUGAAUAAAGUAAAAGUUCAAGCACAACAUUACAUAUUGUGUUAAAGUUCAUAAAUCAUUUACAUAUUUUUUUCCAAAAUUGAAUGAUAAGUCAGAUAAGUCGAAGGACGCAUAUACGUAUGGUCAAGUUCAAACAAUUUCAUGGAUUAUAUUCUCUUUUGCGUAUAAUUCUAAUGUAUGCAUCAUUCAUGUUUUUGUGGUCCCACUGCCUCUCCCACUAAAUUGUAUAACCUCCAGCAAUCAUCGUCUUCAACAUCAUCCUCGACUCCCUCCUAUAAAAGAGGAACCUUCUCUCCACUUUCUCAGCCCUCAAUCUCUCUCUCUCUAAAACAGCCAUGGGAAGAGGUGGCAACAAGCUUACCAAACUCAAGUCUGUCCUCAAGAAGCUCAACUCCUUUGGCCAACAUAACAAGCACCAGGCCAUCAACUCAACUCCCUCAUUCGCUUCGUCCACUUCAAACAAUUCCGACACCGACGACUCUUCCUCCUCCUCCUCCUCCGCCGACCUCCGCCCCGUCUACGUUGGCCAGUCCCGGCGGCGGUACCUCGUGAACUCUGCCGUCGUCCACCAUCCUCUGUUCCGUGAGCUCGCCGCACGUUCUGGUAACAGUGCGCCCUCGUCCGACGCCGACGACUCCUCGUCCCUCAACAUCGCGUGCGAGGUGGUCUUGUUCGAGCACUUGCUGUGGAUGCUCGAGAACGCGGAGUCGCGGCCCGAGCCCCUGGAUGAGUUGGUCGAGUUCUAUGCUUACUGAGGGAGAUGAAGAUGCAUGGUGAUGAAAAAGGAUCAUAUUGUAAUUAUGUUCUCUUUUCUAAUGUUCAUCGCGAUGAUAAACGCCUCCCAUUUAUGUGUUUUCCGCUUCUUUCUAUCUCUAUCUUUUGUUAAUAGAAAAUGUGCUUCAAUGCCGUCUUUUUAUUAUAAUUUAUAUAAAUACUAGUGUCGAGGCAUAUGCGAUGUAUAUACGUGAUUACAUAUGAAUUACGUAUGAAGAAAAGAUUCAAUUUUCAAAGAAAUUGAGUGAUUAUUUGAUGGAGUAAAUUUGCAGCAGACGAUUGAUGAAAAUAUUCUAGUGUUUAAUUUAACACUCUUUUUGGCGUGUAAGAUUGCGUGAUCGUGGACCAAAACAAGGUCUCCAGAAAUUGACAUGAUACUUAAGUUUUAACUUGACCAAAUUCCGCUAAUGCUAUUUCUUAUCUAGUCCACGACAUUAGAAGGAUAUUUCAUUAACCGAAGAUUUACGGACUUAAGGAGGGCUUCCUCCGUAAGAGAAAAACAUGCUAAGCAGAGGAAAGAGACAUACCUGUAAUUAUAUCCAUUAAGUUUUGUUUUUCAAUAGUUGAUUAAACUAUGAUCUUGAAAUUGAACUUAUGCCAUGAAAUUGAUCUGCACUAUUGUUUCAUCAAUCGGACUUACCUUUGACAAAUACAAAUUAGAUUUAAAUGUGUGUGAAUUGAACAAAAAAUCAAUUAGUUAAGUUUACAAGAUCAAACCAAUCGCAUUUCGAGAAUUUAUAAAUGUAUAUAUCGAAUCGAAGUCAAAACUUCUAUAUGAUUUAUGACCCGUGAUUUGUUUUGUUGGCCGCGUUACUCAUAAACCAUGUCCAUGCAACAUUUCAGUCCUGCAACUUAACCCUAACCCGAUGGGGAACACAAGGAGCUUGUUCGAACCUUGGCCGUCGACGGAGCCGAUGCGACCAAGAACGAGCGGACAGCCGCCUUCCGCGGCAGUUCUUCAUUUGAGGACAGCCGGCCACUGAUCGUCCGCCACGUCAGCAUUGUCUUUUUCUGGGACCACCGGCUGCUCCAAAAGAAAAAGCAGCCCACGUCAGCUCGGCUCAGGGAGACCGAGACCGGCCAGCGUGGCACCAGAUCACGAGAUCGGAUCCUUUCCGCCUACGGUGGCCCCACCACUUUCGCCAGGCCCAUGUUACUCUGCGGAAAUUAGUCAUUGUAUAAUCCGAAUUUUUGGAUUUUCUUGCCAAUAAAUCAGACAUGCCCCCUCGUGGGAGAGCAGUGUCAUGUACUAUGUUCCCUCAGGUGAUGAACACUUAACGUUCAUGAAUCCUAAAUUUCAUAAUUUGCAAGUUAAUCAAUCAUGUGAUGGUUGUUGAAUAAGGCUACAAAGAAUUUUUGGCUUGUUGCUAUGUGUAUUUUUGCAAAGUUGCGAUCGUCAGAAUCUCAAUGAUUUUAAGAAGUGAUUAAAAUAAUAAUCGAUGGCCAAUUCAACUACCAAAUUUGCCUUGAAAUGUCAAGCACUUUGUACGAUCUGAAAAAUGGGGGUAGACAAAUGGCUGAAAACAUCAAUAAAUUUGCAUGAGAAUUUAUUGAAUCAUGACGCGUGGAUUACAUUCUCGAUGCUGUGCUUCCUUGAUACCGAAAUUAAAACAUAAACUCCUUAAUGGAGAUGUUUGAAGUGCGUAUAAAAAGUAAAAACUUGGAAAGUAUGGCUGGAAAGCGUUUUAAAAACAAAGACGAGCAUUAUUGUUGGGAAACUUAUCUAAUCUCAUUCAAUUCAAGUUCAAACUUUAGAUCAAAUCUAAUCUAAAUCAAUAUAUUAUAAAUGAUAUUCCUAUCUAUAGAAUAUGAUGUCUUAUUUUCUUGUAAAUGAUGUUUGUGUGUUGUCUUGUGUAUUGUCUGUGCCUUUAGUCCUUGUUUUCUUAUGAACCAUUUCUUUUUUAUGAUUUGCAACUGUUUUGAUUCUUUAAUCUCGGUUAUCCCUCGAUUAAUGGUUUUUCCAUUUCAAUCUUUAACUUCUGCACAUACUUCAAGUCAAUCGCUUAAGUAGGUAAAAUAUUAAGGACAUCGUGAAGCCAAUGUAGAGUCGGAUCUCUCUUUAAUGGCAGUCCAAGCUUAGGCGAAGAAUUUUCAUGCCGUAGCUUCACCUACGCUCAGUGUUUCGAACAUGUCAACUGUGUCUUCCCGGCGCUUCAUCUCGCAAGGAAGAGAAGCCCCAAGCGCCUAAAUUACACAAGUCCUCGCUUCACCCAAGCCAUAUAUUUCUCUAAUCUUUUCAUAAUUUUGAUAAGGCGAAAUUGAAGGAGUUGGUCUUUUCGAAUCAUUGGAGGAAGCUCAUCCAGUGAGAAAAGGUUUUAGCUUAGGCUGAUUGAACCGAUCAUGAUCUAGCAAUCUUAUGGAAAUCUUAAGUAGGAUUCUCUUUUCUCUUACGCUGUUGAUUUAUUGUUAUUUUUUUUUUCCAAUUUAAGAUACUGUGGUGGGUCUUCGCUCUUUUUCUUUUGUUUUUUUUUUUCUCUUCUAAGUUAAUUGAGAAAGAGGUUGAGUUUAGAUUGGAGGCUAUUGGAGAAAUGUAUGGCAUCCAUUUCUACUGCGUACUUACACAUAUCGAGUGUCGUCUAAUUAUUGUAGAAGGGUUGGUUUUCCUAUGUUGAAGUUCUUCUUUAGGACGAGAUCAUUGAAAAUUAAUUACUGUUGUUGAUCUUCUGAAAAGAUCUUUUGGAUAUUUCCCAACAAACCUUGUAAUGAUAAUUGAAGAACAAUAUAUCUGUAAUUCAUCAUGUUACAAUGUUCAUAUUAUGCUAAAGAAAGAGCAAGAAGAAUUGGACGAAUCUCUAAACUAUGGACAAGAUUGAAAAUAAAAAGAAUGUGAAUGUGAAUGAAAUCAUAUUGAAAGCCAUAAAAAGCUAGAAGCAUAAACAUAUAAAAGUAAAGUGGAGCUCUUAGGGGAGUUCACCGCAAGUCGGACACAUGGUGCUUCUAAGGAGCAACACAUGUUCCCCAUUUAAUUUCGUAAUUUUUAGUAAAUGGAGUUUCUCCUAUACACUAAUUAUGAAAAUAAAAUAUUAAAGUAAAAUCCAACAUUUUUGAAAGAAUGUUCUUCCCAUGACCUAUAUAAAGUGAUGCUUUUUAAUUUGGUCAUGACGAUAUAUAUAGACUCUUUCACUUUAAAAUUUGGACCUUUCAUUUUAACUUUCCUUCAUUUAUUCUUUCAAAUUGUAAAUGAUAUUAAGUCCACAAUCAUAUUCACUUUUUGAGUUUUUUGAGUAAAAUAUGCUAAACCAAUAAAAUUACAUACUACUAAAUUUUCUUGCGAGCUUUGACAUAUGUUUCAACACUCCUAGAUAUGCAUCAAAACUUUUUUUUUUAAUUGUACUAUAAAUUUAUGUAAGCUUAUUGUCGUUGACGUAUAUGAUAAAUUGUAUAUAUAGUAAGAAUCUGUAAAAGACAAAAAAAAUAGCAAAAUGAAAAGAAAGGGCAAAGAAAAUCAAAUGAAAGUGAAGAAAAAGAGAGAGAGCUAAAAGGGGUCGUUGAAAAGAAAAGAAAAGGAGGGGAGGGGAUAGUUCUCGGAGGACUUUUAUACAAGAACUUUACUUUCAUUACAGCAAAGAUAAUCCUAAAGGAAAAGAAAAACCCGACUGACUGAAAAUCCCUAAUCUGUGCACAACAAUGAUGAGAAGAGCGUGAAUGAGAAUGCAAACUCGAAUGAAAUCGAAUGAAAAACCUCAAAGAAUAGAGCAAAUCACAAGAAGAUGUGAACGAUGUUGAGGGAAAAUCCAGGCAACGGGCCCAAAAGAGAACCCAACCCAUUUCUAGGAAAGCAGGCCCUUUUAGAGUCCGAAAAUCUCAGGCCCAAGGAGCUUAGCAAGGGCGCAGACCAAGGAGCAAAGAGAUGGACUUUCCCUUUAAGGAUGGGCAAUGCCAGCUGAGGAAAAUCCCCCCCUCUUCUCGUCCCCUGCCUUUGUAAUAAGCCCUGUUGUUGGUCCAAUCUCUACAGGCCUUAGCAGGAGCGGGCUCGCCAGAUGCGCAUGCGAACUCGAGCCAGAGUAAAAUCGAAUCGGAAGUCACGAAGGAGAGAUCGCUAGAAAGCAAGGGAUGAUCACACGUGGAUUUGACGGUGCCGCGUGAACAUUUUCACCUUUGGUUAAUAAGAGGAUAGCAAAUCUGCAGUGUCAUGACGCGGAUGAAGAGAGCUGCCCUUCCCCUGAACCAUCAAAAUUCAGAGCAAAAGUAACAUUACCAAAGAAAUCGAAGCAUGUUCCUGCUGAUCAUGAAACGAGACAACCAAAUCCUCUGGAAAGCCCGGGCUUUUGAUCCCACGUGGCCCUCGCAUCGCUCUGCAAAAAGUCAAGUAACUUCAAUAUGCAUACAAUACAACAUUGUUUCACUCAUGUAUCACGUUAGGGGAUAUCUUCUAAUUCCAAAUCACCCAAAAAUUGCAACAUAUAAGACCAUAUCAAGGAGCAAAGCAAGGAGCCUAUGAACAGCUUGAACAGUCAGGGAUAAUGACUCAAAUAAUAUAUAAACUUUAGCUAAAUAUAUAAUAUAGUAUGUAAAAUUUUAAUAUAUAUUCAAUUUAGUCUCCGAACUAUUUGAAAAUGUUUAAUUUUGUCUUUCAAUGUUGUCCUUCCACUAAUUUAAGUUGAGGGACAACAUUGAACAUUUUUCAUAAAAUUUAUAGACUAAAUUAAAUAUGUAUCAAAAUUUUAAGAAUCAUAUUGAGUAAAUAAAAAAAUUUAGGGGUUAUACAUGAUAUAUUGAAUAAAAGUUGAUGGGCUAUUUGUGUUAUUUUUCAAUCAUCAUACAAAUAUAUGAACCCUCCAUCCAAACGGGUCGCUUUUCAGAAUGACAUCAUCAAUGACAUUUCAGCGUGCGUCUACGGGAACCCUCGUGCGCAUGAUGGGGGUCCUGUCAUUCUCUGCAUCCGCAGGGAACGUGUCCUCUCUCUGACCACUAGCAUACGCCCAGUCGACUUUGAUUGCCCGUCUAAACCCGCAAACGAAUCGUCAACGUACAAAGGUAAAAAGAAAGGAAAUAGAAAAAGGCUUUUGUCAUUUUGUACUUAUAAAAGCCUUUGAUCGAGAGCCACAAUGGUAAGGGCAACAGAUCUUCUAUCAAAGUAGCCCACAAAACCAUACGGUGACCUCAAAAGUACAGCAACUAAACCAAAAAUUGAUAGAGUGGAGCCACUGCCAACAAGAAAUUAAACAGUGAAUGCUCCAUCAAGGAAUAAAAACCACAAACUAAGCACGGGCAAUGAGCAUACUACGUAUCCUAGACAAUUUUCCUCCAAAUCAUUUAGGUACAACCAGUGGAGUCAAAGGCCAAAAGUGCAUGUAUGUUGCAAGGACCCUAAAAUAGCUGUAACAAGAGCCGAAGAAAAACCACACCGCUGGUGAAGCGAGGUGCUAUAUGCAACACUUUUUAGCAUUCUUAAUCUUAAAUGCGAGUAAACUGUACAUCUCACAUUUAAACUAUAUCAAAGGUGUGUAUGGUGUGCAAGAAAAGUGUGCCACGGAGACGGAGUGGAUGUUUCCAACAUGCCCGCAUUGGAUCAUCAGGUAGAAAGAGAGAAAAUGAGAAAACCAGAUAAGUACUAACAAAAAGGUGCGCAGUUAAAGAAGACUGAACAAUUCAUCACAGCAAGAAAACGGGAGAGAUCGGAAUGUCUGGGAUCACUUGGACUCAAAAAUCAAUCAAGUCCUGAUUUGAGAAUGCUUUUUCUCCUGCAUCACCAUUUAAUUUCAGUGCACUGCCAUUCCUCUGGGGGACAAAUGGUGCAGAAGCCACCCAAAAGAGGCUAAAAGAUGUUCGUGGGAAAACAACAGCUGAACAGCAGAUAAGAAGAGGUCAGAAGCUAUUCAAGGAAAAUAAUAUACAGAUAAUCACUGCGGCAUGUAGUCGAAUCAAACACAGGUGGCAGAUUUCCGCUCAAGAUAGGCUUUAUCUGCUAAAAAGAGGGAGAAAAAAAAAUGAACACAACCAUAGACAUGAGGUAGUCCUAGUGCAAAUUGGUGUUCCCGCUCUAAUUCACAGCAAACAUGCUUGAAUGAAGAAUCAAUUAAGACGCCACCUUGAAGGCUUAACUUCGAUAUGACUUUUAUAUCCCACAUAGCCGGUGUACUAUACCCAUCUGGGUGGUCAUUCCCUUCACUGGAUGCUAAACUAUGGGACAAACAUCACAAGCAUUUCAAUCCACUCUAAAGCUUUGUAAUUUACGAAAACAAAAAAAGAAAGAAGCACCCAACAUAUAGAAUCUUCCCGGUCACCCCUAUAAAGAUACGAUAAUCUUAACCAAAACCAUUCUGUCAAUACAGAAGCUUUUUCACACAGCAAAAGCUUGGAUUGAUCAACCUGUAAUCAGACAAAACUUCACGAGAGAGAAAUAAAAGACUACCAAGUGCUCCCACCACACAUCACGUUGACAGACUCAUCGUACGAAACUUCUCAACCUUUAAAUGUCCGUCAUCAUUGUCGCAACCUAGUUUGGUCCAGCUCCGUCAAAAACACCAAAGUCAAAGAGAAAUGAGUUACGGAAACAAUUAAUUAUCAAAGUUAGGAAAAAACAAAAAAAACAAAAUUAAUCAAAAUAAAAACCUGGAAGCAGCCAGAUGACCAGUAUGGUAGAGCGGAUAUGCUCAUCAGUUAUCUUCUUCGGUCAACUGAGCUGAACAAGGAUUGAAUAGCCAAAUGCCAUUUUAAGCGUACUUUUGAAGUUUUGAUCCACUUGCUAUGACAUUAAAUUUAUAAUCAAAAUUAAUUAUUUUCUCCAUGGUAGAGAUAGUACAUCAAGAAGUCUCUUUUUUCUCGUUUGUGCCUUAUUUUUUGUUUCGAUGUGUUCUAAGUAUACACAUAUUCAAUGUUUGAUCAUGCUUCUAACAAAGUAACAUAUUCAUAUUUUGAUCAAUUUUUUUUUUCAUUUUUUAUUGAUAUCGACUAGAUAAUUAGAUUGAAAUUUAAUAUUCAGCUUCAAAAUAUAGUUUUGCUCAAUUUAUCUAAUUAAAAAUGGGCAAUCAAUUGUGUGUUUAUAAGCCAUCAUCAAUAGAAAUUUCUAAUCUUCUAUGUUGCAUUGAUAAAAAAAUCUUAUACGGCAGUUUGAAAUUAACAACAUUCUCUAAGUAAAGUGAUAACAUGAUACAAUUAUGAAAUUGAUGUGAGAAAUGAUAGAAAUAAAAUCAGUUUUGUUGGUUAGUUUGAUGAAAAAGGAAAUAAUACUUUUGAGAGAGAGAGAGAGAGGUAUUUCGGUCAAUUGACUAAAAAAAAAGAGUGUUUUAAUCAAAGUAAGGGUAGAAAUAGCGUCGCUCGAAUAAUAUACUUGAUUUUUUUUUCUCCCUUUAGAAGUGGGAAAAGUCGGGUAGAUGGCAUUCAACUUUGCAGAGGCCCGCCGGUAAAAUAUCGAUACAUUAUAAAUGUGACUAACACCAGAAGAUAUCUAUGUCGCCACAUUUGAACCUACGGAUGCCAAAAGCGUGGGAUUCACAAAUGAUGAAAUGGUCAAAACACCGUGAAAGGGAGUGUAUUAGUGAAAGAGGUAGUGGAAAAAGCACGGCCCCAAUUUAAUUUUACUAAGAAGGCACAAAAAUAUGUUAGCUCAUGUCUAGUUUUUUUUCAGAUAACUAUGAAAUAUUCAAAAUUAUCUCUGAAAAUUGUUAUAAUAUCUUGUUACUUUCAUGUGGUGAAAAAUAUCGUCAUUCUCAAUUAUGACUUAAGCCACAAAGGAAAAUUCAAAUCCGACAAUGUAAUAAUAAGUAGAUGCCUAGGUAUAAGGGUUGACAAAUGAUUUGUUUUAAAUCAUAGAAGAAAAUGACACCGAAUUUGAUCCCAAACCAACCAAUGUGGCGGUGGAAUUGCUAAAAAAACGGGUGGCUCCGUGACUCAUGGGAGAGGCUAAAGUAGAAAAGGCGCCUAGAAAGGAUAAAAAAAGUCAAAAGACAUGAGGUAAGAAUCUCCAGGAUUAUGUGAUUUGAUAUGCAAAAGAGGAAUGAAAUCGGAAGCAUUCGAGCCUCAAGGCUGUUCCCCCACUUGACCCACUGAGCUUGUUAAAUCCUUUUGAACAUGCUUUGCCAAAAUCUCAAGCACUUGAUGUAAAAGAGAAGGAUGUAAUCACAUGAGCAAAGGCUUUCAAGUUUCAACUUUGGUAAUGUCCGGAAAGAGCAGGCAUAUUCCUCUCACUUUGCCAAAUUUGCAGUGGCUUAGUCUAGCUGACAUGGGGUCCAUGCCACAUCUACAGUCCAACCCUAAUUAAUGAAUCGGUUUAAUUGGAGCUCUAAUCCGCCAUUUUCGCCCCGACCCACGAGACAGUUUGGUAAGGAUGAAAAGAGCAAAGGUUGGUUCAUCUUACUUACAACCAUUUUGUGUACACUUUUUGUGAAUACAUAAUGAAGUAGUGAAUUGUAAUUGGUGGCUAUUAGACUAAGCAGAUCGUAUCGAAGAAGCUUGAUAUGUUGCUUGUUAAAUUUGUGGUCGAAUGUUGAUCGGACAAGGCUGGGCUCGUAAAGAAAAUGUUUUAUGUUUCCGAUUGGAAGAACAACAUUGGAAUUUCGCUCAAAUGUUUAGAAUUAAAUUGAUAAGUUUCUGUAUAAUAAGUUUAGGAUUGAUCGGGUAAUUUUUCUUUAAUAAGAAGUACCCAAGUUUAUGCAUAUAUAUCAAACUUCAUUUUGCUCAAAGUAAAUCUGACUCAGGACAGGUACACGUAGGGUUACCCAUUGAUUUCACAGUCCUCUAAUUGUUCGGAGAAGGACCGGCAAAAGAUACCAAUAAGCUCGUGCACAAUCAACAAUUUCCUCAACAUUAUCAUAAUAUUGAGAUUAGCGAUUGCGAUUACUUUCGGAGAAAUAUAAGUAUUUACUUCAAUAGCGAUCUAGAUAUUUGGAUGUUUCCGACUAAGCUCAGAGUUCGAAGGAGAUUUUUGUGGUUAAAAGGAGCAUCAUUGUUCAUGGAUGAGAAAAAGUCGUGGUUGUAGUAGAUAUUUUUUGGCAUGUCGAAUUUAUAUUAGCCUAAUGCAUCCUCGGACUUUAAUUCAUGUGGAUGUUAUGAUUUAUAGAAACCGUACAAGGAAGAAUUCAUAUAGACAAUUAAAUAAAAAAUUUGUACUUUUUACUUACCAGAAUUGUGUGUCACCCAGACAUCUGCUGAUGACUGGUGACGCGUCUUUCUUGCUUUAAAUUUUACUAGACGCCAGCUUGCUUCCAGGAAGCAGCAUUUAGAAAUCUCGGAUCUUAUCUUGUCCUUGGUUUGUCUAAAUUGGCUGGUUACUAUUCUUUUUUACGGGUGCACGUUACUUAUUAAGACAACGGAUAUUUUUUCCGCUCUUUAUUUUGUUUUUGUUUUUUCUGUUUUUAUUUUAGGUAAUAUCGAUGAUCCAUCUCGUAUAUUUGUAAUGGUAGUCUCGUUGAUUAUUUGUGUACUUAGCAGAAUAAUAUCGACUUGGUUCCAGGUGGUGAUAAUUUAAUUUUACUAAGAAAGCACUAGAUUAUGUUAGCUCAUGUCUAGUUUUUCUGAGAUAACCAUGUUGUAUUCAAAAAUAUCUCCAGAAAUUGUUAUGAUCUCUUGUUGUACUUCCAUGUGGUGAAAAAUAUCGAGGAAAGAUUAAAUCCAACAAUGUAAUAAUAAGUAGAUGCCUAGGCACAAGGGUUGAUAAACAAUUUGUUUAAAAUCAUAAAUAAAUAAAAAAAAACAUAAAUGAUUCAUGAACUUUGGUCUAGUGUACAAUGCCAUCCCUUAACUUUUGAUUUGUUCAAUGUGGUUCUCGAACUUUAGCCCAAUGUACGAUGUCAUACCUAAACGUGGAUUACCCAAAUAAGAUAUUCGAGUCAAGAGACGCGUAUUUAUAGCCUCAUAAAGUCAUUGGAUGAAGUGAAUUGUUAUAUCCUUACUUGUGUGGAAUACAAGUAAUGUUAUUUUUUGCCUCAGCGUUCAAACUUAUCGAGUUGACACCAAAUUAGGGAAAUGAUAAUAUUGGAUAUUUUUUUUUAUAUAGUUUAGGGAUUAAAUUAAACAUAUACAAAAAAAUUCACGGAUCACAUCAAGCAAAUUAAAAGUAUAGGGCUGACAUUACAUAUUAAGUCAAAGUUCAUGAAUCAUUUGUGUAAAUAUCUAUUUUAUUUCAUGAAGUUCUGACUAAUAAUGUUAUUCAAUUUUACUUGAAUAAUUAUUAUCAUUUACUAAGUUUCUAUGAAUUUUUCCAUAUUGCACCUUAGCAUUAAAGUUUACAAUAUAUUUUGUCUCUUUCUUUGGAAUAUGAUCUUUCAUUUGCCAUUGUGAAGUGCAUCGUUACUAUAUAUUUUGUCUCACUCUAGUCUGUCACAUAGCUAGCAAUAUUAUUAUAUAACUCUUAGUUCUCGAAUUUAAUUAAAAUUUCUAUUUCUAUUUUGGAAAUUACACAUGAGAUUUUACUAAUAAAUACUGCUACAAAGCAUGAAACUUAAAAUAAAUAUGAAAUGCAUACUUUUACGUUAGCUUUUGUUCCCUAUAGGUAUUUAAUGAUAAGGUUCUGAUUUUUUAAUUCUUUUAGAGGGUGCUUCUGUGAUUUUGCGGCAUAAGGGCCAAUUUUUUCAUAAUUAAUUUUGGAAAUUUGUGCUCUCGUUGCCCGAAUGAGUCCAAAGGAAGAUUUGUGGCUAUAAAAGCGUUACCUGGCUGGAUCAUUUUUUUUUGCAAGGCCCGCACCAUCAUUAUUAAUUAAAGUUCUACAGUCGGAUGCGACGGGUCCUUCUUUCAUUUUUUUUCCCUUACAUCGAACAAAGAUUCCCACUGGAAGACACGCUCCUCCGAAGUGGACUUGCUCGUCUUGUCCUCCGGCGAGGCAUGAUGGCGGCCCCACACGAGUGAGAACUAUGUUCAAAAGCAGGGUGUUCGUUUGUCGUCUCGGUUAGUUUCCGCUCCCGGAUCAGGAGGCACGUUACACCGGCUUGCCUCUGGAGUCCGAAAGGCGACUCGCCCUCCAAGCUACGUACGGCCGAAUCAAUCGCUUCAUGACAAUAACAAACCCUGACCGAUCGUGGAGGUCAUGAUCAGUGCGGUACCACCAUCUUCGUGCAUGGAUCACCGGCUUGCCUUUCGAGAUUCCGAUGAACAUGGUGGUAUUCUACAACUCCAAACUCCCAAGGGAAAAUAGCUUCACGCCACUCUCGCAUGCCAAUUACAUCGUCGAUUCCGCAUCUAUUACAUUUCGCCACCGUACAACAAAGCCACGCUUUUUAGGCAUCAGAUCGUGACCCGUCACUACCAUCACUCAAUCCCCUCUCUUGAUUACACAAAAAUCAUCGAACAAAUCGAUAACAAUCGUGAGACAAAGUAGUGCAUGACAAUCAUCUAGCAUUUCCACUGAAAAGAACGACCGUGGGGAGAAACAUAAGCUAGCUAACCAUCACGGGGUUGAGUUGAGCAACAGACGAUUGAGUUCGUUGCUCCUUCUCACUUUGAUGUAAUGUCGUUCCUUUAUGCCGGAUGUAGCCUUAAAAUAGAAAAUUCUCAUGGCAUUUUCUCGGUGUUCCCUUUCUUCCCCGCGUCUCAAACUACUCACAAGAAGGGGAGAAUUGCACCGGGGCGGUAAGGCCGACUUUGCGCGGACCAAGCUGAAUUCACCUUUUCUAUUUCCGAUUUUUCGUUUUCUAUCCAUUUAUUCCCCAAACCGAUACCAAUCAUGCGAUCGGGAAUGAUCUGGAGAGCCAUCCGUUCCCUCGCCAGGUGGACGAAUAGGGUGGCCUUGCUUGUUACUCCCGCAUUGUGAACCACUGAAUAUUUUCUCUCCGACGAGACAUGGCGGCCCCACACGAGUGAGGAACAUGUUCAAAAGGAGGAUCUUUCUUUGUCAUCUCCCGAUGACGACGCGUCCGAGGACACGAGCUCGAGGUGGGACAAGCGACUCGCCUUCCACGCACGCACGACUUUCGGUUUCGGAGUCUCAGUCACUCCGCGACAAGCGACUCGCCCUCCGAAAAGGACAGUAACAACUACUACUAGUAAAAGCCAAUGACUAACUCUAGCAAAAACCAAGGACCGUAACAACUAGCUUCUGUCUAUCAUCUUUCUACCAAGCCCUGACCCCUCGUGGAGGUCAUCAUCAGUGCGGUACGACCAUCUUCGUGCAUGGGACACCGGCUUGCGUUUCAAGAUUCUGAUAAACACAGUGGUAUUCUACAACUCCAAACUCCUAAGGGAAAAUAGUUUCACGCCACUCCCGCACCCCAAUUACACUGUUGUUUCCGCAUCUAUUACAUUUCGCCACCGUACGUUAAAGCCUCGCUUUUUAGGCAUUACCAUUGCUCUAUCCCCUCUCCCGAUCACACAGAAAUCAUCGAAUAGCUUGAUAACAAUCGCGAGCCAAAGUCGUGCACAAUAACCAUCUAGCGUUUCCUAAAAAAAAAGCACAACCGUGGGGAGAAACAUAAACUAGCUAAUCAUCACAGGGUUGAGUUGAGCAACUGACGGUUGAGUUCGUUGCUCCUGCUCAUUUUGAUAUAACGUUGUUCCUUUUAUGCCGAAUGUAGCCUUAAAAUAGAAAAUUCUCAUGGCAUUUUCUCGGUGUUCCCUUUCUUCCCCACAUCUCAAACCACUCACAAGAACUGGAGAAUUGCACCGGGGCGGUAAGGCCGACUUUGCGCGCACCAAGCUGAAUUCACCUUUUCGGUGAGAAUGGGACAAAGACAGGACGAUAAUUUAGUCAUGAUACUACCGAAUUUAGAAAACAGCCGGUUUUCUGGUGGGGACACGGAAAGCUACGCAGCACAUGAUGGAAAUUUGUUUAUUUUUUUUAUCAUUUCAUCGCAUUCACACGUCAUUCUCUUUUUCUCAAAGCACGUCGCGCUUUUUCCCAUGUCUUUCGGAAGAUCUCUUUCUUUUUGGCUAUAAAAGGAAGCCCCGAGUUCUCCUGGCCAACGUGUUCGUGCCCCUUUGAAGACCUCCUUUGCAUUUCAGGAGUCCCCCGCUUCAGUCGCGCCGUUCGAAGGUAAGAAUCUCUACCUCCGAGCUCAUCGACCACUGAAUGUUUCGAUGCGAAUGCAUAGAGAUGUUGCGGAGUUUUUUAUUUUAUUUUCCCAAGUGAGAGUUAAUGGUGACACGGCGAGUUUGAGAUUUUUUUUUUUUUUUAAAUCAUUCUAUCGCAUUCACACGUCAGUCUUCCGAGCUCCGAGUGAUCUUUCUCGGGGUUAGUCAAAACCCCUCCUUUACUAGCGGAAGUUGGGUUCUGCUUCUGACCAACGGCGUGUUUUGCCUCGGUGGUUCGUGCAGUUCCUCUGAGAGAAGAAUUAAGUCAUGGCUGGUCGUGGGUUGCCCCGAAGUCAAAGCAUUUGCGAGCCUUUUGUUAUGACCCGCUCUACUCACCCUGACGAUCUUCGCGCCUUCCUCUUAAGGUAUAAGCAAGGAAGGCCCCAAGUCAACAUCUUGAUGGUGGUUCCUAGCAUGUAAACUUGGAGGAAGUCAGCUUAAAAAAUGUUUUAAUCCUUUUGUUUUCAUGUCGAAGGGUUGAAGCCAAGGGUAAAGGCGUCUUACAACGCCGCCAAAUCCAUGCUGAGUUUGAGGCGAUCCCUGAGGAGAGCAGAGAGAAGCUUCGUGAUGUGGCUUUUGGUGAAGUCCUCAAAUCCACUCAGGUAUUAUGAGCUGCUUCACGUCAAUGUUUUUCUGUUGUGUAUGCUCUUGAAAUCUGCUCCCGUGUAGUUAUAAAGGCUUUUCUUAAAACCCUUUUUUCAGUUUUUAACUUCUCAAGGAUCCUCUUUUUUUUUUUUUUUCUUUUCUUUUUCUAAAUAUUUUUUGGGUUUAGGAAGCAAUAGUGUCGCCUCCAUGGGUUGCUCUUGCUGUUCGUCUAAAGCCAGGUGUGGUGGAAUACAUCCGUGUGAAUGUCCGUGCGCUUGCUCUUGAGCAAUUGGAGGUUGCUGAGUAUCUGUACUUCAAAGAAGAGCUUGCUGAUGGAAGGUCAGAAUCUUCAUUGUCUAUUCUUUCUCUUCCUUUUUUUCCCCUUGAGUUUCUCGGUGAUCUUUAGAACUCUGGGUCAUGUCUCUUUGUACUGUUCUUCCAUUUGAUUGUUUUGGGCGUGUUAAUGCGAGUUUAUAUGUCUUGUUUUGCAGCUUGACCCCCGAUUUUGGGCCUUUCCCUGACGAUUUUGGGCGCCCGACUCUUUCCAGGUCCAUCGGGAAUGGUGUUGAGCAUAUCUAUCGCAGUCUUUCCGAUAAGCUCUUCCGUGACAAGGAAAGUUGGUACCCUCUGCUUGAAUUCCUCCAAGGCCACAGCUACAAGGGGAAGGUACAUCUCACUUCCAAUGAUUCACAUUCAUUCGAAGUCUUGAAAAUGAGACAUGACUUACAAAUUCAGAUUUCUUUCACCUCAUGUCACAAUAUUGUGAACACUGAGAACUCAAUGCCAAUUAAGAUUACAGAAUGUGCUGCACAUUGAAAAAAAAACAUUUGUGAUCUGUUUAUGGCUUAUGUGAAUAUUGGGCGAUUCUGCAGAAGAUGAUGAUGAAUGCCAGAAUCCAGAAUGUGUUCUCCCUUCGACAAGACCUGAAGAAGGCAGUGGAGUAUCUGGUCCAGCUCGCACCCGAGACUCCACAUUCCGAGUUCGAGUACAAGUUGCAGGAGUUUGGGCUGGAGCGGGGGUGGGGCGACACGGCUGUGCAGGUCUUCGACAUGAUUGAUGACCUGUUGAAUCUUCUUGAGGCUCCCAACCCGGGCUCUCUUGAGAGGUUCUUGGGAAGGAUUCCUAUGGUCUUCGAUGUUGUAGUCGUGUCUCCCCAUGGAUACUUUGCUCAGGACAAUGUCCUAGGUUCUCCAGAUACUGGUGGCCAGGUACUUGUUUUAUUUUGAGUUAGCAUCUCUUAAUCAGGAGAAUAUACGUAUUGCGUGGUUUUGCAUUUAACUUACUCGUUUUACUAUAAUUCUGUAUAUUUCUAGGUUGUUUACAUCCUGGAUCAAGUUCGUGCCUUAGAGACUGAAAUGCUUCGUCGCAUCACGCAACAAGGACUGGAUAUUACUCCUCGGAUCCUCAUUGUAAGUUUCACAAGUUUAUUGUUGGGACUAUAUGCGGUGAUCAGAUGAAUUAACCUACUUUAAGUGCUUUUUGUGUGCUGUGUUUUCCUAGAUCACUCGGCUUCUCCCAGAUGCGGUUGGAACCACCUGUGGCCAGAGUCGCGAGAAAGUUCUUGGGACUAAGCACUCCUACAUUAUUCGUAUCCCCUUCAUGGAUGAGAAAAGAAUCGUACGCGAGUGGAUUUCCCGGUUCAAGGUGUGGCCCUAUUUGGAAAGAUUCGCCAAGGUAUUGACAGAUUCAAUUAUGUACUUCAGGUCAUUUUGCCUGUUGAAUUCAUUUAGUUUUUGGUUGGGACUAAUAGUUUUUGUUGGUAAAUCUUACAGGAUGUUGAGAAAGAAGUCAUUGCAACGUUGCAGCGCAAACCUGAUCUGAUCAUUGGAAACAACAGCGAUGGAAACAUUGUUGCUUCCUUGUUAGCCCGAACAUUAGGUGUCACACAGGUUUGUUCUCUUUUACAUUAUCUUGUCACUUGUAGCCACUGAUGCCGAAAUACUCAAAGCCUGAUAUAAUCUGAUCCUUUGCUUCUUUGUACAGUUUGCAAUAGCACAUGACCUUGAGAAGACGAAGUACCCAGAGUCUGACCUAUACUGGAAGAAAUUUGAGGAGAAGUACCACUUCUCCUGCCAGUUCGCCGCAGAUCUUGUCUCCAUGAACCACGCCGAUGUCAUCAUCGCCAGCACCUUCCAAGAAAUUGCUGGGAGGUGAUUCAACUCAAUUGUCUUGAAAUCCAAUUAUCCUAAUACUCGUGAAAUUUGCUCGACGGUCCUAAUACUCCUUAUUUAUCAAUAUUUUCAGUGAGGAUACUGUGGGGCACUAUGAGAGUCACAUGAACUUCACUCUUCCAGGACUCUACCGAGUUAUCCAUGGGAUCAACGUGUUUGACCCGAGGUUCAACGUUGUUUCACCAGGUGCUGACAAGGGCAUCUAUUUCCCCUACACCGACCAGGAGCGGCGAUUGAAAUCCUUCCACCAUGAGAUCGAAGAACUCCUCUUCAGCAAUGUCGAGAACAAGGAACACUUGUGAGUGUACUGGUCCUUCCUUCUUGCCCAACUUAAACCCUGUCCUGGCAUUUGUUAUGGUGUUCUUGGGAAUCGAAGUUGUCUAUUGCUAAUUCACAUUGUCUUUAACGUUAAACAGAUAUGUGUUGAUAGAUAAGAACAAGCCGAUUAUUUUCACCAUGGCGAGGCUGGACCGUGUCAAGAACUUGACAGGGCUUGUCGAGUGGUAUGGUAAGAACGCCAGGUUGAGGGAACUGGCCAACUUGGUGGUGGUUGGGGGCGACAGGAGGAGGGAUUCAAAGGACUUGGAAGAGCAGGCCGAGAUGAAGAAAAUGUACGAACUCAUCGGGAAGUACAAACUGAAUGGCAAGUUCAGGUGGAUAUCCUUUCAGAUGGACCGGGUGAGGAACGGAGAGCUCUACCGCUACAUCUGCGACAUGAAGGGAGUCUUCGUUCAACCGGCUAUCUAUGAAGCUUUUGGGUUGACCGUGGUCGAGGCCAUGGCUUGUGGAUUGCCGACAUUUGCCACUUGCAAUGGUGGGCCGGCUGAGAUCAUUGUACAUGGUAAAUCGGGC
Molecule: long non-coding RNA, 112340 nt
Filed under: Eucalyptus grandis
Lineage: Eukaryota; Viridiplantae; Streptophyta; Magnoliopsida; Myrtales; Myrtaceae
Description: long non-coding RNA (EGRA_LNC001868)
Rfam family: Bacterial small subunit ribosomal RNA (bases 51496-51606)
Source: RNAcentral